This 89826-nucleotide long non-coding RNA is filed under the name Gossypium barbadense (sea-island cotton). Lineage: Eukaryota; Viridiplantae; Streptophyta; Magnoliopsida; Malvales; Malvaceae. The record is from RNAcentral.
AAAAUACGAAAAAUAUAAAGAAAAACAAACAACGCACACAUGAUAAAGUCCUAAAGCCUAUUAACCCAUACCACAAUUUUAAUUUUGCAUAAAUCCUAAUCCUUAAAUAUCAAACUCAUGAAACAAGCCCUAAAAUCCAUUAAUUCAUACCAUAUUCUCACAUCAAUAUAAACCCUAAAUGUUGAGAGUUAACAAAAAGCUAAUUAAAGUUGACGAAAGAUCCCAAACAUAAGUUAACUAAUGCAACAAUAUUAAUAUCUAUUAUUGAAACUUGUAGACUUUAUUUUUUUGUAAGAUUUUUGUUUAGCUUUGAAUAGAAUUUCAUAAAAUGCUUAAAAUUUUUAUAACAAAUCAAUAAAUCCAAAAAUUGAUAAAAUAAUAGAGAAAUUAUAUUUUUCCAUUAUUUCCCCAUAAGCCAAACUACUGACCCCUCUGAAAAACAAAAACUAUUAUAACACCUAAGAGAAUCUGAUGUAGAUAUCUAAAUUUGAUUAAAUUCUGUUUUUAUUUAAUUUCAUUUUUAGAAAAAUUAUAUUAUAUUUUCUAUUUUCUAAUUUUCUUAAAAUUAUAUAAAAUUAUAAAUAUAAUAUUGUUUUUAGCUUUAACUAUGUAGGUAGUUAGUUUAGCAAAAUUAUUUUUCUAUUUCAUGCUAUUCAAAUUUCAUAAAGAUUCUUAAUAAAAUAUUAUUUAAAAGAAUUUAUUUUUAUAUUUAUCUAACUAUGAUUUAAAAGUUAUUAUAUUAGCUAAAAAAUUUAAUAUUAAAGUUUUCAUUGCCUCUAAAUGCCUAUAACAAUUUAUUUUUAUUCAUUAACAAUAUCAAGUCUUAACUACAAUGAAGGGUUUAAUAAUUUUACUAUCUUUCAUUAGCUUUAACUAGCUUAAAUUUAAACUCGAACAAAAUUUUAUAUUAAAGUAAAUAAUUUAAAAUUAUAACAUGUAUAGAGAGAAAGGGAAGUAAAAAAUAAAAAGUAAAAAUAUUAUUUUAACAUUUAAUUUUAAAAACAUGUAUUCUUUCUUCUGAAAAUGGUGAGACAAUGCAUCUUUAAACUCCAAUAAAUCUAUUUGUUUGUCCUCUUUUAUUUAUUUAAAGCAACCGUAUUUGAAUCUUAAACUUUGUUUUGCUAAUUAAUGGCAGGAAUGGACGAUCCUGGCAAUCUCACAUUUCCAGAAUCUUAUAUGAUAGCAAUAGAGUAAACUUUUAUAGAAGCUAUUUGAAGGAAUUGAAAAGAGCUAUGGAUGAUGGAGCCAAUGUUAGUGGCUACUUUUCUUGGUCAAUUCUUGACAAUUUUGAAUGGUUAUUGGGUUAUACUUCAAGAUUUGGUUUGGUUUACGUUGAUCAUAAUGUUCUUAAUCCCAAGUUGUCAGCAUAUUGGUUCAAACAAGUGCUUGAAAGAAAAGAUUCUUAGAGUUAAAAGCAAAAUUAUUCUUAAGGUGUUAAUAUUGUUUUAGGAGGAUUUUUUUUUAUGUUAUUUAGAAUAAGGGUUUUAGACAUUUUGUAAUAAAGCUAUCUUAUGAGCCAAAUUUUAAUCAUACAUUUUACAUUUAUGCAAAAAAAUGUUAAUUAGAAAGACUAUUUUAAAUUUUAGAAUUUUUUUCUUGUAUCAAAAUUAUGAAUCAAAAUUAUAUUGGAACAAUUUUGAAGUUUCCAACAAUUUUGUUUUUGGUUAUCUCUUUAUUUUUUGUGUAAGCAAAUUUAUUUUUAUUUAUUUGUAAAGGAAAAUUUGAAUCUUCAAAGAUUUUGGUCUUUCUUUUGCUUCACAUUUGAUGCUUGACAUUUUUAUUCUGAUUUUAUUCUCCCUAAGGAGAUGAACCCACUUUGUUUUUGUUCCUCUUAUUAUUUUUAUGUUUUUUUUCUAAAAUAAAAUUAAUAUAUAAUAUACAUAAUUUGUGGUUUUUAAAAUAUAUAAAAAAUAUAAAGUGUAUAAUAUAUAUAUAUAAGAAGUGAUAAUAAAUAUCAAUGCAGUAAAUGCAAUUAACUUCACUCAUAGAAGCCGCAAACCAAGGGUUCAAAAGUCCUAAAGGCACCCUAAAUACCCAAAUAUAUGAGCUUAAGAAAAAUGUGCCUAUUGCUGUGAAAAUGGAUCAUUAAGUGUAGAAAAUGGCCAUUGGACUUUAGAAUUCAAUUUUGUAUUUUACAUCAUUUUUAUUUAUUUUCCUUUUAUUUUUUUCGGAUAUCUAAAAAUCCAACAGCCAAAUUUUCACAAACAUAUUCAAUUGAUAAUUUGAACCAAAAAUAAACAAAUUCUAAUUAAAAAAAUAUAAAUUAAAUCAAAUACAUCCAAUUAUAUUUAACCUUAAAACUCAAUUUAAGGUCGUUUAUAUAUGAGUACUCAAAAUAUCCACAGUUGUACAUUUUAAUAAAUAUAAGAUAAUUUAAAGUUAUUGCACAUCUAAACAAUUUACUAAUUCAGAAAAGUUUCCUUUUGCAUUUUCUGACAAAAAAAAAAUGAGUUUGAAUCAUGAAAAACCUAGUAAACAAAAGUAAUAAAGGCAUAGUUUAGCUUAGCUAGUUCGUUGUGGUCCAAACCGUUCUCCCCCCCCCCUUUUUUCCUGAAAUUAAGUGAGGGGGUUACAGAUGAAACCAAUAACACAUUAUAUAACACAGAUUGUAAAAACGCCAUGUUAGAGGACAGUUCCCAAGAAUUUUAAUCGUUUUAGAGGCUAGUAUUGGCUGUCUAGUAUCCACUUAUCGGAGUUAUACCAUAUCUGUCUUCACUCUGUUUUGGGUUUCAAAGGUCUUUGACUGGAUGAUCUCAUCCGCCGUCCCAACCUCCCUACGAACUUCAACACUUCGUCGAUCAAAAUCACAGGGAAUGCGACGGCCAGAACCAGCAGCCAUUCGUUAAAGCUUAAAGGUACGAUACCGAAUACUUGAGCAAGGAAUGGCACAUAGAGGAUCAAGAAGUGCAGGCCGAAUGACACAGACAUGGCCAGGAGGAGCCAAGGGUUGACCCAUGGAGGCAUUGUCAAGAGACUUCCAUCUUCAGAGAGGGCAUUAAGGGAGUUGAACAUUUCAAUGGCAACUAAAACCGAGAGGGAAAGUGUCAUUGCUUUUACUUUGCCGCCUUGGAAGUAAUCGCAUGGAUUAUUUUCGAAGUAGAAGACUUGGUUCCCGGCUGUGAAAGGUGAAACAGUGAAAUUUUUCCAGGAUGAGCACUGGGCCCAGUUGGCGAGCUGGGGGUAUGUGACAAGGGUGUGGCCGUCCCCGCUAAGAUCAAUGCACAAGAAGGAACUGUGUGUAUACCAAAUGAUGAAGACGCCAACAGUUGCUACUCCAACAUAUAGUCCAAUUACCUGUGUGAAACAAUGAUAUAAGAUCAAGAACUCAAUCCCACUAAACAAUCGAGAAAAACAUACUCGUAAAUUCAAGCAAAGGUCUAAACAAGCUACCAGAUAGCGGAAUAAAAUCCAAGCAGUGAUGAGUGAAUCAUCACUUCUCCGAGGAGGCUUCUUCAUGAUAUCCUUGUCCGGAGGAUUGAAUCCCAAAGCUGUUGCAGGGGGUCCAUCCGUAACAAGAUUAACCCAGAGAAGUUGAACUGGAAUCAGGCCCUCGGGUAUACCCAAUGCUGCUGUUAGGAAUAUGGAGGCAACCUCACCGAUAUUUGACGAGAUCAUGUACCUGAAAUAAUGUGUCUUAGCAUCAAAGAACUCCAAAAAAAUUAUUAUAGGCAGCAAUCAAUGUUCGAGAAAAUCGAGGAAGGAUACAUUUGCAUGUAUUAUUGUCUAUACUGCAUAACCUUCAAACUCUAAAAGCAUGAUAAAAGCUUAAAACCAACCUGAUAAAAGCUUUCAUGUUGUCGUAAAUGGAUCUUCCUUCACCGACGGCAGAAACAAUUGUACUGAAAUUGUCAUCUGCCAACACCAUGUCAGAAGCUUCCUUUGCUACCUGGCAGACGGCAAGAAUUUAAAUGAUUUGAGGAAAAAAAAAUAAUACGGGAUAGAUAAAAGAGAAACAAAAAAGCAUGAACUAGAACAGAGCAUCAUGAACAAUAACAAAUCAUGGUCCCCUCCAACUAAUCCGAUGAAUACGUUCAUUUCCAAGCACCCAGCACCCAUUGAUAUCCACUCCAAUUGACAAACAUGAAACAUUAGUAUUUGGCUUAGUGUUCUUCCAGUUAAAUUUGCUUUUCAGUUGUCUUUGUAAAUAAUUACGCUUUCAUCUCUUGUACUUUUAAACUUGAUAUGGAGGUACACUUUGAAAAGAAAAUAUGAAAUUAGUGAACUGAAUUUGUUUAAAGAAAUACCUCCGUUCCAGCAAUGCCCAUAGCAAUUCCAAUAUCAGCUAGUUUCAAGGCAGGUGCAUCAUUUACUCCAUCACCAGUCAUAGCAACCACCUCUCCAUCUUCCUUUAGCAAUCUCACUAUCUCUUGCUUGUGUCUCGGUUCAGCCCUAGAAAAUAGAAGCCCACCACUUUGUCUUAGAUGAGCUUUCUUAUCUGAAAGUGCCAUAAACUCCUUCCCAGUUAAACUUUUUGAACUGAUGUCUUCCAUCGGCCCAAAAACACCUAUUUCAUGGCAUAUAGCUUCUGCUGUAUUUUUGUUAUCUCCGGUUAUAACCAUAACACGAAUGCCAGCUGCUUUACAGUCCUCAAUUGCUUGAUGUACCUCUUGACGUGGAGGGUCCUACAAACAUUUAAUGGCACCAACGAGCCAAGUUAGUUCAUCAGAGAAACAUAUUAUUAGAGGAAUUGUAAGUGAAGACAGUGAUUCAUUAUAACUCACCCUUAGUCCAACCAAGCCAACAAAAGUAAGAUUGCUCUCAAUUGAUGAAUAGUUGGAUGGGUCAAGUAAUAGGGCAUGAGCUGGAUGAUCAUCACUGCCAUCAUAGGUUUCAAACUCAGGGAGCUCAUCUUUGUAUGCGAAACCCAAGCAACGCAAAGCACCACUUGACAUAUCUUGAAGAGCAUUGGAAACAAGAAUCCUUGAAUUUUGAUCGAGUGGUACAACAGAGCCAUCAAGCAACUGCAUCUUUGAGCUUCUCUCCAGUAAGUUCUCUACAGCUCCCUGCCAAAAUAAGUGAUUAAAGUUAAAGUUACAAUAGAUGUAAGAAACAUUAACAUAAACCAUGCAAAUGUUAAACAGCAGCAAUAAGUACCAUAGAUCAUUCAAAACCACAUCAUGCCCAUCAUUUUUUAACUUAACUAGGCAAAAAAUUCAAAUUUCAACUUAGGAAAGAAAAACAGAUCAGCAGGGCCAUCUGCAACUAAAAACAAGCAUUUGCUGGCGUUCCACAAGAUAAUCAAAUAGUGAAAAAUAACUAUGGCUUCUAUGUAAUAAGAAAAUCUCGAGUGAGAUAGCAAUAGUACCUUCACUAACAAUGACCUUCGUCCUGAUUUGGACUUGACAAUAACACCCAUUGACUUCCUAUCACGAUCAAACUCAAGGGUUGCAAUCCGAUGCUCAUACUCAUUCCACCAUUGACAACAACCUUAAGAUCACAUUAAGUAACAUAUCUAAGUUUACAAGUCAUAAUGCUAGAAAGGAAUGAUAAAAGAAUUAGUGAAGCAUGUGAACAUCCAACAUACGUAGAACAUCAUCGCCAGCUGCUCCACCACUAUACGAUCCCUUUGGGAGACCCAUUUUCUCAACAAGAACCUGUAUAGAGAUGAACCAGAGAUAAAGUUACUAUAUGCCUACUUCAGAGCAGAUAUAGAUCAACAUAUAUACAUACAUCAAAUCCAAUGAUGAGAGCUUCACUGAACACUGACCUUUAUGGCGGCCUCAGUUGGCAUUCCAUGAGCUACAUACUUAUUGUCAGAAUGCGUUACACCAGCAUCAUUACAUAUAGCAGAAAUCUUGGCAAUUGUUUCAAGAUUAGCAUCCAUUCCACCACUUGGCCAAUCAUGUAUUUUCCCAUCAGAAGGAUUAUACGUUGUGCCAUCAACCCUAAAACUUCUCAAACUACUAGCAUGACCCCCCAUAGCCACAAGCUUAGCUACUGCCAUCUGAUUGGUCGUCAAGGUACCUGUUUUAUCAGAGCAAAUCACAGUAGUGCACCCUAAUGUCUCAACACUCGGUAGCUUCCUCACCAACGCAUUCUUUUGAGCCAUUUUUCGUGUCCCAAGUGCUAAACAAGUGGUGAUAACUGCCGGCAAUCCUUCGGGAAUAGCGGCAACAGCCAACGCCACAGCAAUUUCAAAAUAAUACGUACAUUUCUCAAACGAAAACUUGAAAUUCCUAGGCCAACCGUCAAUAUAUUCCCAACUGAGAAAAUAUUUAACAUUAAUUAACCAAACAAAAAUACAAAUUACCCCAAUUAUCAUAGUUAGAACCUCCCCAAACUCGUUCAGCUUCUUCUUCAACGGCGUAUCUUCUUCACUCUGCGACGCCACGUGGAUCUGAGUAUGAACUUUACCGAUCUCCGUCUCCAUCCCAAUUUGAGUAACCAAACAGAAACAAUUUCCGUUAACCACCGUUGUUCCGGCGAAAACCAUACUUCGUUUACCUUGAAUAUCAGCGUCUUCGCUAACUGACUUGUUAGUUUUAUUAACCGCCUCGCUCUCACCUGUUAACGAACCUUGCUCGACUCUCAAAGUCGAACUAACUAACUCCAAAACCCUCAUGUCGGCAGGAACUUUAUCCCCUACUUUGAGUUCCACAAUAUCACCAGGAACAAGCUCUUUGGCGGGCAAACUAGGUAUUUUGAUUCCAUCACGAAUCACCGUAGCUUGCUCCGAUUGGAUCUCUUUCAAAGCUUCCAACGCUUUCUCCGCGUUAUUUUCUUGCCAAACGCCCACGAUCGCGUUCACGAUCAAGAUCAGAAAAAUCACCAACGGUUCAACGAACGCCGUAAUUUCCAUUUCACCGCCUUCGUCACCGUCAUACCAAGCGAGCACAAAAGAAACAACCGCCGCCAGCAAUAAGAUUCGAACUAAAGUGUCGUUAAAUUGUUCCAUGAUUAAACUCCAUAUUGACUGCCCUUCAUGCUUUUCCAACUCGUUAUUUCCAUAGAUCUUGCGCCGAUUCUCAACUUCCGCCGUUGAUAGUCCCGAUUUCCGACUAACAUCGUAAUGCUUCUCGCAUUCACGGAUAUCUUUGGCCCAAGCGGGGAACACAUCUGGAUCUGUUGGUUUAGAGUUGACAAACUCUCGUUUUCCAUAAUUUUCCCCUCCUUUUCCCAUUUUUUCGAUCUUUUUUACAAUACGAAGAUCGAAUUUGAGAAAAUCUAGGGUAAGGGAGGAAGAUUAAAAUCUGUUUGGUUACCGAGAAAAAAGGACGAGAAAAUGGAAGUUUUGGUUUUCACUGUAACCAAGGCAGUUGUGCUGUUUGCUGUUUCCCACUGCUUUAUUUAUUCUUUUUUAUCCUAAUUUUUUUAAUAUUUUUUUUAAAAAAAUUGUGAACGAAACUUCGGCGUACCUUAGCAAAAUGAGGUAAAAUGUAUUACGUAAUGUGUUGACAGCUGGCAAAUCUUGAAACCUUUUUCUUACUUGGCAGUUUCUUAUUGGAUAGAUCUUAGAAUUACGAUGUGUAAUUGGAAAAAUUAGUAUUUUUUUAUGAAAAAAUAUAUAUUAUUAAAUUAAUUCUAUUCAUCUUUGGAUGCCUAUUAUAUAGGUUUUUCUCCUUUUUAAUAUUACCUUUAUUUAUUUAAAAUAUAUUAAAAUAUUAUUUGCAUCACAUUUCUACAUUUUUUAUAGAUUGUAUUAAAAGUUAAAUUAUAUUUUAAUUUUUUAUUUAUAAAAUAAAUUAAAUUAAUUUUUAUAUAUUAAAUUAAAGAAUUAAUUAAUUAUUUCUAUUAAAAGUUUCAUACAUUUUUACUGUUAAAAACUGACAUAACUGACGUGUCACGUGUACAUCAUGUUGGCAUAAAGAAAAACUUGAAGUGAAAACACUGCUCUUUUUAUACAGAAUUACAAUGUUUAGAACUAUUCAUAACAUUAUUUUAACUCUUAAAUAAGAUAAUAAUAUACUUUAGCUCAUUCAAACCCACAUCCUCCUGUACUAACGAUAAUGUCAAUAUCAAUCGAGUUAAGACUCAAUCAACCGAAAAAUACAAGAAUUAAAUCUUAUAUAAAUAUUAAAAUAAAUUAAAAGUUGUUUUAGAUCUAUCUCUAGCACAUAUAAUAAUUGAACAGUAAAAAGUCACAAAAGGGGAAGCUUCAAGACAAUUGCAUAUGGAAAAAAGCUUAGGGGAACCCUACUUUUUGAAACAAUAGUCAAAACUCAAAAAGCAUUCAAAAAAUUUCUCCAAACCCACCAUUAAUAAAAUGUUGUUACUAUUUUGUUUUCUUUUUUUUGACUUUUUAAUUUCCUUUUCAAAUAUAAGGACUUGUCCUUUGGAAAUAUAUCAAUGGUCAUCUUUCAAUUUGACCUUUUGUUUUUGUACUAAUUUUUUAUUAUUAUAUAAUUUAUAAAUUAGGGAGGAAAAAUUUUAAUAACUUACACCAUAGGUAAAGCAUCCCAUCCAUAUCACCAAAUUUGGUUUCCUUAUAGCUCAAUCUUAAUUCAAUUAUUUUUGUUUUGUUUUUCAUAUGGUACCAAGGAUGAAAGUGGAAGAAAAUGAAUUUUUUUGGUGUUAUUUUACUAUUUUAGUGUCUGAACUUAAAUUUUAUUAAGAUUUGAUGAUGUGAUAACAGUAUGAAUGAUUGUAAAAUAAUAAGAAUGAAAAAUAAGAACAUGUAGAUUUUACGUGAAAAAUCUUUGUCAGGAAAAAUCAUGGGCAAAGUAAAAUAAAUUCACUAAUGUUGAAAACAAUAAUACAAUAGGUUUUCGGAUAUGCGCAGUUUUUAAGAGUUAAAUGACCCAUAGUCCUAUAGUGAUUCAACUUGUGCGACAAAGUCCUUAAUUUUGCGUCUCUAUUUUAUUUCUUUAAUAAAUGAGUUGCAUUUCAAACUUUUCAGAACAAAUCAAAUUGGAUUUGGUUCACACAACUCUAACAGUUACUAAUGUUAUUGGAAUAGAAUUGAAUUGGACGGACUAAGAUUUAACUGGCAUAACAAUUCGAAUAAAGGGAUUGAACUGGUUAAACAGGAAACUACUUGAAAAUAAUAAAAAUCGACAAUUGAAUAGUUAAUUUAAUAAAUUUUUAUAUUUUCCUUUUAAAAAUGUAAUAAUUAAAUAUUUAUUUCCCAAAAUUUAACAAGUUUAUAUAAAUUAUAGUAUUUAUUUCUUAAAACUGUUUUUCUGUCACUUUCAAUGGUGGUCAUUGAUUUACUUAUUUCCCAAGUUUUCCAUUUUUAUUUUUUAAUUAAAAUGAUUGACAUUAAAGCUUUUUCAUAUUUUUAUUUUAUUUUAUGGAAUUUCAAGAUUCAAGAGUCCAACCCUACAACCAUCCUGCCAUAUGUCAUUAUCUCUCAUCAGCAAAAUAUAUUUAAUAAAAAUAGACACUACAAAUUGAGGGAUUGAAAUUUUAUUUUUUAUUUUUUAUCACAAAAUUCAGAUUAAAUAUUUUUUAAUUUAAAAAAAUAAGUCUAUUUUAGAGAGUGCGUGUGAAAGUAUACCCAGUUAAAUGUAUUUUCAUACUCUCUCUUCAAAAUCGAUCUAUUUCACUAAAUCUUUAAAAAAAAGCCUAUUUAAUUAAUUAAAAAAAGACCUAUUUAACCAAUUAAAAAAAAUCGACAUUUUCAACCAAUUUAACCCAAAAUUCAUGUAUUGACCAUCAAAUAAUUUCCUUAGAAAAAAAAAGAAAAUAAAUAGCACUAUAUUUUCAACUAUAUAUAUAUUUUAGAUUAGCUAUAGUUAUUUUUAUAUUUUAUGUACAAUCAAAAAAAUAUUUAUGUUUGUUAUAAAAUUUAUAAUUAUAUUGACAAAAAAAUUAAAUUAUAAUCACGAGAUGUAAUGUGAUGGGUCAAGAGUUCGAUUUUUUUAUGGGAAUAAAAUAUAUUUUAUGACUAUUUAUUUAUUUCUUUGAAAAGUACACCUAAAGAAAGAAUUGACUAAUACUAUUUUAAUUUUAAUAAAGAAUACUGUAAAAUAAAAUAAAAUAAUCAUAUUUCUAACUAUGAAUAAUUAAAAAAAUAGAGUGAAAAAACACUUUGUCUUACUUUUAAGACUUAUUUUAUCAAUUUUUAUUUUUAUAUUUUUUUCUUAAAAAAUGAGUGUGUCAUAAUUUAUUUUAUUAUUAUUUAAGAUUAAAUUACAUGUAAAUUUGUUGCUGUAAGGCGAUUCACGCGAAGUGUCAAAAGCAUGGUAAGAGUCACGCUAAAUUGGAGUGACACUAGGAUAAAAUAUUUAGGAGGUCCCUGUAUUAUAAGGAUCAGAUUCAAUUAGUCCUUUUAUUAUUAAAUAGAUUAUUUUAGCCUCUACAUUAUUAAAAGGAAUAGAAUAAGUUUAAAUUGUAACAUAGUUAACAAUUAUUAUAUAAAAAAUAUCAUUAAAAUUAUUAUUAUUUAAUUGUAAUUCAAUUCCAAGUAAAAAAUUUUAUUUACAGAAUCAUAUAUACUUUAAAAAUAGUAACUUAGUUAAAUAGUAAAUGUUAACUUUAUUUGAUUUUUUUAAUAAUAUAAUUACUAAAUCGAUCCAUUUAAUAGUAAAAUAACUAAUUUGAUCUGGUCGCUGUAAUAAAGGGGCAUAUAAAUACAUUCACUACUGAAAAUAUAUAGAAGAGCUUGGCGUAAGUUCUUCUUGUUGGGUCGAACCCGAAUCAUGCAACGAACACGAAUGAAAAUCGAGAAAAUUGGGCACAAAUAUUUACGUAAAAUAAUCUCUUCAAAGAGGAUAAAAUAAUAUAGACAAAGAAAACUUCAAUAAAACGGUAAAAAAUUGAAAAAGGGGAGUACAGGAUGGAGAAACAAAUAAACCCUGAAUCUGAAAUACAAAGAUUUCCCAAAACCCAGGGUUGUUAAUAGGCUUAUUUAUAGGCUGAAUUUCGUGUACAAAUAUUACUAAAACAUCCAUUGAUUAAUCAGAGUUAGAUUGAGAAAAUAUAACAUAGUUUAACUAGGAUAAGAAAUCUAGUUGAGUGAGAAACACGUCGUGUUGACAUCAACUCUGUUUCAUCUGAAAUGCGAAGUACACUACACACCUGUAGACAAUAUCCUACCAUAUAUGACCUUGAAAAAUUACCCAUAAAACUAUGAAGUGCUCUACUAAAAUGUUGUUUGAUUAUGCUUGAUAAAAUUUCAAUAAAUUCUCGAGAUGUAUAUCCUUCUUAAUCGAAGUGGUUGACCUUAAAAGAGGUAAUUAGGUAUAUGCUUAAACUAGGAGGAAUCAUUUAUAGCAUUGUGCACGUAAGAAUUUUUUUUUUGGAUCGUACGUAAGGAUUAAUUAAUUGAAGUAUGACAAUAAUUACCCAUCCACCUAUUAAAAUGCAGUCCUCAUUGUACGACUUUCUUGCCAGUCUCAAACUUGUUUAUAUUAUAUUCUAAGCAUGGCAAUAAACCAUUGAGAAGCAUGAUCCGACAAUAAUGUGUUUGAAAUCCCACAAUAAUAUAAAUAAAUACAAUAAAAAAUAAUUAAAUCAUUUUUGGUACUUAUAUUUGUUUUUUCAUUUCGAUACUUGAAUUUUACAGUUAGAUCUGUUUUUGUUCUUAAACUUAAAUUCUGUCAAGAUUUCAUAAUGUGAUUUAUAUUAUUUGAACACAGCUAGAUUGGCUGGUCAGAUUAAUUAGAUUGAGAAUUGACUAAUAUAUUAGUUCAAAUAAAAGGGUUAAACCAAUUGAAUCAAAAUUACUUGAAGUUGGUAAAAAUUGAAAUUGAGACAAAAGCUAGCAGUUGAACUGGUUUUUAUGAAUUUUUAAUCAUUUGUUUAACUAUUGUUGAUCUAGUAGUUAACCCAAUCAAACCAAUUGAAUCAGGAACCAGUGAUCUGAUCGGUUCAAUCACUGGUCUAGUUACUAGAACACGUAUGUGACACUUUAGGAUUGUACCACAUCAUCACUUGAAAAUUUAUAUAAUUUUUUAAAAUUUUCAACUAAUAAUAUGAUACAAUCUCAAAGUGUUAUGUCAUCAAACUUUUUUAUAUUUUUCAAAUUUAGAGACCAAAAUGAAUCUAGUUGUCAAGUUCAUAUACUAAGUAGGUAAAAAAAUAAGUACCAAAAUGAACUUAGUUGCUAAGUGAAGGGUCAAAAAUUAUAUUCCCUAAAAUACAAUACAAUAAAAAAGUUUUUUUUAAUUUAAUAAAUAGUUUUUGUGUGUGAAAAUAUUAAAAAGUUAAAUAAAUAAAAUAUUCAUAAUGGAAAAUACCGAUGAUAAGAUCUAAUCGGACGGAUAAAAAAAAUUGUAAAAGAAGGAAAAUUUUUGGGGGUUUUUGAAGUGUGUGCUUGGAGGUUUCUUAGAAUGUUCAAGGACUAAAUAAAAAAUUGAAGAAAAAGGGUGUAAAAUACUAAAUUUUGCCAUUAAAAUACAAAUGGUCCAUUCCCAUUUGCCGUAAAGGAUUAAAAGUGUCUUUGAUUCGUAACCUGUCAUUGUCAGUGUCGAAGUCACGCACGCACUUUCUGCCCGUAGGGUUGCCCGCUGCCCAAUGCUCAUUCAUCUCAUCUACACGACUUUUCCUUAAUAGAAAAUAAAUAUUUGGCAAAAAAUAAUCUCAAAUGGUUGGGUGAGUUUAUGUUUUAGUUAUUAAAUUAUUUUAAAAAAAUUAUUUAAAUUAUUGUAUCCUUAAAGUCGUUAUUUGAUGAUCUUUUUUAUUUGUAAUAUAUAUAUCAAUUAAUAAUUUCAAACAACUAUUAAUAUUGCGAAUUUACUAAUCAAAAUUCAAAUAGUAUUAUUCUCUAAUAUCUGACACUGACUGUCAGAUUGACUUAGAUUUAAAGUAUGUUCUUCUACUCGUCGAUGGGUAUUGAUCCACCUUAUAGAUAGUCAAAUCGUCACUUAGAGCUUGCUAGCCAAACUUUAAAUAAAAAAAACACUUAACUGCCCAAUGACUUAAAUAAAAACUUUCGAAUAGUUCAAUGACCAUUUUAAAAUUUUUUGAAGUCGAGUGACUAAAAAGUAAACUUGCUAAUAGUUUAACAACUUUGAAUAUAGUUUACCCAAAAUAUAUGUGCCUAUAGGUGAGGUCUAAUAUAAUGAAUGUUCUAAUAACCGUAUCAAAGAUGGAAUGAUUAGACUAUUAAUUUUUGGUUUAAUUUGUUCAAUCGUUGAUUUAAUAAUAAUUAAAUAAUUAAUUAUAAAAUUAUAAAAUCGAUUCAACUAAUUUAAUAGUCAAUUUUUUAUCUUGAUUUUUUAUUUUUUAUUUAUCAAUUUCAAAGAAUUUACUUAGAGAUUAAAUUAAUUCUUAUAUUUGAAUCGAAAUACCAAUUAAUUUUCAAAUUAAAUAACACUUAGAUAUGAUUACAUAACAACAAUAAUUCAGAUUUUUUUUAGUAAUGUCAAAGACUAAAUUUUAAAUCCUGUUAAUGUAAUUUUCCUUCAUUGAUUCCAUAUAAAAAAAUUAUUGUUCAAUUUGAAAUAAUAUUUGUUCAUACAGGGUGUUAAAUAAAAUAAAAUUAAAAUUGUCAUAUCAUUUGCAUUUUUUUUUCAUGUAUGGUUUAACUUCAUAAAAUUUUUUAAAUGUGGAUUUAUUUGAAAUGGUGAUGUUGAAUAAUUAAAUUUAUGUCGUUUUAAGUUUAAAUUUUACGAUUCGGUAUGAAUUUUUCUAAAUUUAUUAAAAUAUAAAGAACAUAAAUACUUAAUUCAUUAUUUAUAUUUAGUGUAUGUGGAGGGGGUUUAGCUUUCUUUCGGAAGAAGUCUUUAAAGUGUUAUUCACCGAACAAUUGAUCAGACUCUCGGACGAAGGUAUUAUUUUGGAGAUGUUUGUGCUUGGUUUCAGCCUCGAGUUCUAGUCAAGUGGUAGUAUUCUUAUACACUAAGUCCCAUUAAAGGUAAGGGUGAUUAGACACUCUCAUCAAACUCUGUGAAUCAUUUGAGACUUUCCUCGAAAUAAGAAGAUAAAAACCCAGAAUUAAACUCAACAUAGACAUUAAAAAUAAUAUUUUCAUUCGAAGAUUUAAUUGACUGCUCGACGAAUAAUACUUUAAAAACUUCUUUCGAAAAACAAUUAAUCCCUAAACAGUGUAAUAAAUUACUCAUUAGAAAGUGAAAUUUAAGUGCUUAAUAUUUUUUUAAUUCAAAGUAUAGUCAAACCACAAAUUAAAUCAACAUCAUGACCCAAAAUAAUUACUUUUGCUUGCUUUCCACAAGACAACAUACAGAAGUCAAUUUAUGACUUGAAUUGAGAGAUCUCGUGGAGUGGGAUGUGAUUUUAAUUUAUUUCAUUUUCUACAUUGGUAUGCUAUAAUAAAAGGCACCCAACAAGAAAUUUCAUCUACAUCAACAAAAUCUUUCAUCAUUAAUAUUUGGUUUCUUAAAACCUUACAAAUUUGUCUCUAAGUUUCCACUUUUCGACAUUUUGGUCCUCACAAGUUGAUUGAAAAUUCAAUUGGAACAAGUUCCAACUUUCUUUUUUGUACUAGUUUUCUUCUUAAAGAAAUUACAUAAUAUUAUUUAUAUAUUAUCUUGUGUUCUUCAUUAUAAUCAUUUGAUAUUUUGAUAAUAUAUAUGAUUGGCAAUAAACAUCUUAACUCAGUUGGUUAACAUAGAGAUCUUGGGUUCUAAGUACCCAGGUUUGAGAUUUAUCUUUUGUAAUUAGAUACGUAGGUCUUCGAGUUCCAUUAUGUGUGAGUUUUAGUCCAGUUUGUAGGCUUUAGUCCAUUUAUGUUGUAAUAGUUUGAUUCUAUUUUAUGGUUACUCGAACAAUCCGUUUGUACUCAUUUGAUUCUUGUGAAUACUUAAGCAUGUAUUUAUACUUUGUACUUGUUACUUUGCAAAGAAAAAAAUUCAAAUAUUUAAAUUUGAUUACGCAAAUAUGCUUUAACAAUAGAAUUCAUUUUAUUACCUAAUGAAAUUCGAGUAAUACCAUUUGAAUCCGAAUUAAAUUAUCUUUUAAAUGAAUCUUAAGUUCUGUAGUCUAAUUGUUGAGGUUUACCUUCUUUAAGAUUAACUUGGGUCCAAAUCACAAUUCUACCCAAAAAUAUAUAUUUUUUAAGUAAAAUAAAAAUUAAAAACUUGAGUGAAUAAUAAAUUCAUACAUCUAAAUCCCAACAUGUUAUUUACAAAAGUAAAGCAAAAUUGAAUAAUAGAUAUCUAAAGAUUUUUAUCAACAUUCAAAUAGUACUUAAAAUAUUUGAAUCUAAAUAUUAUUCCGUACAUAGAGUUAUCUAUGGGUCAGGUUAGGUCCCAACAAAAUUUUAGGCCUGAAUGAUAACUCAAAAAAUAGAUCUAAAUUUUUGUCCAAGGUCGACCCAGAUUAUAUAUGCUAAACACAGACCCGGACUGACUCGUAUUAAAUCCUAUAAUAUUGAUACAAUAGGAAAUGUAUCGAUACUUACUAUGAGGUAUCAACACCUUGGGGAGAGUAUCGAUACUCAGACAAUUUUUCUUUAAUUUUCAAAACAUCGAAACUUUUGUGAAAGUACUAAUACUUUGUUAAGGGUAUCGAUACUUUUAGACAUGUAUCUGGGUCAGGCAAAAAAAAUAUUACCCGAUGUCCGAUCCGUUUUUAAAUGGACAUUAUUUUUUGUACAAACUAAAUUUUUAAGCCUAUAUUUUUACUUAAAUUUUUUGAAUUUUUAGAUAAACUUUCAUGCAUCUUUCAGGCAAGACCGAAUAGCGCUGGGCAUGUUGAAGUUUACAAACGAGUGGGAUAUCAUAAUCGAAGGCAGCCUGCAAGCAAAGGACUACGAGCUUAGGCAUGUUGCUUCUUUCUUCAAUCUAUAACACGCAUAUAACGUCUUAAACCACAAACUCCAAUGCUCUUGAGGUCACAUCAUAUACUUUACGAUCCUAAUUCACACCAUGACCCUACCAAUUAAUUGAAAGAGCAAGUUGGAAGUGACCACAAAACUUAGAAAUCCAUAAAAGAUCUAAAACUUGUCUACUCAGUGCCAGAUGUUGUGUUUUAGUUCUUAAAUUUCAAUAACAAGUACUUGAAUUUUUCAAAAAGAAUAUGCUUGAAAAUUAUGUGAUUGUGAGCAUGACAUUUUGGGUUUUGAAUAAGAAUGUUAAAAAAUGUAAAAUAAAAAAAAAUCCACAUGAAAUUGAACAAAGAAAAAAAAAUCAGAAGCAAAAGUGUGGCUGAGAAUGAGUUUGAAGUUGUAAAAAGUUUUACCUUAGAAUUGAAAUUUCUUUGAAUCAUUUGAGUUUCUUUGAAUUAUUAUUAUUUAAUUCCAAAUUUAAUAAUUUUAUUAAAGGGUGCAUGGAUUGAGUCGGGCUAGUUUACAUAUGGUAUUGAUACCGUUAUUGCUUGUUUAAACUUGGUCUGUCUAGAGUAUUAGCUUAAAAUAUUCGCUAAAAUUUUAUCAUAUUUGUAAAUAGUUCAUUUAAGUUCGGGUGUGUUUGAUAAAUUGAAAAAUUAAGGGUCGAAAAUUUAAAUACUAAAUUUUUAUUACUAAAUUAUAUAAGUGUUUAUAUUAAAAAAUUGUUUGAUAAAUUAGUAAAUAUAAAUAUUGAAUAUAAUUAUAUUGUUUGAUAAAAGUAAAUAUUGAUUUUUAAAAUAUUAUUUAUUUUAAUUUUAAUUUUAUUAAUAUAAUAUUUUAUAUUAUUUUGAUAGUUCUGGAUGAAUGAUAAAUAUGAUAAUUUGAUUAUCUCAUUUAUAAAAAAUAUUUUUUAAUAAAAUAAAAUCGACUUAAUAUUUUCAACAUUAAUUUAAAUAUCUCAUUUCUAAAUAUGACAAAGGUGUUUUUCUCAUCGAAUACUUGCACUAAUGCUUGGGAGAGUAUUUGCCACGGGCGCAAUUUUCAGGUAGUGGAUAAGUUGAGGUGUACUUGGGUGUAUCGCUGGUCAUAAACAUAUGGGUUGCUCUACUUAUAAGUUCUUAAUUGAUAAGGUUCGCCAUAAAUUAAGUGGAUAUAAUGCAACUUUACUAUCUAUUGUUGGCUAGGUGACUAUGUAACACCCAUUGCCCAACCUGAUCGUCAGGUCCUAGCUACAAUAUGCCACAACUGUUGCCGAAGCAAUUACUGUCAAAUAUACCAUAAAUCAAUCAAUCAAACAUUCAAACAUGUCAUAAAAACAUUCUCAUUAUGAUACGUAAUUAAAUCGAAGCCUUAUUUGAGCUUAAAAAAGCUCUUUUGUUUACUUGAGCAUGAUAUAGGACCAAAUUGCAAAGUUUCAAAAAUUCAGGACUGAUGUCACCUCCUCCACGUCGUGACGUCACCAAACAAUUUGUCACGCCAUGAUUUCAAGCCACUAGACAUCUUGACUUUAUAUAUUGUCGACCAACGUUACGACGAGAAAAUAUUGUCGUUGGGACGAAAACUCUAUUUUUGGUACAAUUUAAGCCAUUUGGUACCUGUUUCAUGUCAAUCUUUCAAACUUAUCAUUUGUUGCAUUUUGCAUAACAUUUUCCUGUACAAAAAUGUACCAAAUACAUGCCAAAACAUAACAUUUAACCAAUUUCAAUAAUCCAAUGCAACAUUUCCACGAUUUGGCAUCAAAACCUAACAAUUCAACUUGACCAAAUUCAACCUAAUCAACCAUGCCUUUAAGCUAUUCAACACCGUCAUUUUACUUAUACCAUUACGUAUUCAAACGCGUCAAUCACAUAACUUAUUCCUUAAACCAAAAGCACAUCAUAUCAACAAGUUUUACUAUAUUGCAAAGUCAUACUUAACAUAGGUUUCAGACUAUAUCAUAUACAAAGUUAACUAAAACAAACACCUAUGUACAUGCCACACAUAACUAAGUCUUAAAAUGAUUAAAAGACUACAGAGUCAAUAGAUGUAUAGUGUGAGCUUCUCGACAAUCCGAUAGACACGUUCCUCAAGUCAACAAUCUACAAGGAAAAGUGAGGCAACGAAGUAAGCAUAUUGAAUGCUUAGUAAGUCCAUAUGAAACUUACUUAAUUUACCUUGACAUUGCAACAAUUAAGAAAUCAAAAUACAUUGGAAUUAAGCAUGACAGCCCUUUGACAUCCUUAUACUUUCAUAUGCAUUUCAACAAAUACAUCCAAUAGGUUAGUUCAUCUACAUGUCAUGAACUUAUAACACAAUCAUUUACAUAUGUAAGAAUUCAUCUUAUAUAAUAAACUAUCUAAAUCAUAUUCAAUUUGCAAACAUAUGUAAUUCAAUUCAUGUUCAAUCAUCUCAACCGUUUCAUUUCCUUUUAUUUACCAUUUACUCGCCCGGGAGAACCUUAGUAAACUAAAGUCGGAUGCGUAGGAAUAUAGUGCUCACACAAGUUGACAGUAAUCAAGGUUGCUCACACAAGUUGACAUAUUUGAAUUGAGAAUCCGUAACAAAUGUUGGAUCUCAAAUAACCAUGUAAAUCUUUGAUCGUUUUUAUAUUUGAUCUUAAUGGCAUGCCAUACGUAUCUUAAUCAUGUACUAAGUUCACAUGGGCAUUAUUAUUGUAUUCAUCUCAAUUCAAUCAUUCUAACAAUAUAUUCAUAUUAUGUCAAUCAUGUAAACAUUUCAAAUCCAUUCGAUACCUCGUACCUGUUUGUAAUUACCAUAAAAUUCAUACCUUACAAUUUAAUCCAUUGGAUGUCAAAAGUUAUUACAUUCACAUCAAUACAAACUAAUAGGUACAAGCAUAACAUGAAUUAACAUAGUAAGUUCCAUAUAAACUUACCUGGCAAAACAACAAACAAGCAAUCUUUAAGGACUAAUAAAAAAUUUUGUCUUUUCCCCAUUUUUUAAUGAUUUAUCAAACACACCCUUCAUUUAGACGUUUUGAUAAAAAUAUAUAUUAUAUUUGUUCAAUAUUUAAAUUUAUUAAAAUAUUAAACAUAAAUUACUUAAAUAUUUUUUUAAAUUAUAGUAUUUUAAUAUGAAAUAAAUAACAUAAUAUAUAAAAAUAAAAUAAAAAUGAUAUUAUAAAAUCCAAAAACCAAUUGAGCUAACUUUGAACCUUGGUUAUGGUAGCUCAAACCCGACCCUUUGUGUUUUCUAAAACUUAAUAAUUUUGUUCAAACCGUUUUAAAUAUCAAGCAAACCUUCAAGUUUGAACUAUUUGUACUAAAUUUGAUUUUAAAUUAAAGUUUUCUAUAUUAAAACUAAAUAAUUUUGAUUAAAUCUCAAGCUAACUUCAACAACUAUAAAUUGAAAUUCCUAAAAAAUUUUAUUGGAAUUAAACUAGAAAGCAACAAGUGUAUUGUUUGCAAAGCUUCAAGCAAGACAAGGGUUUAAGAAAAGAAUCUAGAAAUAUUAAAGACAGACAAAGGAAUAAAAAACAAAAUAGUUUAGGGUUUUGGACUAAAAUUAAAAUGCAAAAGAACAAAAUAAUUAUUAGCCUAGGAUGCUUCUUUUGUAGGGCCAUCAAUAAACCAAUCCCAUUCAUUGUAUUUUGAUUUCCAUACAAAAAAGAAAAAGAAAAAUGUUUUCAUUUUGAUGCUUGGGCUUGAGCUUCUAACUUUAAAAAAUAAUGUGAUUUUGUCUUUAUAAUUCUAGUCUUUCUUUAAUGGGCCUUAAGCUACCAACAAACUAAGGCUAUAUUUGUUUUUAUAAAAUGAAGAGACAUUAAUGUUAAAUUUGUUAAUAAUUUAACCUUACAUUUCAUAUUUUAUUUUAUGUAAAUUAUAUAUACAAAGUUUCAACUAGUUGUUGUCGAUUGAGUUUUAGCUCAACUGGCAUGAUUAGUGUGUUGAAGCGCAUUAUUAUCUUCCUAUUUAUAAGCUGGGGUGAAACUAUGAGCUAAGAAUAGUUAGGAUUUCCAAAAGAAGGAACUAUUCGUCUGAUGAGAAAUAAAAAGGAAUAUCGAAAAUUCAAGUGGUUGAAGCCAAAGCAGUUAAUUGAAUUUUGUUAAGUUGUAUUAUGUGCUAUAAAAAAAUUAAAUAUUAAAAUUGUACAUAAAAUUCGUAAUAAUAUUAUCAAUAAAAUUUUAAUUUUCAAAUAAAACAAUUUCAAAAUACAUAAAUAAAAUAUCAACAGUUCACUCACUUUCACCAUUAUAAAUAUGGAAUUGACCAUAGUGACAAAAGUAGGUAGAUUUCAACAUCAGAAAACCCUUAUUCCAUAUUGGUGGAUUAAACCAAAGUCGAAGUGUUAAAACGUGUUUUGGAAAAACACUUGAACCUAAGUUCUGUUAGUAUCGGUAUUAUUCUCAAUAUAAGAAUAUGUGAGUUCGAGUACACUAAAACGCAUUAUCCUCUUAUUUAAGAGUUGAAAAGGGGCUAUACGUAAUUCUAAUCAUUGUAUCAAAAAAUAAAGAACUAGGGAUCGUAACACUACUCUCAUAUAAAAGAAAGUAAAUCAAAAAAGUAUUUAAUUAUUAUUAUUUUUCAACAUUAAUCUCAUUAUAGGUUCUUAGUAUAUCUGUUAUUUUUGAUACAAUGUUCAGACUACCCAUAGCCCCUCCUCAACCCUUAAAUAAGAGGAUAAUAUGCUUCAAUGUACUCGAACCCAUGUUCUCUUACACUGACAAUAAUACCGAUACUAUUCGAAUUAAUACUCAGUCCUCCUAUUUAAUUAUUUUGAGUUUACUCGUUUAAACACAAAGACUCCAACUCUAAGUGGAUUUGUAGGUAACAACCUUGACCACGGCCAAACUAUAAACCCCAUUUUGGUCAAUAAAAAUGAAUAUCAUUAGCCAAUCCACACUUUGCCUAACACCACACACCACCAUUGCUAAAAUACCACCACUAAUUAAGUUCAAAUCAUGCCAUGAACAAAUUGGAUAAAUUAUGGUUUUUCUCCCUAUACUAUGUUUAAUUUGAAUGUUUAGUCCCUAUGUGUAUUUUAUUUGAUGUUGUUUAGCCCUUAUACUUUAAAUGUACAUAAUUUAUUAGUUUUACUCUUUUUGAUGUUAUGCUUUAAUGUAUCUUGUUAACACCGAUAAAAAAUUUCGUUAGUCGGAUGAUGUAGAAUUUUUUUAAAGACCUAAACCUCAAAACUUGAAAUUUUUUAUGUUAUUUAAAAGUUAAAAUUAUGGUUAUUAAAAUAAUUAUUUUUCACUAAUUUUUCAUUCUAGAGAAUUCUAGCUCAACCCCAUAAUAUUUAAGACUUUUUGUUAAUGGUAUUAACAAUUUAAAGUACAAAAAUUAAAUCUCAAAUUGAGUAUAUUACAGGGACUAAAACAAGAAUUUGACAAUUUAGCAACACAUUAUAUUCUUAUUUGAGUUGACUUAAUCAAAUCUUUUUAUGAUUUUACAUAUUUACCCAUUAUCAUCAUAUAUUCCAACUAUAAGUCUACUUCAUGGCACCCCAUUUUGGUCAACAAAAAUAAGCACUAUUAGUGUAAUUAUGUUAAAUCAUGGCAUAAAAGAUCCCACUUGAAAAAACCCAACUCCACUCCAUCAUCUCUCCAUUUUUUCUUUCUUUUCCAUUAAAUAUAUACAUAUAUAGCUUUGUUAUACUUCAUAACUCCAAAAAUCCAUAUUCAAAAAAUGAGUUCUAUUUGCAUUUCUAAUUGUUUGAACGAUGCUGAAGACCCCAAGAAACCUAUGAGAGCAACCUAUAUGAAUCUUUACAAGUGGCCAGGUUCAGAUGCUGAGUUUUUAAGAUCAAGGACCUCAUCAGCUCCUUCUUCAAUGGAUUAUUGUCGACCAAGUGUUCGAGUUGUUGACAGUAUCUCUUGCAGGCAGAUGUAUCUGAGAAGCUAUAGAUUUUCCAAGAAAGAAACUGUGCCUGAAAAGACUAUGAAAUGCUUUGGGAAAGUUAAAGAGAAGAUGGGUCAUGGUGGGAGGAAGAAGAAGAAGAGCAACCAAAGGAGAGUACGUAUUGUUAUUAAAAGGAAGUGUUUGGUUUGGAGGAAAGUGAAGGUUGUUUUGUUUAGGGUUUUUAAUAGGUUGCUUUCUUGCUAUGCUAGUAUUAAUGUUUUAGAUCAAAGGAAUGUUUAGUUCUUGAAAAAUAAAUUGGGUUUUUUUUUUUAAAUUAUGCAUGUUUAAAAGAAAUUGGGUUUUGGGUUUAUUUAAUUUUUGAUAUUGUAUUAAAAUUUGAAUUAUACUUUGUCCCUUUAUUGAAAAAAUGGACAAAUUAGUUCAUAUACGUUGUAUUAAAGAGUAAAUUAAUAAUUCUGUUAAAAAUUUUAUCUGUUUUUACAAUUAAAAAUCAGUCAUUGUACGAUGGGAUGAGGUACACCUAGCACACCACGUCUAACCAUAUGAUUAUUCCAUCUGUCACGUUGGUUUUGAAUAGAAGAAAUGAAUGAAAUUUUUAAUAGAAAAAAUCAAUUUACUCUUUAAUCUAACAUAUUAAGAUUAAUUUACUCAUUUUUAAGUAAAAAAACAAAAUAAAAUAUGACUUUUAGUGCAGAGGACCUUUGUUUUUUUUAAGUUGUUCAAAAUGUUUAGAGCUAAGUAAUACCUAUACAUAUUAUGAGAAAUAGGGUUUUGUUUUCCUAGAGGUCUCGACUUAUAAAUUACUUUUUUUUUAACUCAAUCAAGUUUGAAUAUAUCAUAAUCUAAUAUUUUUAAAUAGAUUUAUAUAUAAGUGAUAUGAAUAUUAACCUAUAAUCUUAAAAAUUAUAUAUGGAAUAUAUAAAUAUAUAUUCAUAUUCUAACUUAUAAAAUAGCAAUUUUAUGUACUUCCUCUAGAAUUUUUUUUUUGACUAUAUCCAAUUUGUGUGUAUGCAUAUGUUUGAUGCAUGACAAAACAUAGUAUUCCCCUAAACUAUGGAGUUUUGUUAGGUAUACUAGUGUUUGGGAGUUUCGAAAAAUGGGAAUAGUUAUGUAAGGGUUAAACUGAGAAAGAAACGCAUGCAUAUAUUGCAUUGGAUACCCCCCCCCCCACUUUUUUUAAUUCCAAUUACCAAACCCCAUAAAAUAACAGGGGUUCAUAUAAAAUUAUGUCUGUUUUUGUCAAAGUCUAUUGUUUGUUGCUGCCAAAAUUCUUCCUAGGUCACUGUUCUUUGCAUUGAAAUGAUAACUCUUUUCAUAUGUAAGUCAUAUUUGUAUUUUGACAUUCACUUGAAUUUAAAUAAGUAUUUUUCUUCCUGGAUGAGUCUUAAUUCGAUUGGUAUCGGUAUUGUUGUUAAUAUAAAAGUACGUAGUUUCACCUAUUUAUGUGUUGGAGAAAGACUAUGGGUAGUUUUAGGCAUUGUGUAAAAAAAAAAAGAAAUAAACUACAAAAAUAGUCAUUUUUGUUUGCCUCAUAUUAUAAUUUAGUUACUUAUGUUUGAAAUGUUACGUUUUAAACACUUACGUUAUUAUUUUGUUACGAAGUGAUCACUCUACCGUAAAGUUCCGUUACCUCCUUAGUGGCAAUCCUAUGUGACAGUCUAAAUGAAUUUUAAAUACCAACUUGGAUAUCUAGUUGCUGAGAUGAAAACAAGUUUUUAAUUAAAUAAAUUUAAUUUAGACUACCAUGUAGGACCAUCGUUAGGGAGUUAACGGAGCUUAACAGUAAAAUGAUCGCUUUGUAACAAAACGAUAACGUAAGUGACUAAAACAUAAUAUUUCAAACAUAAAUAAAUAAAAUGUAAUUUGAGAAAAAAAAAGACGACUAUUUUUAUAAUUUCUAAAAAGACUAUUUAAAAAGCUAGAUACAAUUAAAUGGGGCCUAACCCCAUAGAAUACAACAGCUAAGCCCAAAACUCAAAACUUAGAGCAACCUUAGGAUUGUUCGUUGUUGCCCCCAAGCAAGGAGGAAGAGGGAACAGCAUUGAGACCCUGGCCCAUCGGCAUGCACGCCUUCCACUGGAAGCCGAAACGAAAUCAGAAACUCGAUAGACAAGCAUGGGGCAAAAACCUGGUGCGAUGACACCGAGACAUCAUCAAAGCUCAGUUCCGGAAAAACCCCACAAGAGAUGUUGACAUUGUAAACGCAAAAAGGGCAAGCGUUUCAAUAGAGGAGAGAGAAAAACAAAACGUCCGCCAACAAAAUAGAGGUCACAACAAGAGUCAAGAGGGCGGAUGAUGACAAAUGGGAAACACCCAUGGGACAACAAGCCACUACCACUGGUGGCCUGAAAUCGACGAGCAAUGUAAGUUCCAUUCAUUUUUUUUAAUCUUUUCACUAGAUAACUAAGCCAAUGCCCAUACUAAGCAAUAGUAAACAUAUUGCUACAAGAUAUAGCCACGUAAGAAAUGUGGUGAACAAAAUCUUUUUACUAGAUAAUUUAGCUAAAAGUAAAUUUUCAAAGCUACAAAUUCGAGGUGCAAUGUGUUUAUUGAACAUUGGAGCUGGUUAUGGAUCACAGUUAAAAGGGUUUUUUGACCAAAGUAAAAAAAAAGUUACUACAAGAGGAGACAAGCAAAAGUGUUGGAGCUUAAACAUAGGGGAUUUCCCCUCCUAUUUAGGUGAAUGAAUGGUGCUUAUAUUUGUUGUAGUUAAAAGUAUCAUGGAAGUUAUUUUAUCUCUUUAUUAAAAAAUGGACAAUUUAAUCUUUGUACGUUAAAUUAAAGAGACAAUUACACAUGACAUGCCACAUGUACUUCACUAUAAUGUACUGAGAUAAGUUUUUAAUAGUAGAAAUUGAUGAAAUUUUUAACAGAAAUAGUAAUUUGCUUUUUGAUCUAACGUACAGAGACUAAUUUAUCCAUUUUUUAAGUAGAGGAGAUAAAAUGCAAUACAACUCCUAAUACAAUGACCUUCAUGAUAUUUUUACCAUAGUUAAAUGCUGGUUGGCAUGUAAUACAAUACAGUCUUCAUACAUGUGUAAAAACAUUACAUAUGUAUGUAAUAUUAUAUUUGUUGUUAGUUAGGUAAAAAGCAGAAGUAAAUCCCAUGCUUUGACCUUAGUCAAAUGCUGGUUGACAUAUAAUAAUAUAUAGUCUCCAUGGCAGUACUUAUAAUAUGAAAUAAUACAUAUCUAUGUUAGGCUGUUUUGGAGACUUGAACAUAUAAUAUUACAUAUAUCUUAGGCUAUAAUUUAUUAUUGAAUUGUGAACUUAACAGUGCAGAAAACCAGGUUUUGGAAAAAGGGCUGCCCUUUUGAAAUUUAAAUUUUGUUGCAGAGAAGUUUGUGGAUGUUGAACCCUUACAAAGGUGGUAUUUAUUUUUAUUUUUUUUUUCUCAGGAAAAAAAUAGCAUGAGAGAGGGUGGUAUUUAAGAGUAAUAUAGAGAGGAUUUGAUCGAAUCGAGUGAAAAAUAUUCGAGUUAAUUGAUCUGACGAGUCCUAUUUUAUCAUCCUAAUUUGGUUCGAAAUUUUUUCGAAUCAAGUCGAGUAAAAUGAAAUUUGAGUUGAAUAGAAUCGAAUAAUAUUGUUCGAGUUUAAUUUAAAAAAAUUAAACAUGUCAAAUUAAAAUUUUGUUACAGUAUAAUUAAUUUUAUGUUAGAGCAUAUAAAUUUAAAACUGUAUAUAUUUGAAAGCUUUUUCAAAACAAAAUAAAAAAAAUGCUUUAAUAUCAUAAACUUGAAUCAUUAAUUAACUUAUUUAGGUUCUAAAAUUAUUAUUUUAAAAUAAAUAAAAAUUUAACUUUCUUUGUAUAUUCUUUAGAAUUUUUUUAAAAAAUUAUUAUAAUUUAAAAAAAAUAAAUUUUGGAAUUUUUAAAAUUAUUUUGAAUUUUAAAAAUUAUUUUGAAUUUUUGAAAAUUACUUUGAAUUUUUUUUUUUGUAAUUUUUGUUGAAAGAAAGACUAAUUUACUUAUUUUCAAAAUUGACAGGGACCAAAAGAGUAUUUACACCAAUCUGUAGUUGAAAUCAUUUGAAUUGAAAAAUUCAACUUGAUUCAAACUCGAAACUCAAAUAACUUGAAUUAAUUAAGUCGAAAUUCAAUUUUUUCGAUUUUUUGAAUCGAAUCAAAUUUUAAUAACUCGUAGUAUUCGGAUUUUAAAACUUACAAUCCUCUUUCUUUUAUCUCAUUUUUACUAUCUCUUGAUUGUAUACGAAAAAGUAACUUAGUUUGUAGGAUUGUAUUAAAUCAAUAAACUAGAGAGAAAAACAUAUUUCAGGUCACUAAUAGAUUUAUCCAUAGGUACAUAGUUUAAAAUAUUUUAUUUUUGGACUAAUUUGUAAUUUGUCCUUUUGUCCUUUGUAUUUGUUUAUAUAUUCUUAGUUGGUACUUAAAUUUGUAUUCUAUCAUCUAGGUUGGUACCUUGCACUAAUAUUGUUAGUUUAUGCUGAUAUGUCACUAACAGUCAAUCUAGUAACGAACGUGACAGUUUCUCAAUAUGUCACUAAUAGUCAAUCGAUUGGAUAGAAAAUUAAUUUAAGUAUUAAUUCGAAAAAAGUUAUUAAAUCGGUUAAUUUAGAAAUUGAUACGAAUUGAUUCAACUGAAUCAGAUUUUUUUAAUUUUAAUAAAUUUUUUUAACUUGUCUUGCCACAUGAUUUUUAUUUUUUAUAACUUGUCUCCAUUCUCACUUUAAAGGAUGCCUCUGUCCCUCUCUUUCAUCAUCAAUUUCCAAGAAACAAAGAGAGCUUUUCACCAUUGUUAUUCUCUUUUGAGUUUUUGACAAAUCAAAACAAAAAAGAUAUGGAAACAACCCAAGCUUCAUAUAACAAUGGAGAUGAAGAAGAUUAUAUAGAUAUAGAGGUAAGUUCAUCAUCUUCAAACUUGUUAUUUUACCCUAUAACCUCACCACCAUCACCACAAUUUGAGUUUCAAACAUGUUCAUCAUUUUAUGGUGAAAUUGCUUCAACAACUUCACCAGCUGAUGAACUCUUUUAUAAAGGAAAGCUCCUUCCCCUUCAUCUUCCUCCUCGUCUGCAAAUGCUUCAAAGUUUACUUCAAACUGAAGAACAUUGCUCAUCUAUGGCUUCUUCUUCUUCAUCUGGUUUCAUUGGUAAUAACUUGAAGAAAUCUUGGUGUAGGAAACUUAAGCAAAUCAAACAGUCCACAAUAACACAAAAGCUUAAGUCUUUGUUUAAUAAAUCUGGGUGCUCAUAUGAAUGUUGUUGUGUUAAAGCAAGUGUGAAUACAAAUGGUAGCCACAGGAGGUCUUUUUCUGGUGUAAUUCAAAGGUAUUCUACACCAAUAAUGUCUUUAUCAACAUCAUCUUCUUCAUCAGGUUCUUCAUCAUCAUCAUCAUUUUCUUUCGGUUCGAGCGGAUUUGGAGAUUUGCAUUUGUUGAAACGAAGCAAUAGUUCGAACUCAGAGGUCGAGAGUUCAAUACAAGGAGCCAUUGUUCAUUGUAAGAUGUCUCAAAAGCUUUCUAGUUCAAAAGAAAAUAGUGCAAAAUGAACUUUGGGGUUUGUAGCGAAGUUAAAUCAUUUUUUGGGUCUAGAAUUUUUUUCACAUUGGGGCUUAAAUUUUUUUUUUCCAAAUCAAUAUUGAAAACCCUAAAAUUUGGGUCCAACAUAGGAACAAUUGUCAACUUUAGGACCUAACUUGAACAAAAAAAAUUCAAUCUCCAAUGUUGAAAAAAAUUACCAAAUUCAAACCCUAAAUAAUGAUUUAACCUUUGCAGAGAAUUUGAAUAGGUAUUCCAUUAGUAGUGUCAUAUUGAAAUUUCCUAUAUGAGAAAAUUUAUCAAAUUCAAACCCUAAAUAAUGGUUCAACUCUCAACAGAAGAUUUAAAUAUUAUUUUUUGUAUUUCUUUGGAAGUGAGUGUGAUUUGUAGGGUCAUAUUGAAGUUAUUUUGUUGAAAUAUUAUUAGACAAAGAACAAAUUUGUUAAAUGUUAUAUGUUCAAAUAACAAAGCAAUAUUUUAGCUUUAGCCUCACCAUACUGAUUGAGUCUUAGUGUGCGUUGUUAUGUGUAUAGUUGUCUAUGUAGAAGGAAGCAUGUUUGAAUGAAUUAAAGCGUAUUAUUCUCCUAUUUAUAGGUUAAGGAGGGGUUAUGAGUAGUUUUAAUCAAUCAUAAAAUGACAUUACUAUGACUUCAACAAUCAUAAGUAAUUGAAAUGAAUAUUAUCGAACAGUUUCGUGACUAUAUUGUAAUUUUUUAAAGUUGAGUGACCAAAAUGUAAAUUUACCAAUAAUUUAGUGACCUUAAAUGUAAUUUACCCAAAUAAUUUUAUAUAAAACUUUUAAAUUAUUUUCACUAUUUUUAUAAGACACGUACCUAAAAUCUGAGCACAAAGAUGAUUCAUUAAAGAUUCUUUUGGUUCAUCAGUGAGAUUAAUUUGGGUGAGAUUAAAGAUAGUGUCAGUAAUGGAAUUAAUUACUGUAGUGAUAAAAUUACAUAUUAUAGCAUUGAGAUUAAAAGCAUCGGUGGAAUGCAUAUUUGAAUUCAAACUCGACUAUAACGAUAAAGUGAGAAAAAAAAUGACUACUAAGGAAAUUGCAUUAAGUUAUUGUAUAUGUAAAAAAUAUUUUAUAUUAAAUAAUAAAAUAUAUAUGAAAUUUGUAUUUAUGUUCAAUAUAUAUUAAAUUAUUCACCUAGGAAAAAAGAAUUUUAUUUUAUAUAAAAUCAAAUAUUUUUCUCAUAUCGACUUUUCUUAUUUAGAAUAAAAGAAUCGAUCACAACACCAUGAAAUUCUAAGAUUAUUCGUAAACUUUUCGAUGUAAAAUUUUCUCUAUUAAUUAAACUCGUAUAAUUUUUAAUAUGAAUAUGUAUUUGAUAUGAAAAAUUUUAUAAUUUUUUUUAAAAAAUUUUCAUGUAUUCAAACAUGUGAAAAUAAAAAUAUUUCAUGACAAGGGGCUUGAUUUUCAAUUGCAUUGGACUAUCUUUUUACAUCAUCCUUAUAUUAUAAAAAUGGGACCAUCUUUAUUUAUUUUUCAUUUUAAAUAAAAUAAAUUCUUUUUUAUAUAAAUUAUAUGCAAAGCAGUAUAUUGCCCUUUAGACGCCAUAUGUAAAGUUGCUUGGCCUUUCUUGUCAACGCUUGGUGCAAUUUUCAUAUACGAGCCGAAAUAGAGAGAAAAGCUCCAACUCCAUUCUACAUUUGAAGUUCAAUUGCUGCUCAAGGCCUUUGCUACCAUUGUGACAAGAAAUACACUUGGGAUCACUAGUGCAAAUCUAAACCGCAAUUGCUUCUUUUUGGCGAGGAUAGAAUUUUUCCUCCGGUUCUUGAUCCUCAUUCUGAUCCUAAUCUUGUUGUCCAUCUUCAACUCCAGGAAGUUCUGACUGAGUCGGCUAUUUCAUAUAAUGCCCUCGUAGGUGGUUGCUCCACAACGACACUUCGAUUCACAAGUCAGGUUCAUGGCAAGUCAGUUCAGAUCCUUUUGGAUGGGGGUAGCACUCAUAACUUUGUGCAAACCCGUGUCGCCACUUAUCUCCGCCUUCCGAUCGAAACCACUAUUCAGUUUUAUGUCUUGGUUGUUAGUGGCGACCAUUUGGUGUGUACUGGCAUUAGUCGACAGGUAACACUCCUCAUUCAGGGCCAAAAAAUUUUAGUGGAUUUCUAUGUCUUACCGUUACAGGGAUGGGAUAUGGUGUUAGGAAUUGAGUGGUUAGCUACAUUGGGACCAGUUAUCAUAGACAAUGCUACAUCAGUUUUUCAGUUUACACACAAGGGCCACCAAAUAUGUUGGUAAGGAGACUGAUUUCCUGUUGCUCAGCCAAUUCAAUACAAUUCCCUGCGUCGAUUAUCCUCCACACAUGCCAUCGUUGAGUUUCACCGGUUAGAAUUGGUCUCUAAUUCAAACGGGUCCAUUUCUUCAUACCCAACCGAUAUUGACAUUAUGCUGGAUGAAUAUCUGAUAUUUUCACUAAACCCCAGGGUCUGCCACCAUCGGAAACACGUGACCAUGCCAUUAACUUGCAGUCUAACAUGAAUACGAUUCAAGUACGGCCUUACCGGCAUCCUCACUUUCAAAAAAAGAUGGAAAAACUGGUCACCGAAAUACUUCACGAUGGAAUUAUCCGACCCAACACCAGCCUAUUUUCUUCUCCAAUUAUUUUGGUUUGAAAAACAAGAUGGCACAUGACGUUUUUGUGUGGACUAUUGUGCCCUCAAUGCCGUCACGGACCAUGAUUGCAUUCCCAUUCCAUCAAUCGAGGAAUUGUUUGAUCAACUGCAUGGAGUUCACUAUUUUUCAAAGCUAGAUCUCUGGAUAUCAUCAAAUCCGUAUUUGCACCGGCGGUGAAUGUAAAACGGCUUUCCAAACUAACGAUGGGCAUUCCAAAUUCCUCGUCAUGUCUUUUGGCCUCACCAAUGCAUCCUCCACCUUUCAGGCCCUGAUGAAUGAUGCGUUAAAUCAAACUUUAUUUGAUAAUAUGUUUUGAUAUAACAAAUUAAAGUAUUUUCUAAUAAAAAUUAAAGUUAAAUAAAAUUGAAAAAAAUAAUAAAAUGAUGUUAAAAUAGUUUCAAUUAAAUUAAACAUUUUCAAUCAUGUUAAAAUUAUUUUUAAACAAGUCAAUAUUGCUCAUAUCUAUAAUUUUCAAAACAUCAAUACCUAUUCUAAAAUUGAUACCAAGUUAAUAUUCUGUUUUCAAUUAAUUAUCAAAAGUAUCGAUACCUUUUACUAGGUAUCAAUAAAUUAUCUUUGGUAUUGUUGUAAACUAUCUUUAACUGUCAUUGAAUCAGACAUUAAAUGCUAAUAAUAUCAAUACUCUCGUAUAAAAAGUAUCGAUACUUUUUGUUGCAGGUGAAUUUAAUAAUUUGGUAUUUUCAUCCCCAACGAUUCUAUUCAUGUUUCCAACAAUCGCAAUGGUUGGCAAUGAAUUAGAGAGUAUAAAUACGAUCUUCCAAAGGUCCUACAACAACUAGAGAGAUCAUCAACCCAAAAGAUUAAUCAAUACAACCUUAGUGUUUAAUUCUUUCAUACUUUUCAUACACUUGUAGGUUUCAUUGUUAUUCUUUAGCUCAAUUGUAUUCUUGUUUAUUUUUGCUUAAUUGGCUAACAUUCUGUUCUUGUAAGGAUUGCUUCUUAGUUUGCUAUUUGUAUUUACUCUUUGAAAGGGUUGAGUUUAAAUGUUUGGGUAGGAACCUUAAGAGAGUUGCAAUCUUAAGAUUUUGGGUAGAAAUUUAAAAGAGAUUGUAAGGUUAAACCUUAUCUUCAAAUGUUAUCAAAUUAGUGAAUUUGAGAAAACUAAGGUAGUAGAGUAAGCAAUUGGGGGUCGAACCACUAUACAUCGAAGUGUUCAUUAUCUCUAUUCUUUUCUUAGUAACCACAAAAUCUUUAAGAAACUAAUUCACCCCCCUCUUGUCGCGCCUUAAAAAAAAGUUGACUGUUCAAGUUAACACGAUAUUUUCCUACCGUUUUUUCGGUAAUUUGUUCUCGUCUUCUUCGACGACAUACUAAUCUACAACGACUACAUCUUGUUGCCCCCAAAAGAAAAUUCAUGUAGUACAUCUUUAAUUGUCUUUAAAUUGGUCUCACAAAAUAGAGAUACAAUGACUCCUUUAAAUAGGUUAUGAUUAGAGUUCUAAUCAUACUAAAAAUAUUCCUAAAAUAAUCAGAGUUCCACUGGGAAAAGAAAUCCAAUUUAUGUGGAGGAAUAUAUCGUCGAAUCGCAAUGUUCCCAUUCGUGUUGUCACGACGUCGUCUGUUAUCACAAUAUCAAAAAGCUCCUCAUCAUAACGUCAUUGUCUGUUAGACUGAAAAUACGAAUCACACCCACAAAAUCUUUAUUGAUUUUUACUAGCUUCUGCCAUUUUCAAAGGUUUCAAAAAGGUAAUCGGUCCUAAUUUCUAACACGCUUGGGAAAUUUUUCUCAAAGGCAACUAACACAAAACUGUGAGACCACAUAAUUAUAAUAUAAUUUCAACUGUAUUUGUUUUUUUCUUCUUCUUUUUUUUGUUGAAAAUAAAUGCAUGACAAUUUUGAAAUCAUUGCCACAAAUUCAACUUUUUCUUAUUUUUUCUCCAGAAAUUUCUGUUAUGUAUCUUCUCGAUAAGCAGUUUUUUAAUCCAAGUUGACUGGAAAUUUUUCUUCCUUGGCUUCACCUUUGAUGCGAUAUUUUGUAUAUUUGUUCAAUCGUUUUCUCUCCUUUUCAUAGUGAACGCUGGUUUAGCGGCUACUACCAAAAGGACUAAAAUAAAAUAAAAUCUUGAAUAAUUAUUUAACUUUAUAAUAUAAAUAAAUCAUCUUAAAUCCACAUCCAUACAAAACUAGACUUUUCUUUAUAUUCCUAAAAAUCGAAAAAAAAAAGGAUUUUACAUGAAUUUAUAUAUAUAUUAGAAUUAGAUUAUGAUUUGAUUUGUCGAUAAAAUUAAUUUAAUUAAAAUAUUAAAAUAUUAAAAAAUUCAAUUUAAUUAAUUUUUUUAAUCAGUUCAAUUGGCCCAUAUCGAUUCUCGAUUCAAUUGGUUCAAUACCAUUUCUCAGGCAAUUAUCCCUAUCCAACUGAUCCAAUCUGAUACAAACAUAAUCAAAUUUUGAUAAUUCAUAUAUACAAUGUCAUGAGUAUAUUUUUGGCGUUCUGAUCAUGUUUAAAAUCAUUUAUGUUUCAUUUUAUGUUGGUAUUUUUUUUUAGCAUGUGUACCGUAUGUUGUAUCUACGGUUAUAAUCCAACUUAUUCAAGCUCAAAUAAUGAUAAGCUCGAACUCUACUUAAAACUGACUAUUCAUUAGUUAAUUUAAUCACUUACUUGAGUAUCAUUUUCAAAAUUUAAGCUUUAUUCGAGAUAAUAUAUAAUUAAAUUACUUAACCUCUUCUUAAAAUAUAAUCAAACAACUCGUAUUUAAUAUGAUUAUUCAUGAUUGUUUAGUAUUAAAAACUUCGUUUGAACACUUAUUUUUCUAUUCAAUAUGUAGGAGGGCUAAUUAGUCACUCUUUCAAGUGCUGUCGGUAUGGGUUCAAAUUUCGUUUAUACUAUUAACCUUUAAAAAAUAAUUUGAUAAGUAAAAUAUUUUUAAAAAAUUCAAUUAAAUUCAUAAAUUACAACAUAUUAUAUUCUCAAGUUUACGUAAAAAUCAGGAGCAAAGGAUACAAAGAGAAAUGGAACUUCCAUAUCUGUGUAGUAAACAGCAUAAACAGAUUUAAAAAGAAACAGAUAUGAAAGCCAUUGAAGUUUACAAGGUCGUUAGAUAACUACCUGAAAAAGAUAGCGCCGAUUUUAAGGAUUUCAAAAAAUCGCCAUAAAUUUAUUUUACGAUUAUUUUAUCUUCGAAUUUCAACAAGAAAAAAAGCUUUACACUCUUAACGGCGACCGCAGCAUUUUCCGGCGGUGAUGAGAUGAUACCGAAGACGACGUCGAUGAACUACCGGAACUCACCGUCCCAUAGAACAAAUCCGAUAAGUAAUUCCCGAUAUCUUCGGGUGAAAACCUAACAAAUAAUCUUGCACUCCUUUCAUCUCCGACCGUUGAUAUCUGCGUAUUAUAAAAGUCUCGAUAUAAUGUCACCAGUUUUGUUGCGAUGGAAGCUUUGAUCUCUUCUCGCAGUUCUGAAUCCGGGACGAUACAAGAACGUUGCUUCCAAUACGCAUUUUCAAAGCUUGCAUUGAAUUUUCUGAAACAGUCUUUGGCUUUACCCGCCGUUAUCGGAGCCGUUGGAUUGUCCGGCAACGAGGCGAACACUUCACCCCACGCUAACGGCUCGUAAUUUGAUGUGAAUUGUUUCACCUUAGCCUCGUGUUUAGUGAUCCAUUCUUCGCCGAGUAUGUACUGGAGAUUCGAUGUACGGACUCUGGAGAUUACGUGUUGGAGAUUGUUGGCUAAGAAGAGGUAUGAUAAGGAAACGUCUUUGUAAUGCUUUGCUUUACCGUCGAGUUUGCAGAGUAAGACGAGGAUGAGCCAAGCAAAGCGGACGGAAAUCGCCGGCGCCGUUGAAUCUUCGGAGUCUGGACCGAAUAAGAAAGAAGCCGGUAAUGUUGAUUUCGCCGGUGGUGGCCAGUCCGAUAUAAUGUCGGUGAGGAUGUUGCUGUAAUCGGCGAGGAGAGUGAGGUAAUUCAUCGAGGAGUUCGUUAGUGGAUGUAAACCGCCACCUGGAAUCAUCGUUUUGGAUGAAUCCUUUUGGAUUGUCGAUUCAAAGUCCAUCAACAACGAACGAACGGACUCACUGAGUCGAACCAGCGAGUCGAGAGCUUGUAAUCGAACGGUUGAAGUGGAUUCGAAUGAAAAGAUCGUUUCGAUCUCUUUCCAGUCUUCUGAAAUCGCCGAGUACAUGUCGAGAACACGGAACAUUUUCUCCGGCGAAGAUUUUUUCGUCUUGGCGACUAGCUCCGGGAAUCCAAACAAAAGAAUCGCUGCUUCUUUUGAAAUCUCCGUGAAACAAGAUUCUUUGAUGAGAUCGGACGUAGCAAAGACCUGAUCGCAGAGGAUUCUUUCUCCGGUGAAAAGCGUUCUCAUUGAAAUCUUCUCAGCUUCUAACCAGUUCUUGAUUUUUAAAUCAAGUACAUCCCAUUCCAUUUUGUUAACCUGAGACGAACUCAAUUUCUCGAUUCCCAGCUUAUAAACACCUUCAUCGAUAAUCGAUUUUCGAAUUGUUUUAUAAACAUGCAUGCAUUCUUUAGCGUAACCAGAAGCAAUCAUGCAAUCAGCUAUCAGUUUCAAAUCCGACAUGGCCAUAGAAGAAACUUCUUCUAUUUCAGAGAUAGAAUCACCUGCGGUUCGGAUCUCAUCAUCGUCAUCAAAAUCCGACGUACUAGAUCUCGCGGAGGUCCGUGACGACCUUGUAGAAACCGAUUCUGGAUCCAAAUGAGCCCGGUUCAUCGAUAAAAUCUGGUAAAACUCUUUUUGAAGCCUCUUCAUCGCUGUUUGCAUCAAAAUUUGAGCUCGAACGAGUUUUUCCGAACCGGAAUCUUGAUCAGAAACCAACAAAUGCAUUGUUUUUUGUAACUCGUUAACAGAUCUUAUGAACUGUAAGGCUUCUCUUUUGCUUUCGUAGAAAAGAGAAGUGACUUUAGCGUAAGCCGACGUAUCAGCAUCCCAUUUCAUGAUGAUUGUAGCUGCGGCGUCGAUCGUUUGCUCGAUCAUGGAUUGUGAAAAUCUCCGGCGGUUAGUGGUACUGGCCGUAGAAUCCGAUGUGGUGGAUUGACGAGAGGUGGAAAACGACGGCGUUCUGGGGCUAAAUCAAAGGCUCCUCAUUCCUUUUCUCGGCAUUUUUUGAGAGGCAAGUUUUCCUUUUUUGAAGCUCUUUUUCUGUUUUGCGGCAGAUGAUAAUAGAUAAUUAGGUAAUACAGGAAGAAACUUGGAUUUUGAAUUUCGUCUUGUUUUGGGGGAGCUUUUAGAGUAAUAAAUAAAUGGUGGGGAAGGGUGUAUUUAUAGACGUUUCGCCUAACGACGCCGUUGCGUGACAGGGAAGAACAUGGGACUUUGACUUUUUAAGUCAAGACAAUUUGCUUUUUACGCGGUACACGUGUCUCGUUAUAAUCCAAUCAAGAAAAAUAUUAAAAUUAUUUAGAAAAGUAAAAAUAUCUCAUAGCUGGCUAAACUUUUCGUAAAUUCACAAUUUAGUCCCUGUAUUUUUAUUUUUAGAUUUCAAAAUUUAAGUUUGUGUGACAUUUCGAAAUAAAAGAAUAUUCACUUAGUAGCAAUGUAACUAAAAAAAUUGUAUUGUUACGAACCUCAAUUUAAUAAACUAAUCUUAGCACUUGGAUAUGAAAUUUGAAAUAUGAAAAGUAGUACUAAAUUUCUAAAAAUAAAAGUAUAGGAACUAAAUUUUAAAUUUAAGGAAAGUAUAAGGACUUAUGACAAAUUUUGACUUUUAAAAAAUUGUUACUAAAUUUUAAAAUUAAUAAUUUAUUUUGAUUUAUAUCAAAAAGUAAUUAUUUUUAUUUCUAUUCUUAUCAUUAAGAACUAGCAUGAAUUACUAAAUAAUUAGACCAAGUUUUGACAAUAGAAAUAGAUGAUUUUUUUAACAGAUGAACCAGUUUUUCGUUGGGACUAACGAGGCUCGAACCCUCAGCUUUCGCCUUGAUAGGGCAGUGCUCUGACCAAUUGAACUACAAUCCCAAGGAAAUAAAGAAAAGUGUACGACAUAGAUAGUUUUAUGAUUUCAUUCUAGCCAUUUUCUAUUUAGAUUUUAGAUUCGAAUCGUCGGGUUGUAACAAACAAAAGCGUGAAUGAUAUAUUGAUAUCCAUAUAGGUAUGUACUUUGAGUGAGAGUGAUGCAGAUUACUAGUUACUAGGAAUCCUUUCGUUAUUAUCAAAUAAAUCGAUCAAUACUCAAUUUGAAAAUGAAAAAGAAAAGGUCUUCUUUUUCUGACUAUUAAUACAAAAACAUUCGCGAAACUUUUUCUUUUUCAAUAUUAAUUUCAUUAUAGGUUCUUACCAUUCUUUUUUAUACAAUACUUAAAACUACUCAUAGCCUUUCUCCAAACCUUAAAUAAGAGGAUAAUGUGAUUAAGUGCACUCGAACCCUCGUCUUCCUACACCUAAUCGAACUAAGAGUCAAUCGACAACUUCCAUGAAACUUUUAUCUAUAAAAUAAUUCUUUUUUUUAAUAAAUGAUUAUAUUCAAUUUGGGUUUUAUUUAAUAGAUGCAAGUAAUACAAGUUGAAUAUUGAACACUUAUUCUAAUGUUGAAAAAUGAUAAAAAUGUUUUUGACUUGAGACUCUAAAAAGCGUAAAUACAAGUUGAGGAAAGAUAAGCUGUGACGCUUAACUCUUAAUAUCACGUAAGCAUACAUAUCAUGAAAAUUUUCAUACGCUUAGAAAAUUCUAAUUAAAUAUAACAGCCUCAUAUUAAUUCAAAACAACUAUAUGAUGUUUAACUUUUCAAAUAAUACGGCAAAUUGAGUCUUAACUCGAUUGGCAUGAGUAUUAUUGUUAAUGUAGGAGGACAUGGGUUUGAGUACGUCGAAGCGCAUUAUCCUCCUAUCUAUGGAUUGGGGAGGAACAAUGAGUAGUUCUAGAUAUUGUAUCAUUAAAAGCAUAUAUGAUCAAAACAUUGUUAAAAAAAUUCAAAUAGUUUGAUAACUAUUUGAUGUUUAACUUUUCAAAUAGUAUGACGAUCGAGUACUUUAGCUCGAUUGAUAUGUGUAAUAUUACUAAUGUAGGAGGAUAUGGGUUUAAGUGCGCUAAAACGCUUUCUUCUCCUAUUUAUGGGUUAGGGAAGAACUAUAAGUAGUUCUAGAUAUCGAGUCAUAAAAAACAGAUAUAAUCAAAACUUAUAACAAAAUUAUUUUUAAAAAAAUCAAAAAAUUUGAUAACUAAUGUUUAACUUUUGACAUAUUUUUCUUGAAAAUAAAACCCCAUGACAAGAAAUCAUUAUCUAUGAAAAGUACUAAAAUUGUGUUCCCACCUUUCUUAUUCCCCUUUCAUUCUUUGAUACUAUAUAAUAUGAUUUUCUUUUGCUUAUACAUUCUUCUAAUAAAAAAUUAAAAUUAUGGUUUUGACUUUUUUUAUACUCGAAUUUGAGAUUUAAUUUAUGUAUUUUAAUUUGAUUUAAUUUAAUUUCUUCAUUUUUAUAAACUCAUUAAUUAAUCUAAAAAAAUAAUAUCAUUAAUUAUUUUGAGUAAACUGCAAACAUGAUAUUUUAUAAAAAAAAUCAUUUCAACACAAAACCUAUUUUUUUUUUAAAAAAAAAUCAUUUCAACACAAAACCUACAUAGAUAUGAUAUAAAAAAUAAAGGAUUAAAUUGCAUUAAAUUAAAAUAUAGAGACUAAAUUUCAAAUAAAACCCUACACUUAAAACGAUAAGAUAUCGUUGUUUCCCACCUUUCUUAUUCGCGUUUCAUUCUUUUUUUUUUAUCCUUUUGCUUAUACAUUAUUCUAAUAAAUAAAAUAAAAUUACGGUUUUUGCUCUUUUAUUAUAUUUAAUUUUGAGAUUUAAUUUCUAUACUUUAAUUUAAUUUAUUUUGAUAUUUAUAUUUUUUAUAAAAUAAUUAGUUAACAUUAAUGAUUAUAACAAGAUUAAAAAAAAACCCAAUUGAAUGUUAACUUGAUUAGUAUGAACAUUGUUGUUAAUUAAUACAAGAGGACGUGGGUUCGAGUGAUGAGUUGAGGAGGAGUUAUGUGUAUUUUUAGGCAUUUUGUCGAAAAGAACAGAUAUGAUCUAUCUCGACAUGAUUAUCAUAAAUUAUGUUAAAUUAAAACAUAAAAAAUAAAUUUCAAAAUGUGGUUGUUACUUUUAUUAUUUCAAAAUAUUCACUUCUUACAUUUUCUAAUGUGUAAUAAAAAUGAGGAAAUUUGUGUUUGAAAGGGUGGAAAAAAUGGGCACUAUUUACGGCUUAUAUAAUCAACAAAAUCAUUGCUUUGCUUUGUGUAUUCCAAAUGAUAAGCGUGUGAAAUAGAAAACUAUUUUCAGAAGAAGAAAAAAAACUCCAUCUUGUUCUAUUUAAAAUUAAAAAAAUAAAAAGCCAAUUUUUUUUUCUAUUUCAUACCUACACAAUACUGCACGUCGAUUGAGUUUUAGUUUGAUUAGUAUGAACAUUGUUGCCAAUGGGGAGGACGUAGGUUCAAGUGCGUUGAAGCAUGUUAUCCUCUUAUUUAUGGGUUGAGGAGGGGCCAUGAGUAGUUUUAGGUAUUAUGUCAUAAAAGAGUAGAUAUAAUCAGAAUCUACAAUAACAUUGUUCAAAACAUAUUUUUGUGAAAAUCUAUUGAUAUAUUGAUGACUAGGAUCCAAAUCAAGGCUUUAAUUAAAUCUAAUUAUAAUAAUGCUAUGAAAAAUAAGAUUAUAUGUAUCACACGUAUGGUGCUAAUUCUAUUGCAACUAAGUCAAAUAUUAGGAGCCCUUAAAUUUAGUUUUAAUGUUUGAUUUAGUAGUUAAAUUUGAUAUUCGCGUUUGGCUUCGAUGUUAAUUUUGGCACCUUAGUUUGCUUAAUUUAAUAUUAGGGUGUUUUUCCGAGUUUGACUUCAAUGUUUAAUUUGGCAUCUGAACUUUAUUUUUUGUUCGAAUUAAGUACCUAUGUUUUUUUUUACUAAAGAUCAUUUGGUUUGGGUAUUGAAUUGAACAUUAAAAUCAAACUCAAGUACCCUACUAUAUUAACCCUAAAAAGUUCAUUGUUAUUACCAAAAGAAAUAGCAUUAUAUGGGGUAAAAGUAUCAUGGAGGCCCAUGUACUAUUGAAUUUUUCCACUUUUACUCAAAAAUGGGUAAAAUAGUCAUUAUAUGUUAGAUCAAAGAGUAAACCAGACAUUUCUAUUAAAAAUUUCAUUCAUUUCUACUAUUAAAAAAUGGUGUGGCUGACAAAAUAACUAAAUAUUUAUAUGUGACGUGCGACAUGUACCUCAUUAUGAUGUACAAUGACCGGUUGUUAACAAUAAAAAUGGAUGGACUUUUUAGCAAUAUGGUCAAUUUGCUCUUUGCUAUUUGCUAUAAAGUACAAAUAUUAAUUUACCCACUUUUCAAGUAGGGGGCAAAAUGUAAUUUCACUCCCAAUACAAGGGUCACCAUGAGAAUUUUACCCAUUAUAUGGAGUUAUAUUGUUUCCAUGCAUGCGAUACAGCUAAAUUUGUUCAUGAGUCGAGCUCGGGCUUGAACAUUCAAGGCCUAAUUCCGGCCCAAUUUUAAGUUUAUGAUACUUUAUAUUAUGCUAUUUUUUAUAUAUUAUGUAAUUUAUAACACAAAAAAAAUUUAUAUUAAAUAUAUAAUAUUACUCUAAUGUAAACAUUAAAAUAAUGCUAAGAUGACUAUAUAAAAAAUUUUAAUAAAUAAAAAAUGUAUAAAAUCAUUAAAUAUUUAAAAAAUAAAAAAAUAUGGAUGGGUCUAAAAUAAGUUUGGGUUAUUUUUUUGCAAAUAUGAGCGAGUUUUUAGGCUCAUAUUUAGGGUCGAGCCGAGCUUGGGAAAGUAUAAAAUAUGUUAAUAUUAUGUUUAGACUUAACUAGAUACAGUCGUACACGCUUUAUGAUUUUCAUUAUUAUUUUACUUGCCGGUAUUAGUAAAUAAAUAAAAAUUCGAUGCUAAUAGAGUCUUAGCUUGGUUGGUAAACGCGCUUCAAUACGUUUAUCCUUCGAUUUAAGAGUUAAAAAAUGAUUAUUCUAGACAUUAUAUUUUAUCAUAAAUUUUGUUCUCAUCCUUUUUGUUUCAACUUUUAUGCAUAAAAUAUGUGUGAUCAAGAGAAAAGAAAUUUUAAGGAAAAAAAAUACAGGAAAAACCAUUUUCAACCAAAGAAAUGAACAUAAUUUAUAAUUUAUAUCAUUUUACCUAGUCUUUGGUAUGUUGUUGUUUGAAUUUUUCUCAUUAUGUCUAAUUACAUAUUUUUUAUUAUGAGUGGUCAGUCUUCCAUAACCAACAAUGGAGCUUUUAUUUAUUUAUUCUAUGGCUUUAAUCAGGUCAAGUUCGUCUUAUGUAAAAUAAAACAAAAAUCUCAGUUUUUUUUUUAAAUAUGAAGUAAAUAUUAUGAUCAUAUUUCUCUCUUCUACAAAUUUUAUAAACCUUUUCCAACAUAUUAUUCAUGGUCAUUUUUAAAUUAUUUUACUGACAUUUCUACAUUUUUUUUUCAUACCAUUGGUACAUAAUUUGGGUAAAUUUUUUUUAUCCUGAAUCUUGAACCUUGAACUCUAAACCCUAAACUUGAACCCAAACCUUGAACAGUAAACUUUGAACCUUGAACCUGAGCCUGAACCUCAAACCCGAACUUGGGUUUGGGGUUCGAGAUUUAGGGUAACAAAAUUGCAAAAAUUAGGUGUUAAUGACAUGUAAAAAUUGUUGAAAUAUCAUUAAAUAAUCGAAAAAUGGACUAUGGAUGAUGUGGCAGGAAUGGUUCAUAAAAUAAUCUCUACAAAUACCUCAAAUUAAUAAGCUUUUUUUAAAAAAAAAAAUUAAGAUAUGCAUACAUGGAUAUCCGCAAAUUAUUUAAUGAUAUUUUAGCAAUUUUUUUCAUGUUAUUUACACAUAAUUUUUUUUUACCUUGAACCCUGAAUCUUGAAUCCUAAACCCUAAACUCUAAACUAUAAACUUGAACCCAGACCUUAAACCUCAAAUGAUGAACUCAAAUUCAAGCUUAAACCCUAAAACUCAAACCCAAACUUAGGUUUACAAUUUAAGGUUUGAGUUUAAAUUCAAGGUUUAGGGUUCAAGUUUAGGGUUCGAGAUUCAGGUUAAAAACUUCACCAAAAUUACGUGUCAAUGGCAUGAAAAAUUUGUUGAAAUGUUAUUAAAUAAUUGAAAAAUGACCAUAGGUGAUAUGAUAGGAAGAAUCCAUAAAAUAUUUUCUCUACAAAUCCCUGAAAUAAAUAAAUUUUCUUUUUGAAAAAUUAAGAUAUGCAUACGUGGAUAUCCCUGGAUCUUAGGAAAUCAACAAAAAAAAAAAAGUUAAGUUGAAUAUUAUUCUAUGUAAAAAUAUGUGACUUCUUCUCUUUUUGAUUAUACUUAUAAUUAAUUAAUUGAAUUAUAUAUUAAAUCUUAGGUAUAGAGAUAUGAGGACGUAAAGCCAAGCAACUAUAGGAAUUUUGUUAAAUUAUUCCACAUUUAUCACACAUGUUUUUGACAAAAUAGUGUAAACAAGAUAUACCCAUUAUAAUUCCACGCGUAGGUAAUGAUGAUUUUUAGUUUGUGAAUUAAAUUCUCGUGUUAGGUUUAGUGGUUAAGACACUUCAUUAAUAGAAUUCACCCGGGUUUAAGUUUUUACGGGAGUAAGUGGUAAGCUUUUAUUUGAGUAACUCUUUUUGAACAUAGUGUAUGGGUGUUUGACGUAGAUAUUUUCCUACCACAAGUGUGUGAGUAUAAAAACUUAGUCGAGACAAUUUCAAAUUUAAAAAUUUUAAGCCAUUUCGGGUUUGUUCCAGGUCGAUUCAUUUCUUGUUUAAGUCGUUUUGGGAUUGAAUCACUCAAAUUUUUUAGGUCAAUUCAUUAUGGAUUUAAAUCAUUUCGACUGUUGGUUGCUCCAAAUUGAUUUAAAUCAUUGCUUUGCUUCCAUCAUCCAACCGCAUCAAUGUAUUCAAACUCAUGUCUUAAUGUAUUGACAACAACAUUCAUGCUAACCGAACUAAGACUCAAUCGAUAAAUUAAAAAAAUUAAUAAACAUUAUAGUCAAUUCUGUAUUGGUUUCAGUUAAUGGGUCGAUGCAAUUAAUUCUCUUUUUUGCACCGAUUAAAAUUUCAGUUUGUACCGUAAUUUAACUUUUUACUUUCUAACAUCAUGCAUCGAUUAAUACAUGAAUAUUUUAUAUAUUAAACAUACUUUCAAAAUUAUUAAUAAAUCAAAAACGAUAUAUCAAAACAAACAGAUAUCAAUUUGUCCACCAAUAGAAUAGGGCCAUGGAAAUAAUUAAUGCACUGUGAGAAGCGUCUAGAGAGAGACUGGGUGUAGCAUGGCUUUUGACCUCUAGAUUGCCUUGUUUUUGCUUCCAUUAACCCAUGAAAAAUGGCAACAAAUUAAAGGCUUAGUGUAAGGCCCAAUUUUAUGCCCAGGCCCGAAUAUUAAAACAUGAUAAACAACAGUCCAAUUACAAAGGAAAAUAACAAGCCCAAUGUAGCCCAUGGCCCAAAACAAAAAUUAAAAAACCAGCCUAGACAACAUUAACAUUUUCAGCAGAAAGAUGCCCCCCAAACCCUAGCGCCGCAUGCCUCGCGUGGCCUCCUCGUCUGCCACGCCCAGCUCUCCAUGCCACCAUGUCGGCCACCUGCUCCUCUAUACCACCAUACCUCUGUCACCUUCACCCAUUCCCUGCAGGACCAGAAAGAAGACAAGACAAUAAAAUACAAUUUUGUAAAGGCUAUAAAAGCCUAUUUGGCUUUCUGUAACGGGGGGGGUUUCUUUGUUUUUUUUGUUUUUUUCGGCAUUUUAAUACAAAAAAAACAGAAGCUAGAAUAAAAAAAAUACAUAGAUUUCAGUAUUGAGAUAGCAAGCAUUCGGAGAAAAAAGGAAAGGCAAACGGAAAAGGUUACUUUUUUCAUCCAUUUUCUUUCGAUUUCCAUAUACAUAUCUAUACAUUUUUUAAAUUAAUAUAAACCUAAAAUCUAUAUAUUCUAAGACCAAAAAUAAAUAAAAAAUAUAGAAAAAAAAAAAGAAAUUUUACCUUUUCCAGCCACCGCGUGCGGUGGCCGGCGCCGGCGUUGACGAGUCUCCGGUGACCGUCCGGCGACCGGACCCCUGGCCGGAGUCCCACCGGAAAUCGCCCUCUCCCUCUCCCUCUCCCAUUCUUUUUUCUUUUUUCCCUUUCCCCAUCCCCAAAUGAAUUUUUUAAAAGUUUUUUUACUUAUAUAAGGGACCAAAACGCACAGUUUUGGUCCCCCCUUUAAUAAAUAAAACGACGUCGUUUUGGACGCGGGUCGGGUCGACCCGACCCGCACCAGGGCGGGAUCCGCGUGUUUCUUAGUGGAAGGGAAAUUUGCGUGCUCAGCCCUUCCGCUUUUCUGAGAUUUCACAAGUACGUUUUUUUAUGUUUUGUAAUUCUGCCCUAGAAUUUUUCAUCUUUUUCAAUCUGGUCUCCGUGCUGCGCAGCGUUUAGAUAGUUGGGAUUAUUUGCGAUUUCGGUCCCUCCAGGUUGCGCGCAUCUCACAUUUUGAUCCCUCCUCUUUGUUUCCUUUUACAUUGACCCCACAACUUUGUUUUUAAUUUAAUUUUUGUCAUUUUUCGUUACCUUUAUUUCCUUAUUAAAUACUCUUAUUAUUAUUAAUAUUAUUAUGUAUUAGUUUAUGUUUUAAUAUACAAUUAUAUAUUUAUAAUAUGUAUACACGCUUAGGAUAUUUGUAUAUACUUAUAUAAUAUUAGUACUAAAAGUUUUAUUUUAAUAUGUAUAUAUUAAUAAAUGAUUAAAAUUAUAUCUGUACGUAUAUUCUUCAUUAUGUUCUUAAUACUAUACUUUACAUAUAUCGUACAUUUCGUUUCAAGUUUGCUUUCAUGUAUUGUUUAGUCAAAAUUGUUUUAUUGCUCAUUUUAAAAUUGUUUCACAUACUUUGCUUUAAACAUUAUAUCUCUUUCAUAUUAUACACAUCAUUUUUAACUCUAUAUUGUAUAUCACAAUCUCAUAUAUUAUGUACGUACUUCUCAUAUUAUUAGUUACGCAUAUAUUCUUUACAUUAUCUUAUGUGCAUAUAUUUUUCAUAUUAUAUUAUAUACCUAUCCUUUUGAUACCAUGUUGUAUAUAUUUUCAAUACUAUAUUACAAAAAUUUUUACCAUAUUAUGUAUGUUAUGUAUAUACGUUUUAAUGUUUUUGAACUAUCUUAUAUGUAUAUUUUAAUAACUAUAUGAGGUAUGUAUUUUUAACACCGUAUUAUGUAUGUAACUUUCAACAUCAUUGUAUACACACUUUUUAAUACUAUGUUAUUUAUACGUUUUUAUAGGUAUCGUGUACAUGCUUUAAAUACCAUCAUGUAUAUAGUUUUUUUAUUGUUACUAUUAUGUAUACAUAUAUGUAGUAUCAUUAAUAGUUCUAAUAUCAUGCUCCCAUCACUUUGCUAACCAUUAUUAUAUGUUUGUAUAUAUUAAUCCGUAUUUCGCGUUUAAUACUAUUGUUAACAUAUUUAAUAUCGCAUAUAUGGCCAUUGUUUUAAUAUUCUCGUCGUAUUUAUCAUUUAUUUCAACAUAUUUCUAGCCCUUCCAUUUGUUCACUUUUAUUUCAUAUCCAUUUUGCUUGGCAUUUCAAUGAAAUCUUAUUCUCAUUUUCUAAUUAAUUUUAAUAAUCGAGGAAACAUAUCGACUUAACAUUAAGUCAUCGAGUUCAUCGCUACGUUGGGUGAACGUCAAUUGACUCGUGUUAAAGCGAUACGCCCUUCUCAAAAACCAGAAUAAACUAAAAUUUCUCAUUUUUUUUCAGAUCACAACUAAACUUUACAUUGAAUUCGCAUUUUUGAAAAUUAAGACAACAUGUGUUUAUGAGAUACCAAUUUUUGGGCGUCGCGAGGGUGCUAAUACCUUUCUCGCGCGUAACCGACUCCCGAACCCUAAUUUUCCUCUGGAUUUUAACGUAGACCUAAACUCAGCCUUUUAUUUGUUUUAAUAAAAGAUCUAAUAGGUGUCCGAUCACACCUAGGAAAAAGGAUCGGUGGCGACUCCCUAUUUAUUUCAAAAAUCAAACGUCAAAUUUUCAAUAAAUCGCCACAAUUAGCGACCCCGAAUCCACCAAAUUUUUACGUCGCUACACUUAGUCGUCAUCUUAUUUAUUAGCAUCGGCACAUAUCUGACCAAAAUAUACUGGUUUUACCGGCGGUGACUGUGGCAACGGAUUUGAUUUGCGGCAAUGAAUAAUUUACCAAGUCAACCUCCAUCUCACUAAAUUUUAAAGUUUAUUUUCUUAUUUAUAACAAUAAGAAGGACUCGAGUUCAAGUUCACUUAAACACGUAUUAUAUUUCUAUAUUCAUAUAAAUUUCAAUUAGUAAAAUUAUUAUUUGAGGAUUUUUUUUCUUUUUCCAGCAUUUUACCCUCCUCUUGUAAAGAAAUUUACAAUGUCGAAAAAUAUGAAUUUAGAUUAAUUUAAUCAACUAUCAAUGUAUAAUUCAAGAACUAGUAUCAAUAAAAAAAAUAAAUGAUAAAAAAAUGGUAAAACUCUAAGGUAAUGUUUGGUACUUUCUCGUGUUAUGAUUUUAAUAGAAUGUGAUUAUUGGGAAUGUGAUUGUCGAGAAAAUUACUUUAUAAUGUUUGGUAUACAUUAGAAAAUAUUGAUUAAAAUCUCAGAGAAGUUACGUUAUCUCCUUUGGUUCACUAAAUAGUUUCUUAAGAAUAAAAUAAUAAUUUACGAAUUUACCUUUAUUAAAUGAAAGAUAAUAUUCAUGCAUUUAAUUUUUUUUAUAAUAAACUUAAAUAUUCAUAAAUACUAUAAAAAAUUAAAUUUUCAAUUAAUAUAUCGAAAAGAAAGAGUGAAAAAUAAUAGAAAAUAAAUAUAAUAUGUAAACGAUAUACUAUAUAGAUGAUUAAAUAUGUAUAUAAAAAAUAAAUUUAGAGAAAAAAAACUACUUGCAAAGAAUCUGUUGAAAUAAUAAAGAAAAUCAAGUAGGAGGUAGGAGACUUAAUAGACUAAUACCCACAUUUUAUCAUGGAAACUACAUUGUCAUAUUCAUGGGAAAGUAACUUCCACGAGAAAGUUAAGAUUUCAAUGAAAGUAAAUAAAUUUUGACAUAACACGCGUUGGAAUUACGUGUCAAUUGAUUAAAUUUCCAAUAAAUUGAUUACUUUUCAUCAUCCAAUCGCUACAUGAAUAAUUUUUUGCCGAUCAUAGUUAAUAUGGGUUUAAGUGCGCUGAAACGCAUUAUCUUUCUAUUUAAGGAUUAGAGGGGGGCUAUGGAUAGUUUUAGACAUUGUAUAAAAAAGAGCAGAUAUGAUAACAACCUAUAAUAAGAUUAAUUUGAUUCAAAAAUAAAAAUUCAAUUCGAUUCGAUUAUUGUUAAGCGGAACUCAAGCCAGCAAAGUAAGUUCAAGUACCCUAAUACUUGAUCCAAGCAAUUAUUGAACUUAAUCAAACUUUUUUAUUUAUAAUGAGUUGGUGUCACGAAUUAGCCGGAUAUCAAUUCGAUUAGGAAAUAACCAAUAUGCCCUUUUUAUUAAAUGAUUAUUGUUAUUAUUUUGAUGGUCUUUUUGUCUUCUCAUAUUUUUAUAUAGUUCUUAAAUAAAAAACUAAAAUUAACAUGUCUAGGGAUUGAACAUGAAUUUAUAAAAGUUAAUGGGUUUAUAAACAAAUUAUUUACCACUAUAUCAAUAAUAAUUAUAGAAUAAACUUUAAAAAAAAAUUUAACAUAAAAUAUUUUCUCUCACCAAAUUUGUAUAUAUAGAUAGUGUCACUGAUUGCAUUGACAAGUUAACUCGAUAUUUAUUUUUUUAAAUAUAAAAUUUCAAUAUUGAACUUUUUUUACUAACUUGAUAACUUUUUGACGUGAUAUGUUAUUUAAAUAUUCUUAAUAUGGUGUGUUUAACUAUUUCAAAUUUCUUUUACUCACAAGUUAAAUUAUUUUUUUUUAUUUUUAUUCUGUACAUAUGCAUGCCUGUAACUAUCAACAUAAAGACGUUUGCGUUAACUUGAUUUUUUGGCAUUAUAAUUACAAUUACAGAAAAGAGCUUUCGAAUUUUCACUCUUUUGUGUCUUCAGAUAAAAUUGAAUGAAAAGAUUAAGAUUCCAUAUCCGUUUCAGCUAUUACUUGGGUGUUUUUGUUUGAGCUGUAAGAGAUGAAAUUCUCAUAUACGGUUCUGGGGAGAGGGGUCUUCUUGGUUUACCUAUCUCAAUAAAGUAUAUGAUUGGUUCGAAGAGCGCCUCGAAAUUCAAGCGAUUGCAGAUGAUAUAACUAGUAAAUAUGUUCCUCCUCAUGUUAACAUAUUUUAUUGUCUAGGAGGAAUUACGCUUACUUGUCUAGGAGGAUUUGCUAUGACUUUUUACUAUUGUCCAACCGUUACUAAGGAAUUUAUUAUUUAUUGUAUGUUAUUUUUAAGCACACGUUUAUCUUUAAAAUUUAUAAUACGUUUUAAUUUUUAUUUGUUACUUUACCUUUAAUAUAUACACUUAAUUAAAACCCAAACCUUAUUCUUUAAAAAGAAAUCUAAUUUUUGUUAUUUAAAUAUAAAGAUUUUGUAAAUGAAAUGAAUUCGAACUCAAACUUAAAUCGAAUCAAAUUCUAAUGAUUUCGUUUAUUUCGAGUCCAACUCGAGCUUCUAUUAUAAUACUUAAUCCAACUUGAAUUGAAUUUUGGUCAACAAAUUUUGAGCUUCGCAAAAAAAAAUUAUUUUAUUUUGCAUUUUAACCUUAAAUUAGCUAGCAUAACAUUUUAUUUUGAAUAAUCUUAUUAUAUGUUCUGAUCGUAUCUCUUUUUUUUUUUUACACAAUGAUUAAAAUUACUUAUAACCCCUUUCUCAACCCAUAAAUAAGAGGAUAAUACGUUUCAACGCACUCGAACUCAUAUCCUCUUAUAUUGGCAACACUGCCCAUAUCAAUUGAACUAAGAUUCAACCGGAUUCGGCAUAACAUUUUAAUGGUGCAAAACAAUAUAUAAAUAUUCAGCUCAAGUAUCGGUCUAAACUAGCAACAAUCUUACAUAAGACACACCGGCCACCACAAAAGUAAAUCAACUUAAAUUCAUGUCCUUGUCGUAGAAGAUAGCCCUUCAUCAAUAGUCAAUAACAGAGAUUAUUUACCCUAUAUAUGCUAUAUAUAUAUAUAUAUAUAGCUUUCGAACUUCAACUACCACAUAAUGACUUUAUGUUCGAGUGAAAAUAAUGUAUGCUUAAUAAUUCAUGUAUUUAGUCAAAUGUAUUCUCAUAACAAUUACUCAUUUAUCACAUUUAAUGAUCUUUGUAUAUGUUCAUAUUAGUUAUAUAUAAUUAGAGUUGUGUGAUCUGAAUCUCGACCUGAAAAGUUCAAGGUGCAACUCACUUGUUAAAUAAAUAAAAUAAAGAUACAAAUUUGGAGAUCUAUUGAAACCCUACGAUACGGACCUUACUUCUUCUUUUAGAUGUUCAUUAUUAAAGGGUAGUUUAACCAUCAAAACGGGUGUAGCAGAAAACCUCUUGUAUUGUUGUUUUUCAACAUUAUUAAAUUUCUCCUCCUCUGCCGUGGUUUUUCCCAAUAAGGGUUUUUCACGUAAAAUCUACGUGUUCGUAUUUUUCCUUCUUAUUACUUUGCGAUCAUUCCUAGUGCCAUUAUCGAUGUAUAGUAUAAAAAUCAUCAUGUUUGGUAGGAAGUGGAGUUGUAUUUCUUUUGUGUAACUUAUUGAAUUUUCAUCCAACUGAAUAUUAUUAGUAAAUACAUUUUUUUUAUGUGUCUACCAAUUUAAGAAAUGAGUAAAUUGGUCAUUUUUAAAAAAAAUUAGAGCAAAUUUAAUCCUAUCAAUUUCAGAAGUGAGCAAAUAAGAAUAAUUAAUCACGACGCUAAUGUUUUCUAUCAAUUGGUAUAAUAACAAAUUUAGCCUUCGGUGUUUACAUAGCUUGUAUAAAUAUUGGCAAAAUGUGUAAAUCUUUAAGUUUGUUAAAUCAGGACUAAGUUGACAGAAUGUAUAAAUUUUACGAGCUAAAUUUGUUACAUUGAGACCAAAUUAAUUGACAAAAAUUAAAUUUUAAGGGAUAAAAAACAUGUACAAUUGACGAAAAAUAUUAACAUUGUCAUUAAUUAUUCUUAGUUAUUCACUCUCAUAUUUGACAGUGAUCAAUUUUAAUGAUAAAAAAUUUACUUUGACCUCUUCAAAGAUGAAAUAUUUUCAAUUUAAUCCUUUUAAAAUUCUAAAAUAACAAGGAUAUACAAAAAUAGAAUUAUAAUUUUACUUCUUUAAAAUUCUAUAAUUUAUUUUUAACUCCCUAAAAUUAAACUUUCGAUUUCGUCCCUGCCCCCAUCCCACCAUGUUGAUAUCUGUAUUCACCCCGUACAUGCGUUUGUCGUAAAAAGAAAAGAUGGCAAACAACGUGGUAAGAAAGCUAUAUAAUUUCCAAAUUCCAACACGCUAUUAGUGUUUUUGCGUAAAACACACAAAUUCUUCGAUGCCGUACACCAAAUUCCAACUUUGGUACUUGCAAUGAAACUCACUUGACAAAGACGUAUACUUAUAUAUAUAUAUACACAUACAUCUAUCUGAUUAGACAGCUUCAUACAUGCACGAGUGUAUUUCCACGACAAAACUAGACAAUUAUUUUGGUCCUCGAAUGCAACUUUUGUAUGUUUUUCUCUUAAUUUGUCAUGGUUUUUAGUUGUAGAACAUUCUUCUUCCAUAGUCAAUGGCCAAAAUUGAACGAUAGUUUAUGUUAGGGUUGUAAUUCAAUCGAGCUGAACUUUGUUAUAUAGUAAUAUAAAACACUAACCUAACCACCUACCAAUUUGACGAUAUCUCCAAGAUCAUGUCAUUUAUGAGUGUCUGUCAUUUGCAUGGUAUCACCUGCUCACCCCCAUAAUCCUCUAAAGAGCAUUUAAGGCAUGUGUAACAUCUAAGGGAGGUAACUUGUCACCAUACAUGACACCUAAUUACCACUAGCACAUCACAUCAACCUACCAUAACUUAAAUAUAUGUGAGAAUGAGCCAUUUCAAAGGACAAUAGAACAAAUACUCAACAAGUUAGUGAGAAUUUCGAGUUUGAAUUUAAUUUUAAAAACCUAGCUUGAAAUUUGUCUCAAGUUAAAGUAAAUAUUAUUAUAAAAGUUCAACGUCUCAAACAUAAAAAUGAAAUGUAUUUGAGAUUAACUCGAUUAAGUUUGUUUUCCUAUUUGUAUACUUGCCCAAAAUUAAAUGGUAGUGUAUGACAUUAAAGCCAUAGUAAGAAGCUCUAGCUCGAUUUAAAAUUUAGUUGAAUAUCAUCCCAGCUCGAAUAAGUCUAAGCUCAAACCGUAUUGUUGUAAAAAAAAUUAAAAUACUAAUAAAAUAUUAUAAAUAUAUCAUAAAUAAAAGGUUAAAUUAAACUUGCACGUUGCUUAAGCUUGAACUCAACUCAACAAUGGCCGAAUCAAAUUUAGAUAAUUUAUAAGCAUAACUAUCAUAAUUGAUCCUUAAAAUCAAUUAUCACAAACAAAUAUAUUAAAAAUUUAUUAAUAAACCCUAAUUGAUAGGUGUCUUCUAAUAUUCAUUUCCUUUUCGAAACUGCUAACCAUUUUUUUUUUAAUUUUGACAUUUUCUUAUCUUUUCAUCCAUAUAAUAUUUCUUAUAGUUGAAGUUAGAAAUUAUAUUUUUAAUAGGUUCAAAGUAUAAUUUUAUUAUUUUUAUUAUAAAUAAUAAAUUAAAUUUUAAAUGUUUGAAGGAAUCAAAAGAAGUUAAAAAGCUAUACUAGACUUAGAUCGCGUUAUUCGUUCAGACUCGAAGGGUCACUCGAAAAUUAGGAGGGUUUGGACAAAAAUAUUAAGCUCGAAAAAUGGACUUGAAUAAAAACAUUCAAUGCCUGACCCAACCUGGCUCAGCCCAUUAUUCAAAUUUGUGAUGUUUUAUAUUAUGUUAUUUUUAUAUGUUAUGUAAUUUAUAACACAUGAAAAAUAAAUAUAUAGUAGUAUAUAAUACUACUAUAAUUUAGCCAUUAAAAAAUUAAGAUAACUAUAUAUAAAAAUAUAAUAAAUUAAAUUAAAUAUAAAUAUAUUUAAAAUUUUAAAAAAAUAACAUGUGUGAGCCAAAAAUGAGCUUGAGUUAACCAUUUACAAAUAUAGGCGGAUUUAGGCAACAUUUUAGACCCAUAUUUCAAAUCAGGCUAGACUUUAACAAGCAUAAAAUGUGAUAUUAUCAUGUUUAAGCUAAGCCUAAAUCCAACCCAACUCAUGAAUUCUAAGUUAUAUACAAGGGAAGUUAAGGGUAGACAAGUUCUCGCUCCCUUAAUUAAAUGGGAAAAUUUCUUUUUAGUCCAUUCCAAAAAUUAAAUAUUUUACUUUUAACUUUCUAGUUGUUGUUUAAAUGAAAAAAAAAUAUUGACUCCCCAAAAAAUAAUAAUUCAAAUUUUAAUCUUUUAAAAAUUAAACCUUUUAGCUUCGUCCUAGGUAUAUAUAUACUUCUAUACUAUAUAUUAAAUGACCGAUUAAGUUGGUGUUAUCCAUCAACCAUAUCCCAACUUCAUUAGGAAAUUACCAUUUUUCAAAGGGAUAAUAUCAAAGCUAUACAUGAACUUUGGUCAAAUGUGUAAUUUGAUACACGAAAUUUGAUUUGGUGCAAUUAUACACAUGAAACUUGAAUGAUUGUUCAUAUGUAUACAUGAAGCUUUUAAUUUUCAUAUCAAAUUAAUAUAAAUUUUUGUGUAUGCAAUAUAUCAACAUAAAAUGAUGCUAAUUCGACAGUGUUAAUAAUUUAUGAAAAUAGAAUCAAAUCAAAAAUCCAUAUAUGAAAUUGUACAAAAUUAAAAUUUAUGUACGACAUUAUACAUUGAAUCAAAGUUUAGGUAUAGUUCCGAUAUUUAUCCCUUUUUCAAAAUAACAAAUAAACUACUAGUUUUUUUUUUUUUUACAUAAAAUCAAGGAAAAUAUACAUGGCUUUAAACCCAAAACCCAAACCCGCAUCUUUAAUAAUUUAGUUUUACCAUUUCAACCAAAAUUUUUUUUACAUUUUAUACAUUUGAUUUUUUAAAAGAGUAUGUGAGAGCACGUUCAACUAAAAAUAUUUUCUUUUGUAAUUAUCGAAAAAUACGUCUAGCUCUCCUAGACAUAUUAAUUGUAAAGCUCAUCCAAUUAGGUGCAUUUUCAUACUUUCUCUCUCCAAAAACGAUUUAUCUGCUUAUUUAACUUUUAUUUUCAGCAUAUCUCGCUAAUUUUGCCAUAUAUAUAUUAUUAUAUAUAAGUUGCUGGUAUUUGUAUAUUUUUAAGGUGACAACAGUGGCUGCUGCCGCCCUAGUUGUCCAUGCAAAGCCAAAGGAAAAAUGACCCAGACAACGAGUCCACAACAUCAGCUGCCACAAGAAGAAAUAAAACAAAGCAAGUUGCAACAAUCAUGCAUCACCCAACUGUCUGAAAAAUGAAAAAGAAGAAAGAAGAAGGUGAAGAAGAUUAUGAUUCAACGUUGAAUAUAUAGUAAUUCCGUACCAAAUUCCCCAUUUUUGUUAUGUUGUUUUUUUUUUCUUUGAAUGAAUAAAGAACCAAAAACAAAAUAGAGACUUGAUGUGUUUACAUUUGUUAAGAGUUUUAACAGCUUGAUAUGCUUGAUAUUGUUGAAUUUUACUGGCAAAAACAAGUACGACAGGUGUUUGAAAAAAUGUUCCAAUGGAAAUUUUGGGGUUUUUUUCACAUAUUCUCACGCGUUGUUGUUGAUUUGAGGACCAUGAUGAAUUUCCAUUGUAGUUUAGUGACAUAUUAGUGAUGAUAUAUAUAUAUACACACUGUGAUGUUCGUUCACAUUCUAAUUUUUAAAAAUAUAAAUAAUUAAUGGUUAAUUAUUUCAAAAUUUGACAUUUUUAAAACACGAAAAAUCAACUUUUUUUUUUUAGUUCAAUGUUAUUUUUGCUCUACAAUGACUAAAUUAUAACUUUUUAUAAUAUGAAGACUAUAUUGAAUACAAAGGCCAAAAAGAAUGCAUUUUAAUCUCUUUCAAAAAUAAAACUAAAAAUUCAAUCUAGGUCCUUUUAACAAAAAAUUUUGGUUUUUAACCCCAUAAAAAUUGAUAAUUAUAUCUUGACCCCUUAUGGUAACAUUUUUUUUAGUAUUCUUCACGUCUAUUUUAUGGUUCAUGUUCGGGGUUCAUGAUUACCCCUCCCAACAAUUUUGUCUCCAAGAUUUAAACUUGUCUCUCAUUGGGAAUGCAAUGUGUCUUACCAUUGCACCAAACACUUGUUGGUUAUAGUAAUAUUUUAAUCCAAAGAAAAUUAUAAAAUUUUGAUCCAAAAUCGGUUGAAUAUUGGGUAAAAGUACCCUGAAGGCUCCUGUACUAGGAGCCAUAUUGCAUUUUGCCCUCUCGACUAAAAAAAAAGAGCAAAUUAGUUCGUGUUUAGAUCAAAGAGCAAUCUGGUCUUUUUUUUUUUGUAAAUGACUAGUUUACUCUUUAAUCUAACAUAAAAAAGACUAAUUUACUUUUCUUUUAAUUAGAGAAAGCAAAAUAUAAUAUAACUUUCAGCACAAAAACCUCUAUAAUACUAUUACCUCGAAUAUUGCUAUAUUAAUACCCGUAUAAAUUAGUCCCUCCCUUGCCAAUAAAAAAAAUUUUAUUAUUCUAUCAAAAAAAAUUUAAUUGGAUUAAGGAGGUCCAUACCCAUACAUUAAAAGGGCUUGAUUUUGGAGCUUUGAAAUUUCUUAAUUUGGGCUCCCCUUUUUAACCCAAAGUUGCAUAAUCAAAGGGUUUUUCUUCUAUGCUUAGUUUGGUAAUCAAUAUUAUUUUGAUUAGACAAUUUACAUAAUUUUUAACCCGUAAAUAAAAGGAUAAUACGUUUCAGCACAUUCGAAUUCACGUCCUGACCAAUAAUCCACACAUUGAAAUUCUUUGAUUAAUUUAUCUCGAAUUGAUUUGAACAAAUUCUGAUAACUAGAUAGCAAUUCAAUCGAAAAAAAAUCAUUAUAUAUUCUGAUCUUAUCUGUUUUUUUGUACAAUACUUAAAACUACCUAUAACCCCUUUGACACUCCCAAUUUACAACUUAUAACUAGAAGAAUAAUAAUUUCAGUACAAUCAAACUCACGUAGUUGUAUAUUAAAAAAAUUAAGAAAGAAGAUUUAUAUUUUUCAAUAAUUUUAUAUAUUUUUAGAAGAAUUUAAAUAGCAAUUUUCUAACUCAUAUGAGUAUCCUUAAUCAAAUUAUCUUCCAAAUUACCCGAUUUCUCUCGAUGAUUAAUACUUCUAAAUUAAAAUAAAAUAAAAUAAAAACUUCCUUUCAUCUCUCUCAUCUCCUUCCUUCAAUCUCCAGCUUUUUUUUUUUCACUUUUUAUUUUUGGCUGAAAAAAACAAUGAAUUGAAAGGUGUUUCAGCUUUUCCUCUUUGAACUUUAGCUGAAAGGAAAAACAUAUUUUUACUUCAUUCAUUCAAAUUCCCACACAAAAAGGGGAAAAACCCAGAAAUUUUAAGCCAUGAAACAGUUACACAAGCAAUCAAGCAUUAACCAUAGGCGAGAUGAAGAGAUCUUAAUACCUCAAACACCUCCUUACUCACCCAAAUCCUUAAAACACCCCAGAUCUCUCCCUAGAUCCAUUAACUAUCUCUUCAAAGAACAACGCCUUUUGUUCAUCUUCAUCGGCAUUUUAAUCGGUUCUACUUUCUUCAUCCUCCAACCAACUCUCUCUCGUUUAGGCCCAACCGAGACUCACCCUUCGGUCCCCAAAUCUUUCUCUAACAACGUCGUUUCCCACACCCAAGAGUUCUCCGUUUCCAAUCAGAAUCCUAUUCAUGGCAAAAUGGGUCGUGUUCCCGUCGGGAUCGGUCGACGGAGGAUGAGGAUCGUCGUCACCGGUGGUGCUGGGUUUGUCGGUAGUCACCUCGUUGAUAAGCUAAUUGGAAGAGGCGAUGAAGUGAUUGUUAUCGAUAAUUUCUUCACUGGGAGGAAAGAAAACGUGGUCCAUCUUUUUGGGAAUCCGAGGUUCGAAUUGAUUCGACAUGACGUCGUUGAACCGAUUCUCUUGGAAGUAGAUCAGAUCUAUCAUUUAGCUUGCCCUGCUUCACCGGUUCAUUAUAAAUAUAAUCCCGUUAAGACCAUCAUAUCCUUUUUUACUAUAAUUUAUUUCAAUUUCGCAUUAGUUUUUGUUAUUUUUCUUUAAUUUUCUAUGAUUGUUUAUGUUAUUUGAUUGAAUGGGUUUUUGUUUUCCAUUGAAUUAUGCUUAUUUUAGAUCUUUAACUUGGUGGGAUUACAAGAAACUUGUGAUGGGUAAUCUUAAUAUGUUGAAGCUUGCAAAGAGACUAAAAUUAAUGGGGUUUUGUGUCAGUUUUGCAUUAGUUUUUGGUUUUUUCUCUUUACACUUCUAUGAUAGUUUAUGUUAUUUGAUUGAAUGGGGUUUUGUUUUUUUAUUGAAUUAUGCUUAUUUAAGAUCAUUAACUUGGUGAGAUUACAAGAAAUUUAUGAUGGGACUCUUAAUAUGUUGAGGCUUGCAAAGAGAGUGAAAUUAAUGGGUUUUUGUGUAAAUUUUGCAUUAGUUUUUUUGUUUUUUUUUUCUUUAGAUUUUAUGUUUAACAAUACUAUUCGAGUUAAUGGGUUUUUGUUUUUUAUUGAAUUAUGCUUAUUUGAGAUCUUUAACUUAGUGAGAUUACAAGAGAAAUGUGAUGGGUACUAUUGAUAUGUUGCGGCUUGCAAAGAGUGUGAAUUUAAUGGUUUUUUGUAUCGAGUUUGCAUUAGGUUUUGGGGGUUUUCUUUAGCUUUUAUGUUUAACAAAACGGUUCAAAUUGAUGGGUUUUUGUUAUUGUUUGAAUUAUUGCUUAUUUGAGAUCCUUAACUUGGUGAGAUUACAAGAAAAAUGUGAUGGGUACUAUUAAUAUGUUGGGGCUUGUAAAGAGUGUAAAAUUAGUGUUUUUUUGUAUCGAAUUCGCAUUAGGUUUUGGUGUUUUUCUUUUGCUUUUAUGUUUAACGAAACCAUUCAAAAAAUUAAUGGGUUUUUGUUAUUGGUUGAAUUAUGUUUAUUUGAGAUCCUUAACUUGGUGAAGUUACAAGACAAAUGUGAUGGGUACUCUUAACAUGUUGGGGCUUGCAAAGAGAGUUGGGGCCAGGUUUUUGCUUACGAGCACGAGUGAGGUUUACGGUGAUCCCCUUCAGCACCCUCAGAAAGAAACCUAUUGGGGAAAUGUUAAUCCGAUCGGUGAGGAGCUUAUAAAAGCGCAACAAGUUUUUUUCUGUUUUGGUUGCUGAAUCUUCUUUGUGUUUACGUUGUGUAAUGUUAUUGUGAUUAGGUGAGAGGAGUUGCUACGAUGAAGGAAAAAGGACUGCUGAAACCUUAACCAUGGAUUAUCAUCGAGGUGACGGUGUUGAGGUAUGUUUUUUCGUAUAUUUACUUGUAGUUGAACCAUGAACCAUGUGGGGAUGCUUGAAUUGUGUACAAGAUAAUAAUCCCAUGGCAUUGACAGUGGAGUUACGAUUUAGCAUCGCCUGAUCUAAUGUUAUAACUUGGACUAUUGUGACAUUUGAUGCUCAACAAGGGCGAAAGAACUUGUGAUGAAUUAAUUGGUUUAUAGAUCCAUAAAUUGGCCGUAGUGCUUUGAAAGGAGAUAAAACAGGUCACCUGAUAAUUGAAAGAUACCGUACCCAUGACGCUCAAAUGGUUAUACUUGGUGGUUGCAGGUGCGAAUUGCUCGUAUUUUCAAUACUUAUGGCCCUCGCAUGUGCUUGGAUGAUGGACGUGUUGUUAGCAAUUUUGUUGCUCAGGUUGAUUCAUCAUUCUAAUAAUUUUUGGCGUUCAUGUGUAGGAUUUGGUUAAGAUUUGAAUCAUUUAACAUUUUGUAACAACUGUUGUUUUGUAUCACAGGCCAUUCGGAAGCAACCGAUGACUGUUUAUGGUGAUGGAAAACAAACACGAAGCUUCCAAUAUGUUUCUGAUUUGGUAUGUCUACCUGUUUAUUAUCGUAACUUCUUUUGGUACACUGCCUUUUUCUUGGUGACUUCUAUCGGUAUUUGUUCGCGUAUUUUGAAGGAACAUAUGUAUAAUACAAUUUGAAGAAAAUUUCGUACCUUCAUGAUUAACAGGUUGAUGGACUCGUUGCUUUAAUGGAAGGUGAGCACAUAGGACCUUUUAAUCUCGGCAACCCGGGAGAAUUCACCAUGCUCGAAUUAGCGGAGGUUUGUCUUUGUGAACCCAACUUACUUUUCAUUAACUAAGUGAAUCUUACAAUUCAUUAAAGCCUUCCAAAUUCAUUUCAGGUCGUCAAAGACACGAUCGAUCCAAGUGCAACGAUAGAAUAUAAACCAAACACCGCGGACGAUCCACAUAUGAGGAAACCGGACAUCAGCAAAGCAAAGGAGCUGCUGAACUGGGAGCCGAAAAUACCCCUAAGAGAAGGGUUACCCCUUAUGGUGAACGAUUUCCGGAAUCGUAUUUUGAAUGAAGAUGAAGGAAAGGGAGCUUAAACCGAAAAACGAACAGAUACGGGAAACAAGUAUGUAUAGUGUGAACUGCAGCUGUAUUUUUGCCAAUUCAUUUCAUUAUUAUUAUUACCUGAUUAUUAUGAUCUUUGUUCUACAUUACCUGGAAAAUUUAGCUGUUUGUUUGAGCCUCUAUAUAGGAAGAUAUGCUGUUCUUUCCUUUUAUGAUAAUCAGCUCCAAUUGUUCACAUCUACAUUGUAUAGUUAAAUAAUAAUUAGUGUUUUUCUUCUUUUCUUCUAUCUAAUUAUUUGUACACUAAAAUACGAUAUUUCCAAUCUCAAAUGAUUUGUUAAAUUAAAAUUUAUUAUUGUCAAUUCUAAAACAAUUUAAACUCGAAAUUAUUCAUAUGUUCAAUACGAUUAUGUUAAUUCUAUUCUAAUUUGAUCUUAUUUUAAUUCUGUUUAAUAUUAAAAGAAUUAAUUUAAUCAAAUCCUUAUAAUAAUAGAAGAUCUCGUUUGACAUUAAAUAUAACACCGAACUAUUAAUUCAAUAAGGGUAAAUUAUAAAAAUAGUCACUUUUUUUUUAUCUAUUUGAAAUGUUACGUUUUAGUCAAUUAUGUUAUUAUUUUGUUACGAAGUGGUCAUUUUACCUUUAAAUUCCGUUAUCUCCCUAACUGCAGUCCAACUUGAAUGUUCAAUUGUUGGGAUAAAAAUAGAUUUUUAAUUAAAUAAAUUUAAUUUGGAUUGCUACGUAAGACAUCUAAGAUAGCAUUUAAAAUCUGUUUGAACUGCCACAUAGGAUCGCCGUUAGGGAGAUAACAAAAUGAUAACGUAAAUGACUAAAACAUAAUAUUUUAAACAUAAAUGACUAAAAUGUAAUUAGAGACAAAUAAAAGUGACUAUUUUUGUAGUUUACCCAUUCAAUAAUGUAGGAGGACAUGGGUUUUAUGGGUUAGAGAGGGACUAUAGGUAUUUUUAAGCAUUGUGUCAAUAAGUAUAGAUUGGGGAGAGGUUAUCGGUAGUUUUAAGUAUUGUAUAAAAAAAAUAUGACCAGAAUCUAUGAUGAUAAUCUCUUUAAUUAAAUAAAUAAUAUUAAAUCCAAAUCAUAUGAUAAACUCGAAUCUAAAUAUUUAAUUAAUUAUUUUAUUUAUUAACAAUGAUCUUCUUGGUAUAAGCCUUAACAAUAAAAAUAGCAAGCUGGGUGGUGAUAAAUUAACCGUUGGGAGUGUCUCAUUUGGUGUGAAGAGGGCAUCCCCCACCUGACAGACACACCAAACAGUUAUGUCUUCAAUCGAAAACGAUGAAACUUUUUAUGUUUUAUUUAACUCAGCUCAUGCAUUGUUCCAUAUGUAUAUGUCUCGUGAUCCAUCGCUUUGCUGUCCCCAAUACUCCUUUUUGUCAUUAUUAAUUAUAUCUCUAAUUAAUUAUUCUAUCAUUAUUGUUGAUUCAGUAUUAACUCGAUUGAUAUGGACAUUGUUGUCAAUACAGAAGAACGUAAAUUCGAGUGCGCUGAAACACAUUAUUCUCUUAUUUAAAAGUUAAGGAAAGAUUAUAGGUAAUUUUAAAUAUUGUAUAUAUAUAAAAAAAAAGAGAACAAAUAUGAUAAGAAUAUAUAAUGAGAUUAAUAGUCAACCUAUCAUAUCACAAAUUUUGAAAUUAGUUAAAUAUAUCAAAGUCUUACCAUAAAUAUCGACAAAUGUUGGUACAACGGUAAAAUAUAUUACACAUUUGAGUUCAAAUAUUGAAGAUGAUAUUGUUUGAAUAGAUAGUCAUAUUCCCAAAAAGAGUAAUAUCUAUGGACUAUAAAACAAACAUCGAUUUAAGGUUGAAACGUCACAUCUCAAUAUAGAUACGUAUCAAUAAGGAUUUAAUUAUGAAUUUCAUCUUUUGAGAAAUCAGCGUCUUUAAUUUAAAUUGUCAAAAUUUGACUCUCUUAUGAAAAUCGAAAAGUUAGUUCAAUCGGAUUAUAUUGUUAAACAGUGUCAUUUUUUGAAAAUCGACAAUUCAACAAUUUAUUUACUAGAAAUCAGCAAAAUAAUUUAUCAAAUUAUAUAUAACAAAAUGGCAAAUCAGCAGUCCAUGUUCAUGUCUUACCAAUAACUAGACUAACUGGAGGACUAAAUUCCAAUAAAUUAAAAUAGAGGGACUAACAUAUCAAUUUGUAUAAAGUAAAAGAAUGGAAUUCACAUCCCCCCCCACCCCUCUCUCUUGCAAUAAAUCAAGAACUUGAAGCAUGAAAAACCAACUGUUCUUUAGGAAAUUGCUCUGUUUUUCUCUUCUAUCAGAUAUUUCGAAGCCAUUAGUUAUCCUUCAUUGCUAUCCAAACAAAAAAGAAAAAUGAAAGGAAUGAAUAUAUUGUGUGCAUCCCAAGCUUCAACAGCCAUAUGUUUAAGCAUAGACCAAGUCUCAGCCACCGCCAGUGGCCAAAACCCCACCACCGCCUCCGCCGCCAAAAGAUUCACCAAAACCCUGCCUUGCACCGCUCACCCGCCGCCAAUCAAUCCUUUGCCUUAUCAUUUGCUUAAGAACCAUGAGAAAUGGUGUUCAAAUAAUACAGUUUCAGUUUCAGCUAAUGAUUUGAAGAAGAAGAAGAGUUCAUUGAAGGCAAUGGAUAUUAUUACAAGGAAAAGCAUUUCUUCUAACAUUAAAGAUGCUGCUGCAGAUGCGGGUAAUAACAAGAUUCUGUCUAUGAAACAAGAUCAACCCAUCGUUUCAAAACCCUCUGUACACCAGGUUUCCCUCCUCUCCUUCAUUUUACAUUUAGUUCGGGUUUAGAUCGCUUCAUUUUGGGUUUAUGUCGUUUUUUUUAUUAAAGAUAAUUCGAGGGUAAAGUAGCAUGGAGUCCAGAGGUGCAGGUGGUGAGUUUGGUUCCGGUAUAAGUAUAAUAGGAACAUAUUUUAUGUUUAUUUAAGUUCGGAUCAGUUUAAAAUAUUAAUUUAAAAUUUUAUCUAAAAUUGUCUAUAUUUGUAAAAGGUUAACUCAAACUUAUUUUAGGCUCGUUCAUGUUAAUUUUUUAAAAUCUUAAAAUAUUUUCUUUUAUUUUAUUUUUUUAUUUAUUGAAUUUUUUUAUUUUAAUGUUUACUUAUGCUCUAAAAAAAUUUUAUAAUAUAAAGUAUUAUAAACUUAAAAUGGAUUGGGUUGGGCUUGAAACAUGCCUAAUUUUUUGUUCAAACUCUCCUAGAUUUCGAAUGGGCCUUCAGGCUUGAAAGGGUAGCUCGACCCAUAAAUAAGUCUACAUAGUAUUUCAUUUCACUAGAAAUUAGAUUGUAUUUUGCUUUCUCUACUUAAAGGAAUGGACAAAUUAGAGAUUAAAGAUUAACUUGAUCCUUUUGUAAAAAUUAUAUUUAUUUUUAUUGUUAAAAAACUGAUCUUUAUAUAUUAACAUGAUAUAUACGUGGCACACCACGUCUAUUUUUAAUAAUACAAAUGAAUAAAAUUUUUCACAGAAAGGAUCAAUUUACUUUUUGAUCUAACGUAGAGAGACUAAUAUCUUUAUUAUUUUAGAUGGGUUAUCUCAUUGAUUUAAAUCUUUGACAAUUUUUUUAUUUAAUUUACUUUUAAUUUAAAUUAUUUUAGAUUUAAAUUAUAAAUCGAAAUAGAUAAUAAAUCGAAUUAUAUUAAAUUUAAAUUCAAAUUAAUUGAAAUAACUUUCUUUUCUUUUCUUUUUCCUUUUUUUUAAAUUUAAAAAAAAAUGGUUUCAGGUUGUGGUUCUAAAGGUGUCAUUACACUGCAAAGGUUGUGAAGGAAAAGUGAGGAAACAUUUGUCCAAAAUGAAAGGUAUGUAUGAUUUACUUCACUUCAUAUAUAGUUAUGUAAUAAAAAAUUAUUACAAUAAAUUUUAAUUUAAUAAUUAAAUUUACAUUUUUAAGUAUAAAAAUUAGAAUAAUUAAAUUCUUAAAAUUAAAAAUAAAAUAUAAUAAAUUGAAAAUUAUUUUAAUAUUUUUGUGUUUGGUUUUCAUAAUCUGGGUACCUUAACCAAGAACAUAAACCCUUUGUUGUAAUGAUUUGAUUAGGUGUGACAUCCUUUAACAUAGAUUUUGAAGCAAAGAAGAUGACAAUUGUUGGAGAGGUGACACCAUUACAAGUCUUGGCCAGUGUUUCAAAGGUUAAGUCUGCUCAAUUUUGGACAUCUGACAUUUCUGCUGCUCCUACAACCAAGAAUUGAUGAUAAGAUUAGCAAUGUUACUCCUUUUUUCUACUUAGAAGAAGAAAAUCCAAUGAAAUUGUAGUUUGUACAUUGAAUUUGGCAUUGUUACUUCAACAUUUUUUUACAAGUAUUGAGAGUAAAAUUGUAUUUUAUAUCGAUUGAGUCUUAAUUUGAUUAGUACAGGCAUUAUUGCCAAUGCAAGAGAAUGUGGGUUCGAGUAUGUUGAAAUGCAUUAUCCUCUUAUUUUUUGUUGAGAGGGGUCAUGGGUAAUUUUAAGCAUUGCGUCAAAAAGAGCAGAUAUGAUCAAAACCUAUAACGAGAUUGUUUUUAAAAAAAUACAAAUGGCAUAACUAGAGAGUUACACAUGGCAUACCACGUGUAUUUUAUGCCGACAUACAAAGACCAAUUUUUAACAAUAGAAAUGGAUAAUUUUUUUAAUAAAAUGACCAAUUUACUUUUUAAUAUAACGUAUAUAAACUAAUUUGUUCAUUUUUUUACUAGAGGGAGCAAAAUGCAAUUUGAUUCCUAGUACGAUGGUUUCCAUGGUACUUUUACCUUAUAACUAAAAUUAUGGUUAAAUAUGUAUUAAAUAUAAAUAUCGAAUAUAAUCUAGAUACCAUAGGACUCUAGGGCAUAAAAGUAUCAUGGAUGUCUUUGUACUAGAAGUCUGAUUAUAUUUUUUCCUUCUAUUAAAAAAAUAGACAAUUUAGUCUCUAAACAUUAUAGUAAAUUGACCAAUUUUAUUAAAAAAAUUAUCUAUUUGUACUGUUAAAAACUGAUCUUGGAAUAACCAGACAACGACACAUGGUAUGCCAUGUGUACCUCAUAGUGAUAUAUAAAGAGUAGUUUUUAACAGUAAAAACUGAUCAAAUCUUUAACAGAAUGAUCAGUUUGCUCUUUGAUCUAAUAUACAUAAACUAAUUUACCUAUUUUUUUAAUAAAGAAAGCAAAAUAUAAUUUAACUCUUAAUAUAAGGAAUGACUUUACGGCAUUUUAUUGGUACAUGUUUCAUUAUUCCUAGUAGUUUCAUAGUGGGAAAAUAAGAAAAUCUUUGUGCCACAUUAUCGUAUGAAUCAAAACCUGGAAAAAGGGAUUCAAGUACUAAAUUGAAAAAAUUACCAAAUUUAUGGACCAAAUGAUAUUAGAUAUUGAUACCUUUUUGAUAAUUCUUGCUGGUGUAAAGAUUUAGAACUUAUUUAUACAUUCAUAAAAUGAUAAUAUUUCAAUCACUUUUGUAUAAAGCUCAACUUUCUAAACCCAAACUACUACCUCACCUACUAGUUCAUCAACCAACAAUCUCUCGAUUUCCUUACCGAUUACAUCGAUAUCGUCCCUCAAGUUCGACCAUUCACAUACCUCGGUAUCCAUGUCCGGUUUCUUGUUUUCACUUACCAGUGAUUUGUGCAAGCUAUCUUCGAGCUCUAGUAUGUUCCACUUCGGAAUAAUUUUUCUUACAGGCUUCUUUAUCCAUGGGAAUUGAUCUGUAUAUUGUUGAUGGAUCUCGAGUAGCUUCAAAUUGAUCCUAUCGAACAUCAGCCUCCUUUCGGCCCUUGACCAAGAAUUCAGAUUAUGGUAUUUUUUCUCGAGUUCUUCGAAUACUGUUGGAUUCACCGGACAUUCUGGAGAAUGCCAUGUUGCUAAGAAGGUAUCGAGGUCGGCUCCAUUGAUUCCGGAAUCAACCAAGACAUCAACUAUGUAUACAGACUCCAAAUUCUUUUCAGCCGUUGCUAACUGAAUAGAUACUCGAUCACCAUCAUCGUCGCUUGAAAGAAGCAUCGUUCCUUCUUCAUAUGCCUCAGUUUCGAGUUUUAAUAGUUGCAGUUGCAUACGAAGGCCUAAUAAAACAUACGUAAAAGAUAGGAUCACAAGUAAACACGAGAUAGACACGGAAUGAACAAGAGUUGUGAAUUACCAUGGAGGUCAGCACUAAUGCUUUCAAAGCAUUCAGAACCGGAUGAUAAAUCAUCGGCGAAAGGAGCUUCAAUGACUGAAAUCGGACUCGGUUGAUCUCCCUCCUUAGAGCCUGCUCGAGAUCCUAGUUCUGAUACAGAUGGUUCCUGCAUUUAUUAAACCGAGUAUUAGAAUGUGUGUAUUUGGAAACAGACGAACUAAAACAUCAUUCGAAUGAAAAAUGAAUACCUUGGGCUCCAAGUUACAUACAUCACCACUAGAAACAUCAGCAUUCACUGAAGGAGGAGCAGAUAAUUCCGUGUCCGAAGGCUUUUUCGGAUCAUUAACUUCCAAUGUGUUCUCAAGAACAGAACUGGAAUCCAUCGCAAUGCUAGCAGAUUCUCCAGACGAUUGAUGUGGGGUGAUAACAAAAUCCGGAGAAGUGUCGCUAUUUUCCUUGAUACUACUGGAACUACUACUCGAAAAUCUAGAUUUAUUACCACGGGAUCGUUGGUUACUGGUAACCAAAGAAGCUUCCCUUGGAUUAAAAUUGCCUUUUACUGCUUUUGGGAUCACAUACUUGUCUCUACGUAGACUUCCAUGUCGAGUACCUAUUCUAGGACUUCCAAAGUCAGUAGAAGAAGCCGGAACAGAUCGUGAUCUUGAAAGAUUACCGAGACAUCCAUCUUUCCAACCGUCCCUACUGCUAAUCCCUAAAGGUUCGUUCCACACUGCUGGCCGAGAACUAUCACCGAUCUCACAGCAUCCUUCUCCAACAACCGAGCUACUCGAAUUAGCUGAGCUCGUUUCCCUAUCAGAGAUAGCAAGCAUUUCACCGAGUGUACUACCCCGACUAACCAUUUGCACCUCUUGAGACCCAUGUGUUAAUUUCCACCUCUCAGAUAAUCGCUUCUUAGCCUCUCUACUAACCAAUGAUUCACUAGAACGGGAUGAUAGCCUCCUAUGUUGUUUAUCCCUGUAGGAUGAUGUUACAUCGGAAUCGUUUGUAGAUUCAGAACCGGAUGCAUCACAUGAACUCUCAUCCCCUGCAUAUCCUCGAAACUUAGAAGUUGAAAUUUUCAUCGAGCCAUCGUUAAAGCUAUUUUUUAUUUGCCGAGUAAUCUCCUUCGCCAUUUCCCUCGAUUCCCUAGAAUUAUGCCUUGAAAACCCGAUAUCUUGUUGAACCUUUUUCUUGCGCCAUAUUUCUGUCUCCCUACUCUCAAUACCUGAAAUUUCAAGGUGUUCGAUGCCUUCAGAUGGAAAAUGAUGAGAAUAACAAGGUGAUGAAGCAUUUCUAGUAGAAUUCCGUGAUUUCCCGAGAUUUGGUUUCAAUACAACAAUUCUUGUCGGUAGAAUAGUUGGCUCGUUUUUUUCGUCUAAUUGAAACAUAGGUGACUCAGGACGAUUAGGAGCUGUGUAUUUCCCAUACAAGUGAUGACCUUGAGGAGAUUUACUACGGUGCUUUGAUUGACCAUCGUCAUUGUUUAGAGUGCGUGAUGACUUCAUGACCGAUAUUCGACCACAAUGAGACUGCGAUGGCACACCUUGCAGAUCAUGCAAAUGCUUAGCGAAUAAUGAAUCCGGUUGCUCGAGGAAUUUCAACAAAAGAUCCGUGUUGGAAUUUAACACCUCGAGUGUAUCAUCAAAUUCCUCAGAAUCCCGAAGCUUUUCAUCGGUCGAAAACCGUUUAGCCUCCAUAAACUUCUGUUGAAUAAAAGCAACCUCAGCAUCAGAUAGCUUCGAGUUUACAGUCCCCAGCGAAGAAUGACCACCGCCGCUCCUCUCCAUUUUAGAUACUUCAAAAACAUCUUUAAACUCCGGUUCCUCUUUCAAGUUUCUCCUAGAAGAUCGCCGGUUAUAAAAUCCGGCACCCUCAGCUCGUUUUUGUUCAGGUGGUAAUCCAUCAAGCCCCAUCAAUCUAGCUAUAACGCUCAAAGAUCGUCUUCGAGAUUCGAUUUCUUUCGACAUUUCUCGUGCUAACAACUUCUUCAUCGGGAUCCCACUUGAUUGUUUUGAAGAUCUCAAACCCAACUCAAACAUUAACUAUAAAAAAACAUAAACAUAAUUGGCAUUCACAUGACUAUUCAAUAGUAUCUAAAGCUAAAAUGAGUAUUAAUUCUAAUCAUAUAGUAAAAAAAUCAUCACCUGAUCUUGGUCUUUACUAUUACUAAUGGAGGUAGCAGAAUCAGAUGUCAAAUUUGGAAAUUUUCUCUGUUUUUGAACCUGUUUGUUUCCUGAGAAAGAAAAAUUCCUAUAAAAGUAUUAGGAUAAGCUGUUCCAUGAGUAAAGAAAAGGUUAAGGCUUUAAAACUAUUUUAGAAGCUAAGCUUUUAAAAGCCAUGAAAUCAUAUAGUAAAAAAUGCAUGCUAGAUAGAGAAAUGAUUAAAAUAAUUAAGAUAAAUUUUCAAGGAUAAGUGUGAGCAAAAAAAAUAUAUAGCAUUAUUGAAAGCUUUAACAUUUAACUGGUGAGAAACUAAAGAAGAAAAAACAACCAAUGCGGGAAAAUGUUGUGUUUGGUAACUAAGAAAAUGCAGGAAAGUAGGAUUAAGACCCAGAAAAUUUUUGAACUUACUAAAUUCACCAGAAUAAAAGAGGAAAAAAAAUGGAAUCUUGAUAUAAUAAAGGAACGAAAAUUUUAAAAAAGAAAAAGAAGAAGAAAAAAACUUUGAUAUAAUAAAGGAACGAAAAAUUUUAAAAAGAAAAAGAAGAAGAAAAAAACUUUCUUUUGCCUCGGAUUCCCCAAAAACAAGCAAAAAUAUCACUUCAAAAUAAAUUUAAAAAAUUAAAAAAGAGAAAAGCGAACCUCUUGUUGAAGAAAGUUGAAAAUGAGUGAAGUUUAGAUCAUCAGAGAAGCUCGAAAUCUUAGGCCUUCGAUGCCCAAAUGGCUCCAUUUUUCACUCAUUUAACUCUAAACCCAGAAAAAAAAACCAGAAAUCUAAAACGGAAAUUUAGAGGGAAAAUCACGAAUUUUGAAAGAAAGUAGAAGAAAAAUUUUGAUUGUUUUUAGAAAAAAGGGUAAGUGGAAAGAAAUGUUAGCAGAGAGGUGAAAACGGAGAGCGUGAGAACGGCGGCAAUAAAGAAGGGUCCGUUGAAGAAAGUUGAAAGCUUUUUUUUUUUUUCUCUUUUGAACAUUCAAAUGCUGAAAGAGAAACAGAGAGAGAGAGAGAGGGGUUAAGGCAAGGGGGGGGGGGUGACCCUGCGCGGGCAAGUGGAGAUCCCCAUGCCCUUGUCUUGUCCCUACCUUAACUAAUUUGUCUACGUGUCUUUUUUUUUCUCUUUGAUGGAUAAAUUAUUUUCUAUCUUAAUUAAAAUAAUAAUAAUAAUAUAAUUUUUAGUCUUUGAAUUUUAUAAUUAGGUCUAUGUCCGUAUUUAUAUUUUACGGUUUAUUUUUGUUUUUGAACUUGAAAAUUAGAUCAAUUUUGAUACUUAAAUUUAGAUUCUGUCAAUAUUUGAUAAUAUUACUGUUCUAGAAUUGAUCGAUAUAACAAUUUUAACAAAGGGUUAAAUCAAUUUGACUCGAAAACUUAUUAAAAUUGGUAAAAAUAAAAAAUCGAGAUAGAAAUCGAUAGUUGAUUAGGUUGAACUAAUUUAAUAAAAUUUUAUAUUUUAAAAAAUAUAUAUUUUUAUGAAUUUUUAAUACUUAUUUAAUUAGUAUUGGUUUGACGAUUGAACCAAUUAAACUGAUUGAAUCGAGAAUUGAUGGUUUGAUCUAUUCAACUACUGGUCCAAUUAUUAAAACAUUGAACGUGACACUAUCACAUUAUAUCAUAUUAUAAUCUAAGGUAAAAAAUAAUAAUUGUAAAAAUAUAAAACUUGCGCUUUUAUAAUAGUGUCAAAAAAAAAGAGUCAUUAGGUAAAGGGAUCGAUCCAUUUAUGAAUUUUAGUUGCUCAAAAGUACUUUUAACUCGAUUUAGAUUUAAUUGAAGUUUUUUUAUACGAGAAAAUUAAAUUUAAAAAGUUUUUUUAAAGUUUUUUUGGGAGUUAAAACUUAUUUUUUUAUUUUUUAUUUUCCAACAUAAAUUUUUAUGGUAUAAUAUGAAAUUUUCAUUUUUAUUUUUAACUAUUAUUUUAUCAAAAUAUUUUCUUUUAUUAAUCUCAUUAUAAGUUUUAACCAUAUCUGUUCCUUUUUAACACAAUGUCUAAAACUACUCAUAGUCUCUCCUCAACUCAUGAAUAGGAGGAUAAUGCAUUUCAGUACACUCGAACUCACAUUCUCCUGCAUUGGCAACAAUACCCAUGCCAGUCGAAUUAAAAUUUAACCGACAAAAAUUUAUAAUUUUUAGGUACAAAAACAAAACUGUAUUUAUUAAUUUCUUUAUUUGCUUUUGCUUAAGAGGUUAAACAACAUUUGAGAUAAGAAAAAAAAAUUGGAAAUGGCUAUAACAUUUGAUAGUUAAUAAUUAUAAUUUAAUUGCAACUAACUAAUUUAAUAAUAGAUUAAUUUAUAGUGAAUGAGAUAUGCAUUAGGGAAAUCAAUAAUUUUAAGGCAAAAUCAAGUCCAAACAAUGACAAUUUUUUAAAAUUAAAAAAAAAAAUACUAUUUACUAACAUUAUUAGAGGCUUAAUUAUCACUCCAAAUCACCUUAUUUGCAAGUAAACAUGACUUUAGGCAAUAUUAUUAAGGUAAAUUAAUUGAUUUGAAAACAAGUUUGUCAUUUCUUGCAAGCCAAAUUAAAUCUCUAAGGGUUAAUAAUUAAUGUUUGGGUUAGUAUUCGGUAUAUUUACAGUAUAUUUGUUUUAUUUCAUAAACAGUUUUGAAAAAUUGUCACGUGUUUAUUUUUUAAAUAUUUUACUAUACUCUUAUAGAACACUCACCAACUCUUUGACUUUACUUGUGUAAUUUAAAAGCUUCACGGAUAGUGAUGUUUUAGCAACACUUUUUAAUUAUAUAUAUUAAUAUAUGUUCUUUUUGACUCAUAGCUCUUUUUUAAGUACUCGAACCCACAUCUUCUUAUAUUGACAAUAAUGUCUAUUUUAAUUGAAUUAAGAUUCAAUCAGUAAUUUUAAUUGACAUUUAAACCUUUAUACGUUUUAAUUUAAUUUUUAGAUAAAAAUAUUGUUCCGAUUAAGUUUUUUUUUAUUGAUUUAAUUGUCGGUUUUGACCUUAAAUAUUAGUUUUGAGCUAAUGUGUAUAAUUUUUUUUUAGUCAAUUCAUAUACAUUUAAAAAGCUAACCACAUUAUAUCCAAGUGUUCUUUUUCAAGACAUUUACAAUUGACUCACUAACCGUUGACAGGAGCAAAUCAUUAUACUCACACAUCACAAAUAUGGUUGCCCUUAUGGACGGGCGAAUUUAAGGCAGCAGACAGAGCCUUAGCUUCCCUAAAAAUGAAAAAUUUGUUAUGCAACUCAUUGAAAAAUAUUUAAUUUAUAAAUUAAUAUAUUGUCGAAUAACACUUUGGUUCCAAAAAUAAAAAUAAUUUUCUUUUUAAAAAUAAUAUAAUAAUUAAUACAUAAUAAAUUAUAUUUUAAUCUUUAAAAUUUUUAAUUUAAUUUCGAUCCUUUUUAAAAAAAUUCUAAAUUCGCCAUUGCACUUAAGAUUAAAUUAUAAAUUUUUUAAAAAUUAAAAUAUAAUUUUAUCAUUAUAAUAUACUUACAAUUUCAUAAUUUCUAAAGAGAAUAAACUAAAAUUUCUCCAGUUUUUAGGUCUGAUGAAUUGAAAUGUAUUGAAAUUUAGUGAUGAUUUUAAUAUUUUAUUCAUAUAUAAUCAAAAGAAUCUUUCUUUUCUUGAGAAAAUUGACUUCUCAACCUUGGGAAUUACUCACAUUUGUUGACAUUUGGUGUGGUAUGAUUUUUUUUUUAACAUGCUGAAAAGACUGAAUUUUGAGUUUUUCUAUCACUAGGAUGAUUUUUUUUUAAUUUUUAGAAUUAAAAUUAUAUUAAUAAUUUUUGUAAAUGUUGAGGGCUAAAAUUUAUUAAAUUAUUUAGAAUUUGAAUUAAAAUGAUGAAUUUUGUAAAUUAUAAAUGCUAAAUUUGUUGAAUUAUUUACAGUUAAGAUUAAAGCGAUCGAAUGUGUAAACAUUAAAGGGCUAAAUUUGUUAUUAGAUUAAUAAAAAAAGUCCACAUAGCUUACCAUCACUCAUCUAAUGACAAUUAACGGGAAAGCGACUAAAUUAUUUCAUUUCAAAAAAUUUAGUGACUAAAAUAAAAAAAAAUUAAUAGUUAAGUGACCAUUUUUAUAGUUUAUACUAAAAUUUUAAUUUAACCUUGCGUUUGUUAGUGAAACAAUAUGGAAUGGUGGGAUUAAAUUGGUAAAUUAAUCAUCUUGUAGUCUAGUGGUGGAGCUAAAAAUUUUAUUUUAAGGAGUCGGAAUUAAAUUGUAUAUUUUUAUAAUAGUAAAUGUGCAAUUUUACCAUUUAAAUAGUCUAUAUCUUUAUAAUUAUUAAAAGAUUAAAUUAAAAUUUUAUCAUUUUUAGAAAAGUUAAAAUACAAAUUUACCGAAAAUUUUUUUAUUUUAGGACAAUCGAGUACCCUACUUGCCCCUAACUCCGCCAUGUAUAUAAAGAUAAAAAAUAAUUUAAUAAAAUUUUAGACAAUGAAGAUAGUGACUUGUGCCAAACAAAGUUUAUGGGAAUCUUUUAAUUUUGAGUACUAAUACACUAAUAGUAAGUGCUAGUUUAUAUUCUUUUCUUUUGAAAAGUGAAUAGAGAUGUAAUUUUUAAAAAGUUUAGUUUAAAAUUGAUUAAAAUAUAUCGUUAAUUUCUGUAUUUUGAUAAAAUUUAUGAUUUUUAUAUUUAAAAUGACUUGUUUUAUUGUUAAAGUUAAUAAAAAAUAUUUAAAUUUAAUUAUGAAAAUAUAUAAAUAAAACAUUAAUAGGUAGGGGACCGGACUAGAUCGGACCGGACCGGACCGGCUAGUAGCUAGGUAGCUUGGGGAUUCAUAGGGGAAAUCUUUGGGGUUAUGUUGUGUCUUGGUGGGUUCAGAAAUUGACUCAAGCCUUUGAAGAUUUAUGUGUUUUGGGGACAAUACAUUGUCAAUGGGAUUUGUGCCUUUAAUAGUAGUAAUAUACUAUGGACAAAAUGAAGGACCAAAUAGACCCAAAUUUCUAUACAUAUAUAUGUACGUACACAAAUUCAAAAUAUAGAGACACACCAUUCAAUUAGGCAGUCAAGUUGGGAUAAAUUCAUUUUUUUAAUAAUUUUUAUUAUUUUUGGAUAAUUUUGGGUUUAGUUUGUGUAAUUUGAAAAUUGGAUUAAUUUCAAGUUUGAGCCGUUUAAUUUUUUUUUUGUUAAUAAUUGAAUCAAGUUGAUUGGAUUAGGUUUUUAAGUUUCGAGUAAUACUGACGUAUCUAAUGUAUUCUAUAUUAUGUAUGUAUUAAUUUUUAUCAUAAUUAUAUAUUGAGUACCGAAAUAAGUGUACAAAUUUUAUGAGAUUAUAUUCAUAGAUAUACGGUAAAAGUAUUAUGGAAGUCAUUAUAUUAAGAGUUGAGUUGCAUUUUGCCCCUCUUCUAGAAAAUGAGUAGAUUAGUUUAUUUAUAUUAGAUUAAAAAGUAAACGGAUCUGUCAGCCACAUUAAUUUUUAACAGUAAAAAUAGAUGUAAUUUUUAAUUUAAAAGAAACAUUUUAAUCUAUUGAAAAGAUUUGAUGAUUUGGGUUUUGACAUAAACUAUAUUGAUAAUCAAAGUUGAUCAAUUUGCAUGAUUUUCGGAUCAGAAGAAACCCUUUUAGGGCAUGUCAAAACCCAAUCAAAUCAGCUUCAUCAAUUAUUAAUUUCAAGAUUGUAAUUGAAGCAAUGCUACAAAAUAAUAUUAAUAUUAAUAAUAGAAAAAAAAACAACAUUUAAUUAUAUUACGUUAUUGUAAUAGUUAGACAUAAAAUGAUAAAAUUUGAAGUCAACGGUUUUAAUCGAAAGAUUUUUUAUGAAUAAUUGAAAAGAGAUAGAGAAGAGUUUAUUCUUCUUCUUUUUUUUGGUUUAAAAUAGGAGCAUGGAGCAAUUCUGAUAUUUGUUUGCCUCGUUUUUCUUUACUCUAAUAUUUAAAAAUAUUAUAAACCCUAUCAAUGAGGUCUUGAUAUAACUGGCAAAGUUGUUGGAGCUUCGAACAUUAAAUACUUGGAUUCGAGUUUCAUCAUUCACAAUUAUAAUCUGUGGGUUUUGUUCAGUUCUUUUUAAAUUUGUUCGGAAUGAUGAUGAAUUUAACAAUAUUAGAUGUCUGUUGAUUGAGUCUUAGCUCAACUUACAUCAACAUUGUUACUAGUGCAGGAAGAUAUAGGUUCGAAUGCACUGAAAUGCAUUAUCCUCUUAUUUAAAGUUCGGGAAGGGAUUAUGGGUAGUUCUAUGUAUUGUAUAAAAAAGAUAAGAUAUGAUAAGAACUUAUAAUAAAAUUAAUGUUAAAAUAAAAACAAUACCGGACUCCUACAUAUUUUCAGAAAAAAAUAUAAAAUAACAAUAAUAUUUUCAUCUUUUUGGUAUAUUUCAUCAAGGCAUGAUUAGCUGAGAAAAACCUUUAUUUUAAUGUAAAAAGAAAAAGGAAAAAAAGAGAAAGAGCUAAAGCAAAAAAGAACAGCAUAACAAGAAAAAAUUAUUGUUGUCCCCAAUCUAUAUAAUAAAGUUUUUUUUUUAUUUGUAAUAAAAGGCAGCCAAAUUACACUCUUUUUUGCCUUUUCCUUUUCUCAUUCCAUCACAAUGAUUUUUCUUUCCUUCUAGAAACACUUUUGAUUUAUUAAGGGAUCCAAAGGUUGAUUUUUUUGGAUUAAUUUAUUAUUUGGUACGUGAGUUUGAUUUUAAUCAGUUAAGUAUCUAAAUUUUUUUGGUUGUCUCGAUUAAGUAGCUAUGUUUUUUUUACUAAAGCACACAUGCCAAACAUUCUUUGGUUCACAUGAUGAUGUUUCGGUCUAAGUAUCAAAUUAAACAUUGAAGAUAAACUUAGAUACUAAAUUUGACAUUAACCAUUUUUAUUUCCUUCGUAGAAAUUAGAGGGGUAUAUGUGCCAAGUCUGGCCUGAAAAAUGGGUAUAACAUUUUGUCCAAGCUCGGCCCGGAUAAAAAUGUUAAAACACAGGCUCUGUUCUGCCUGGCCGUAUUAAUAUUUUAUAUAAUUUUAUUUAAAAUAUAAUACAUCAAAAAUACUAAAAAUAUUAAAAUAAAUGUUUUCCCAUCAAAUUAAAAAUAAAUUAGAAAAACUCUACUUAAAUGUCUUAAAAAUGAUAACAAAAUUAACAAUAAAAUAAGAGUUAUACAAUAUCUAAAUAAUAAUAACAAAAUAGUCACAUAAUAGUGAAAUUGUACAAAAUAAUGAAAAAAACAACAAGAAAAUAGUAACAAAACAGUAAACAUAAAAAGCAAUUUUCUUUUUUUGUAUAUCUGAGCUAGGUCAAGCUCGGACAAAAAAACUUUACUUGAGACCUGACCCGUUUUAAACUAGCAUUAUUUUUGUCUAAACUUAUUUUUCAAGCUUAUACCUUUAAUCAAAUUCUCUUACUUUUCAGGUAGACUGAGAUGCUUGGCCAUGGAUAGGUGUAGUAAAAACAUAUGAAUCAAAGAAGGUUUUGCUUUAAGAGCCCCCCACCACUCACAAAACAACAAAGUUCCCAUGAAUUCUAAUGUAUGAUUUUUUUUUUCCAACAUUUUGUUGUCUGGUUUUUGUUCUGUUUUGUUUUUUUACUGUCUUGUAAUGAUCAUAAUGUGCAUGUCUUUUCUUCCUGCCAAGGUGAAUUUGGUUAUUUGUUUGAUUAUGUUAUAGCCUCAUUGAUAGCCAUGGAAAUGAUCUAAGAGAAGCUUCAACAAUUUUGCUUGUUAAAGAUGGGAAAAAAAAGAGGAAAAAUUAAAGAUAAAGAUAAAGAUAAAAGAGAAAGGGUUUGACUGAAGAGCAUUGGAUUUGGAAGGGUAAUCAAGUAAUAAUCAACAAUAAUUAAGGCUUUUGAAUACCUAUAAUUGUCUACUAACCUUUUGCAAAGACAAAAUUAGCUUAAUCAAGAAGACAAAUGCCACACAUUCAUUGGCCUAUCAACCUUGAUAUUAAGGACCCUAAUCUUUGAUUAUAUCAACUAGCCUUACAACACUUGAAAAGUAGUCAAAUUAUGCAUUAUGACAAAUUUAGGCAUUAAUGUUCAACAAUUCAAAAAAAAUUUUGAAUUUUAUCAUCAACUUCUCAAAAAGAGUUGAAUUGUUGUUUUUUAACGGAAAUACUAACUAAAAUGCUAAAAUUUUAAACAUGACAAUCUAUGUAUACUUAGUACUAGUUUUUUUUUUAUAAUUUUUAAAUUAUUUAUUGACAUGAUAUACAAGACAUGGUUUCAUGUUAUCAUGGAAUACAUGUGGAACUUCGCGUCAACAUCGUUAAGAACAGUGAUUUAACUCGUUAAUUGAUCAAAUUUAGGUCCAAAACUAAAGACCUAAACAGGCUAAAUUUAUCAUUAUACCUGAUAUUAUAUUCAAUUUAAUUAAUUUGUGUACAUGGAACUUGGCUUUUUUUUGGUUGAAAUUGGAGACUGACCUAACAAGCUGAAGAAAAAUAGACUAGUCUUUGAAGGUAUAAGCUACGAAUGGAAAGUUGUGGAUAUAAGACAAUGAUACACAAGUCAAAUACAAGCCAAAAAACAUGUAUGUUCUGUCCCAAUCAUUAAUUUUUACUGUGUUGUUGUGGCAUUACAUGAUUGACUUCCCAUCUUAUUUCAAGUUACUUUGUCACUUUCAAUUUUUGUUUUCUUGGUUUUAAAGCAUUUUACCCUUUUCUUUAUAUAGAUUCAGCAUUGGAUUUUAAGAUUUUUUAAAAGAAGGGAAUGGAAACUAGAUUGCAUUGACACUAAAGGUAGGCAAAGUUUAGAUUAUUGUGUGGUUCAAUGUCGUGUUCUUGUUAGUCAUUCAAAAUUAUUGGUUAAAAAAACAACACCCAAAACUAUUAAAGUCAUGUAGGGCCAUGCUAGACCUAUUUAUGAAUCGAGUCUGGCCUAUUGUGUAGGCUGGUAGUCACUUGUAUAGGCCUAGCUCAAACUAGAAGGGAUUUGAAUAAUCAGGGUUAAGAGUGGGUGAGUGUGAUCUCGAAUAAAAUUAAAAUUAACCCUGAAUUUGAAUAGCAUAAAUAACAACAUAAAAUGAGCAAGGAGAGGAAAGAUUUGUACAAGACAGGGCCAGUUUCAGAAAUUUGUCGUAUGAUCAGAUAAGUCUGACAUGUCACAGAUUUUUGUCUCAAAAGCAAAAGAACAGAUGCAAAUGCUUCUGUAUAAGACCCGCAAAUAGUACCAUCAUGUGCAACUGUUUUAACACCUACUCUGUAAACACUUCACACACUUGUACGUAGGUGUGUGUGUAUGUAUGUAUGUAUGCUUGUAGCUGGGAACAAGCAAAGGAAAGCUUAAUAGAACAAGGCAGAUGAACUGAAGUAUCAAUACCGAAUCCACCAUGCACACCAUGGAAAUAGCAAAAAUUUUCAUCUUCGAACUGAAGUUAGUUUCGUUUUCUAAUACAUUGGUGCUGUCAGGUUUGUUGUUCACUUCGGUAAUAUUUCUUCUUCGAGACUGCCUGCAGGGGCUAUCGAAUGUUUGUUUUGAUGUUAGCAGCAACACCGAAUUUGAAACCGAAUUACCAAAGGUUCGAAUAAUUCAGUACUUGAUCUCAUAUUCUGCUGAAUCUCCCAAAUCUAGUUUAUCCCAUCGAUCGUUCUCAAUAUAUGUUAGUGUCCAAAUGGCACCAAUUAGAUGGAAAACUCCAUUAAAAUGCUUAGAGCUUCACAGUCCAAUGAAUGCUGUAUACAAAUCUUCAAGACUCUAUAGAUAUCAUCUAUCUGGCAAUGUUUGCAAUCCUUAUUGAGGAAAACAUGAACUUCGUUUCUUAUUUCGAUCCAACUACAACCCGGAAUUCUCUUCAUUUGUUUCUCUUUUAUCUCUUUCCUUACUGUCGAUGCAAUUUCCCAUCUGCCGGCGGCAGCAUACGCAUUAGACAGCAUUAUAUAUGACGAAACAUCCUCCGGGUCCAAUGCCAUGAUUUUUCUUGCUGCAAAUUCCCCGAGUUUCACAUUCGAGUGAAUCUGACAGCCACCGAGUAGUGCUUUCCAAAAACCAAUACCUGGUUCAAAAGGCAACCGGUGAAUAAACUCUUCAGCUUCCUUGAACCGCCCAGACCGAGCAAGCAUAUCCACCAUACAAGCAUAAUGCUCUGGUUUAAGCAAGUUAGGUUCUUUAUGUCUUACCUUAUUGAAAUAUGAAUAGCCCUCAGUAACAAGACCGGCAUGACUACAAGCCCAUAAUAUACCAAGAAUUGUAACAUCAUUAGGCUUUAAACCACUUACAAUCAUCUGUUCAAAUAACUCGAUAGCUUCGAUUCCUCUUCCGUUUUGAGCAUAACCACAUACUAAAGCAUUCCAAGAAACAACAUUUCGUCCUCGAAGUUUAUCGAAAACCAAGAGACUAUCUUCCAUGUUUCCACAUUUAGCAUAAAAACUAAUAAGAGCAUUGCCAAUAAACACAUUAAGGUUAUCACCUAAACACUUAAAAACAUAACCAUGCAAGCUUCUGCCUUUACCAAUAGCACCUAUAUUAGCAGCUGCUAUAAUAACACCGGAGAAAGUAGAUUCAUUAGGCAUUACCCUUUCUCUUAACAUCUCAAUGAAAAUAUUUACAGCUUCUUCAUUAUAACCAGUUUGACUAAACCCAGAAAUCAUAGCAUUCCAAGUCACAACAUUUCUCUCAGGCAUUUCUUCAAACAACCACAGAGCAUCCUCAAAUCUCUUAUUUUUUAUGUACCCAGAUAUCAAAGUUGUAUAAGACACAACAUUUGGUUGAUGGGUAUCUUCAAAAACCUUUCUUGCUUCCUCUAUUGUACUUAACUUUGAAUAAAGAUCUAAACUUGCACUACCCACAAAAACAUUAGAAUUUUGACCACUUUUGAUUGUACAGCCAUGAAAUUGUUUGCCAAUGUUGAGGUCUUUUAACAAAGUGGAAGAGUGAAUCACAGUCCCAAAUGUGAAUUCAGUGGGUCUAAUAUUGUUGAAAAGCAUCCUGGUAAACAAAUAUAUGGCUUCUUUAUGAAGGUGUUGCUUAGAGAAGGUUCCUAUUAUGGAAGUGGCUGAGACUACAUCUAAGUCAGACAUUUCGUCGAAUAACUUGCAAGCAUCCGCAAACGAGGUUGAUGAAAAGCAAAAGUGGGUAUUGGCGACUUUUGGGACGAUAAAUAGAGGGUUAUGAGCUUCAUUGUUGAAUAUGGUUGCAGCAGCGGCUCGAGAGAAUCUAUAAUUUGGAUUCAAUCGAAACAUGGAGUGGGUUUUCUAUGUACAAUUUUUUAUAGCUAAAUCAAGGCCCGUAUAGUCAACUAAAGGGAAAUAUAAAAACUACUUGUUUGCUUGAAAAAAAAUAUUAUUUUUAUCAUUUAACUUCAAAAGUUAUAAAUUUGUUACUGAAUUGUUUUUGAAUUAUUCGAAAUUUCUCAUAUAAAUCAGUGAGCUGUUAAAAUCGUUCUUAUAUGACUCUUUAUGUUUGCAUCAAUUGUAUCAAUCAAAAGCUCUUCUUUCUCUUUUCUGCUAUAAUUCAGCUUUUAUUUCUUACAUAUAAAAUAGCUUUGGUUGUCAUGAAUUGACGAAUCAAAAUUCAAACAGUUUUUUUCGAUAUUUGAUAGUAACUAUUAAAUUGACUUAGAUAUAAGUUAUGUUCUUCUUCUCAUCAAUAGGUACUGAACUAUCAUAUAGAUCGUCUAAUAGUUGCUUGGAAUUCACUAAUCAAUUUUUUUUAAAAAAAUAACUACCAAAUGACUUAAAUAAAAAAGGUAAACUACAUAAAUAGUCAUCUAAUAAUGUUUUUUUUAGGGUCACCUAUUUAUGAAAAAUUAUAAUAUAAUCAUUCAAUUAUUAGUGAUUUUCUUUUUUUAUUACUAGACUAUUCAGUUUUGCCUUUUUUAGUCACCCAACUAUCUUGAGUUUUUAGAUGUUUUCGUUUGGUAUUAAAAAAAAAGAUAAAAUUAAAUAAUUAAGUGAUAUUUUAUAAUAUUUCAUACCCACAUAAAUAAUUCAAUAAAUCGUAAGAUUUUUUAAAAAAAACUUUAUAAAUAAAGAAAAACCACACCAUUCAUAAAUUAUUCACCAAAAACUACCCUCAUUUACAUCACUUCUUAUAGUUCAAUGUUUGGGAAUUAGAGAUUUCAUUAACAACAAGAUUAAACGGCAAUGGCGGAGGGUUUCGCCAAUUAGGAAGCUCACCCAUAAUCAUAAGCGUCUCCAACAAUGGCGGAGUAUCAAUAACAGCUUCAAAUAACCUCCCUUUCACCGGCAACGGCCUUCCUUCAAUAAGGGCAUCAAUUACUUUUCCGAUAGAAUAACAUUUUCUGACGGGAAUUCGACCACCGGAAUUUUCAACCAAUGAAGCUUUCAACGUUUUCCGACGAGUACAAUCAUCGGCCGUCAAUGAAACGUCGUCGGAAGAAUUGGUUUCGGAUGAAAAGUUGGAUGUUGGUAACAGUUUGUUGAGUAAUUUCUUCAAUUCGGAGAUUUCCACCAUUGAUUGCUUCAAUUGCUGUUUAGCUUCGUCUCUUUCAUGGCAGGCUUGAAAUAAUAGCUGAUAUAAUACAUUGGUUAUUUCUUGGUGUAUCCCAAUUUCACCUAUAAAUUCAUCUCUUAUUGAUUGUACUUCGUUGUUGUAGUACAUUUGCUUUGAUUUUAGUUCAAGCAAUGCCUAAAAUUAGUUGAAAAUCAAGUUAGAAUGUAACCCAAUUGCUCGUUUCGAUUCGAUUUUAUUAUCAGUUAAAAAAUUAAAUUAAAUAUAAAAAAUCAAGUCAAAUUCUAUUGUUUUGAAUUGAUUCAUCAAUUUUUAUUUAAAUUAAAUAAAAAUAAAUAAUAAAAAUCGAAUUAAACUUAACUCGAAUCGAUUUUUAUUUUAUUAAUUUUUUCGGCACUAUUAAGAAACAUUGAUAUAUAACCUGCAAAAUAACUAUUAGAUUCCUAGUGUAUGGCUUGGAUUAUGAAAAUACAUACAUAAUAGUUCAUUUCCAUUUCUCAUAAUUACAAGAAGAAGCUAUUUCAUCACUUGAGAACUUAAUUAAGAAAAUAUUUUUUUUAAGUCAUAAAAUUAUUUAUUUGUUAAAAUCAUUUGCAAUAAUAAUAAAAUUUAGCCAUAAAUCGUUGAUUGAGUCUUUAACUCAAUUGGUAUGAUCAUUAUUGUCAAUAAAGAAUGAUGUAAAUUCGAAUGCGCUGAAGUGUAUUAUCCUCUUAUUUAUGAAUUGGGGAGAAUGCUAUGAGUAGUUAAUUUUUCAUUAAUUACAAUUGACAUUAAACAAAAUGAAAAUCUUGGACUUCCUUAAUUAGAGAUUUUUUAUAAAUAAUAGUAGUGAUUAAAUCUCUUAUUAUUUCUAAUUAGAUAAAGGCACAAAUUUAUAACACCUUGUAAAAUCAGAAUCAAUACUCUUUAACAUACAUUUGAUCCAUAGUAUAGAAAAGAAUGAUUCAAUAUAUAAUAUUGAUAUUUUAAAGAUUUAAUUAAAAUAUUUUAGAAUUCCAACAUACUGUGAAAUUAACCUUUUUUAUUUUAGAACAACAAUUAAACAUAUAUUCUGAUACGCUCCACUUUGGAGCUAACACUUAAAACUUUAAUUCGAAAUUUGAAAACUAAUUUAAAAUCUUAAUCAUAAUUUGAGAUAUAUGAUGCAAUAAAUCCUUUGUACUUGAGAACAAUGCUCCCAAAGUUGAUCUUCAUCUUAAUCAUAAUUUGAGAUAUAUGAUGCAAUUAAUCCUUUGUACUUGGGAACAAUGCUCCCAAAGUUGAUCUUCACAUUGAAUUUGCUUUAUCAUGUAUUCAUGUAAAAUCCCUUUAUAUAUUACAAGAUUGUAUAUGUACCCUUUUAAGAAAUGUAUACAUGUCAUAAUGGUAAGAUAUAAAUCGGCUAGCAUAUGAUUAAAAGUACCGUAGUAACCCUUAUACUGAGAGUUAAAUUAUAUUUUGUUCCAUCUACUCAAAAGAUAAAGCAAAUUAAUCUUAGUGCAUUAAUUCAAAGAGUAUAUUAAUCUUUUCUAUUUAAGAUUUUAUUCAUUUGUACCGUUAAAAAUUAAUGUAAGUAACAAAAUAACUAGAUAAUGAUACAUGACAUGCAGGGACCUAUUUUUAAUAACAAAAAUAGAUAAUUUGAUUUAACGUACAAGGACUAAUUUGCCUCUUUUUUGAGUAAAUAAGACAAUGCAAUCCUACUCCUAAUACAUACUCCUCCAUGGUACUGUUACAGCUAUCAAUCACAUGUUAUUUAGGUGAUAAAAAUAAUCUAAUAUAAUCAAACAUUUCACACAAAGGAGUUAGCAGAUUGUAAAAAUAAUGAUAAGCAAAGAAGUGAAUACAAACACAAACAAUAUAUAUAAGUUGUAACAAAAUUAGUUUUUUUUCUUUUUUAAGACCAAAACAGCUACUGCAGUAAUAGAGAAUGUACCAUUCAAAUCUCAUCUCAUCCUCGAAAUAGUUCGUUCAACCGCAGCAAGCUGAUUUUUGAGCGGGCGCUGCACCUCCUGCUGCUUGGUCGCCUUGGUUAAUUUUGAUCGUCUGUGGCUGUUGGAAGGGAAAAAAAUAUUGUCAGUGAUAAAUGAGUUUGAAUAAUUAAUAUGUUCGUGUUUAAAGAAACCAUACCUCAGACUUUGAGUCGGUAUCGGCAAGUCUUUGUUUAAUGUCCCUGGCUAUUGAAAAGAAAACCUCCUCAACGUUUAAGUUUGUUUUUGCACUCUGCAUGAUGACAAGAGUGGCUCUUGAGCAUAUACAAAAGACCAACUAAUCAUAUCAGAAAAAAUAAAAUAAAAGACCCGUAGUGAAAAUUACAUACAGUUUCAAAGAACUUGAUGCCGUAUUCAUCGGCAAGAGCUUGGCCCUUUGAGGUAGGGACGGCCUGAAAAAGAAGUUGCAAAAUCAACUUGACUUGAAAAAUAUCUAUGGGAAAACGAAAAACGGAGGGAUAGCUGCAAAUGCAUUGAAAGAGAGGAAAACGUAUGUGCAAAUAUGGAAGAGGGAAAAAGAGAAACGGACCCUUUUGCUUUCGUCCAUAUCAGCCUUAUUACCCACCAGAAUUUUGUUGACAUUGUCCGAAGCAUGCUGUUCAAUAUUACGAAUCCAGUUUCUAAUGUCUAAGCAAAAAGGAUAAACUUUAGUGGAAAAGAAGGGUAUUUCAAGUUUCCAAAUUACAGGAAAGUGAAAAGAUUCAAAAUCAAGGAAAAUUAACAGGAAACGGUAGAAAUGGCUAAAAAGAUUCAAAGGUAGAUAAGAUCAAACAGCAUAUGUAAGAAAAUACAAAAUAAAAACGAUUAAAAAGUUCAGUAAUUACUAUUGAAAGAUGACUCAUCAGUCACAUCAUAGACGAGCAAAAUGCCCAUAGCUCCACGGUAGUAAGCUGCACAAAUAGAAAACAUUACUUAAUUCAUCUGUCAACCAGACAAGACUCUAGAAGACAAUAGAAAGAAUUGAAUUUGUAAUCUUAUUUCCAAGUUUUGUAAUAAAACUCGGGUGUAAGACGUUAUGCAGGUUUGAAAGCAUUAGAGUCAAACCGUGGAAGCAUACAAACUCCUAAUUUCCAAACAGACUGAAAAAGCAACAGAAACAGAAAGGAGAGCAACAAUGAACUAGAGAUGUUAAAUUUGACAAUAUCAGAGUGAGAGCAAACAAAAGCUCACAUCAUGCAAUGACACUCACAAUUAACAAACUCGGAUAAAUCAAUGCCCAAGUCAUGCUAUCAAAAUUAUUAUAAACCAAACUGAUAGUAAUUCUGAUUGGAUUCAUUUCUAAACAAUGACACCUUCAGAGCCAAAAACAAACCAGUUGUAAUAGUCCGAAACCGCUCUUGCCCAGCAGUAUCCCAAAUUUGCAGUUUGAUUCUUUUUCCAUCAAGCUCUAUAGUCCUAAUCUUAAAGUCGAUUCUGCCAAAGCCACACAUCAUUAUUAACCCACAUACCCUUUGUAACAAAAUCAAUAAUAAUAAGAUCACUGUACUGCAAUUAGGAAAACACCUACCCAAUGGUUGUGAUAAAACUUGUAGUAAAUGAGCCAUCCGAAAAACGCAAAAGAAGGCAACUCUUACCCACACCUGCCCAACAACGCAAUAACAAGGUAAACAUACAUUUUUGUUACACAAAGUCAAAAGAACAUGCAGAAUAUCAAGAAAAGAUAUCAUGUAAAUUAAUACAACAUCAACUAUUAAUUCCUAAUUACAGGCAAGUAUACAGCUAUUUGCAGCAGACAUCCCAUGAAUUAAGAAACAGUUCCUUCAUGCAAAUGUACAUUCUAUGCCUCCACGAUGUUAAUCAUCAGUAACACUAAUAGAGACCGAGGAUAUUCACAUGGCAAUGAGCUAUGUUAAAACAUAGAAAUUAAUAGAUGUGACCUAAAAUAUAUGACAAACAAUGCUCACUAGCAUAUAUUCACCAUGAAAACACUAAAUAGAACCUAUUUUUUUCAAAAGAAAAUGCAGAAUAUCAAGAAAGCUCAUGUAAAUGAAUACAUCAUCAGUCAUUAAUCCCCAAUCGAGACAGAGGAUAUUUACAUGGCAAUGAGCUAUAUUAAAACAUAGAAAUCAAUAGAUACAACCUAUGUAUGAUGAACAAAGCUCACUGCCAUAGUUCCACCAUAAAAAUAAAAAAUAAAAAAAAUACAAAUAGGCCUUUCUUUUUACCGAAUCAAUCUCGCUUAACGCAAUGAGCUAUGUUAAAACAUAGAAAUUAAUAGAUGUGACCUAAAAUAUAUGACAAACAAUGCUCACUAGCAUAUAUUCACCAUGAAAACACUAAAUAGAACCUAUUUUUUUCAAAAGAAAAUGCAGAAUAUCAAGAAAGCUCAUGUAAAUGAAUACAUCAUCAGUCAUUAAUCCCCAAUCGAGACAGAGGAUAUUUACAUGGCAAUGAGCUAUAUUAAAACAUAGAAAUCAAUAGAUACAACCUAUGUAUGAUGAACAAAGCUCACUGCCAUAGUUCCACCAUAAAAAUAAAAAAUAAAAAAAAUACAAAUAGGCCUUUCUUUUUACCGAAUCAAUCUCGCUUAACGCAAUUGAGUUAAUACAUGAACCUAAAGCGAAGCUUAAUCUAAGGUAAUGAUCCUGAAAUCAAACCACGGUUUCACAUCUAGGUUUUCUACAUUACGAAAAAAAAAUCAAAUCCUAUCAAAGAGCGCUGACAUUUCUCAAAAACGAUGUAGAUUAACUACUAGAUCGCAUUUCAAAUCAAUAUUCAUAUAUAAAGAGAUUUUAAAUUUUAAAAAAAAUUACCGCUGUCGCCGAUCAAAAGGAGCUUUAUGAGAUAGUCGUAAUCGGCUCGAGCUCUUGCAGGUGGAGCAGCCAUGGAAAAAUAGAAGAAAUUUAUUGAAAACAGCCAAAAAACAAGGAAGAACAAAUAAACCCUAGAAAAAAAAAUCGUCGUCAAAAAUCAAUGUAAAAAUAAAAUAAAAUAAUGGAAAUAAAAUGUAUUUUUAAUUUUAUUUUGGUAAAUUGAAAAAGAAAAGCAAUACCGGCGAAGGAAGAGUUGAGAUCUGGUGAAAUGAGAUGUGAAACGUCUCCGGAACGACACAAACGGUCGGCCGUUGAAUUUUUUUGUGCUUCUGUGAGAAAGAGAAGAAAAGAAAUAUUGAAAAGAGAGUAAUGUUUGAAGAAAUAAGUUGAUCGGAAUCAAAUCCUAACCGUUGGAUUAAUUUUUGGUGUUAAGAUCUGUGUGGACGUAAGGUGGACGGAAACGGUUUUUCUUAUCUUUCAGGGUUUAUUCCAUGUGAUGUCCUUGAGGUAUGGCCUAAAUUUUAAAUUAGACUCUAUACUUCGUAAUGUUCUGGUGGUAUCCUUAUAUUAUAGUAUUAUGCCAAUCCUUAUAUUGAAUAGAAUAAAAGUAUAAGAAAUUACUUGAUAAAAUAAAACUAAUUUUUUAUUGUAUUAGGUGUAAAUUUUAAAUUUAAUUUUUAUAUUUUUAUAAAUUGAAAUUUCAAUUGGAAUUCAUACAGAAGUUAAAUUCGUUUGAUUAAAUGUUAUAUUGUAGUUUUAGUCCACUUUCUCUCUUAUUCAAUUAUUCUUUGUCCUUGUACUUUUCAAAUUUCGAGAUUUCAAUUUGGACGCAGAUGGUAAUCAUUAAAUUUGUUAACUGAUUUUUUUGAUAAUAUAAAGAAAUAAGAAGCUGGCAUGACAUUAUAAAUGUGAAAAUAUGUAUUUGUUACUUAUGAUUUAGGAAGUACAAAAAAUUUAAUGAAUUCAACAAAUAUAAUUUGCUUAGGACUGAAAUUUAAAAUACAAAAAGCACAUGGACUAAAAUACCAAAUUAAAAUAUAUAGACUAAAUUCACAUUUUAUGUAUAGUACAAGGACUAAUAGUAAAAUUUAACCGAAAAACUAGCGUAAGGGACUUUUAAGUAAUUUAGCAGUGGUGAACUGUCCUUACCUAUUUCCGCACGGCGCUACAAAUCUAACCAACUCAAAGGACUCCACGUCAUCGAUCCGAGUGAAACUCAACCAACCAAUCAGAAACCACCUCUCCUCUAUAUGUAAACAAUCCAUCUCCCCCUAAACUCUCAAUUCACUCAUUCUCCAAUUCCUCGAGUUCUUUCAUUUCUGAUUCCGUUCUCAAAAAACCCUCGUUUUCCCCAUUCUUUAUAUCCUAUGGCUCCAAAGGUUGGUGAGAAGAAGCCCGCCGAGAAAAAACCGGCGGAAAAGGCUCCGGCGGAGAAGAGGCCAAAGGCGGAGAAGAAGAUCUCAAAAGAAGGCGGCGCAGAUAAGAAGAAGAAGGCUAAGAAGAGCGUCGAGACUUACAAGAUUUACAUCUUCAAGGUAUUGAAACAGGUUCAUCCUGAUAUCGGGAUCUCGAGCAAAGCGAUGGGGAUAAUGAACAGUUUCAUCAACGAUAUCUUUGAGAAAUUGGCUCAAGAAGCAUCGAGAUUGGCUAGGUAUAAUAAGAAGCCGACGAUUACAUCUAGGGAGAUCCAAACCGCCGUUCGAUUGGUUUUGCCUGGUGAAUUGGCUAAGCAUGCCGUUUCUGAAGGAACUAAGGCGGUUACUAAGUUCACUAGUUCUUAGAUUUAUCUUUCUUUUUGUUUUGAGAUUGGAUUCUUAUUAGGUUAUCCGAUUUGGGAUUUUAGGGUUUUCAAAAUGAUGGUUUAAUGUUCUUGAGUUUUAGGUUUUGGGAUUCAAUGAUAGUUGUUUUGAUUAUACCCAAUAUGGAUAUUGAAUGAUGUUUCUUUCCCUAACACCAGAUGUUCAUGAUCGAAUUGAAUGAUAAACCGCCAUUCCAAAUGAGGUAGAAGCACUUUCUGGCAAUACGUGAUUUCAAUCUGACCUCAGUACCGGAAUGGGAUUAUUAGACCUUUAGUGCGUGAAGAUGAUGAAGGAAGGGAUGUUAAUACCAUAAUCAACGAAGAAGAAAGUUGCUUCAGGGAAGCAACUAUUGCAAGGGGCAAAGAGACUUUACACUAACAAGACGAAACAGACUUUAUUACCAUAAAACGGUGCAACAAAUACCAUUAACACAACGCCAUAUAAUCUGAAUUCACUUCACUCAUUUCAGACCAAAGUCUGUUCUAAAAAACACUGGCAAAGUACCAUUACCAGUAUUAACAUUUUCCUACACGAAGGAAGCUACAUACAUAUACAAAUAAAUGAAAUUAGUCUUUCUUAGGAGACUUCUUGGUAGCCUUGGAUGGUGACUUGGGCUCUUUUGCAGCCGCCCUCUCGUUUUUCUUUGGUAAAAGAAUUGGGUUAAUGUUGGGUAAAACACCACCAUGAGCAAUGGUCACACCAGCUAAUAGCUUCCCAAGCUCUUCAUCGUUCCUCACUGCCAAUAGAACAUGCCUUGGAAUGAUCCUAUUCUUCUUGUUGUCUCUUGCAGCAUUACCAGCUAACUCAAGAACCUUUAAAUAAAUAAAUAAAAACCCAAUUCUAGAAACAUACUUAAGGGUGCAUGAUGUAUCUACAAUUUAAGUUUCAAUCAACCAAAUCCUCAACUUCAAUGGGGAUAAUUCAACGGUUAAAAUAUAUCUAUAGUCCCUAUAAUAAGCACAUUUUAACCUAACUCAACGCUUGGUAAAAAACGAAAUUACCUCAGCAGCUAGGUAUUCAAGAACAGCAGGAAGGUAAACGGGAGCACCCGUUCCCACACGUUGAGAGUAACGCCCUUUCUUCAAGUACCGGCCAAUUCGACCGACGGGAAACUGUAAUCCGGCUUUCACUGAACGAGAAACCGGUUUCUUCUUUGGACCGCCGCCUUUCCUUCCUCCGGCUCCUUUCUUCACCUUUGAUCCGGUAUCCAUCACUUCAAGUACAAAUUGGAGGAAAUGACUUCAAAUCCGAAAUGAAAUCUCGUAGUGAAAUUUUCUCGAGAAAAUGUUUGUGAUUUCGUAUAUGAUAAUUUGGAUCUAUUUAUGCGAGGAGAGAAAAAUGGGAGACAUUUGGCUUACGGAUUUGGAGAUUUUGAGCCGUUUAAUUGGUUGUUUAAUCGACGGUGGAUAUGCAACUCAUUUGGCAAUCCUCGUGAAAUGGAACAAUCCUAUCAAGUUGAUGUAAGGGGCUAAAUUCACUUAACUAUUGAUUACUUAAGUUUAAAAUUUCUUUUUCUAUAAUACUUACAAAUUUUAUCAACCCUAACCAUUAACAUUCUAUCGAUUUAAUCUUAAAUUCUAUAAACCUUAACUGUUUAUAUUCUAUCGAUUUAAUUUUAAUUCUGUUAAAAUAGUAUUGAUUCAUCUAUUCUAUCAAUUUAAUCUUAAAUUUUAUAGACCUUAACUGUUUACAUUCUAUCGAUUUAAUCAUAAAUCCAUUAAUAAUUUCAUUCACCCAUUAACUUAGAACCGCAUUGAAGCGGAUAUUCCUUGAGGAUUUCGACCAGUUACCUUGCUCUUGUUCUGAUUGAAGCAGGCAUCAGCCCUUCAAACCUUUACAUUCUAUCAAUUUAAUCUUAAUUCCUUAAAAUCAUUAACAUUCUAUCAAUUUAAUCUUAAUUCCGUGAAAAUAAAGUUCAUUCAUCGAUCAACCUAGAACCGCAUUGCAGCAGAUAUUCCUCAAGGAUUCCAACCAGUUACCUUGCUCUCGUUCGAGUCUUUAGUUAGACCUUUCGUGCUGUCAUCCGUUCUUACAGAAGACUCCAUUGAAGCAGGUAUCGGCCCUUAAAAGGUAGCCGUGAAAAACAGGGGUUACAAUUGAAAUUGAACGCGACAUGAGUUCUCGAUGUAUACGAUCGUUUGCCAACAUUGGUAUCCCACAUGGUUAGUGGCAAAAGGCAACAGAAGUCAACGAAGAACAAUAACAAGAAGAUAACCGGAAAGGAAAGAACAGAAGGGCAAAACCUCCACACGCAGUUGCGAUGCUAUAGACCCGGGAAGAUGAUUGUUAGAUUUUCAGUACGGGAAGAUCGAUUGAAGGAAUGUUAUCACUGACGAUAAUCAAUUUGAUAAAAAUAAGCACAAACCCAUAUAAUCUGAAUUUCAGUUCAUUCAUUUCAAACAAAACAUAUUCUAAACAACAUUACCAACAUUUUCCUACAACCAAAGUACACAAAAGGAACCUACAUACAUUAACAGAUAAAUCAAAACAAACCCUAUAAUAGACAAACAACUAAGCCUUCUUAGGUGAUUUCUUUGGAGACUUUGUAGCCUUAGAUGGCGACUUAGGCUCUUUUGCAGCCGCUUUCUCGUUUUUCUUUGGUAAAAGAACUGGGUUAAUAUUGGGUAAAACACCACCAUGAGCAAUAGUCACACCAGCUAAAAGCUUCCCAAGCUCUUCAUCGUUUCUCACUGCUAAUAGAACAUGCCUUGGAAUGAUCCUAUUCUUCUUGUUGUCUCUUGCAGCAUUACCAGCUAACUCAAGAACCUUUAUAUAAUUAAAAAGGAAAACAAACCCAAUUUUAAAAACAUAUUUAAGGGUAUAUCUACACUUUAAGGUCUCAAUCAACCAAAUCCCCAAAUUCAAUGGGGAUAAUUCAACGGUUAAAAUAUGCCUAUAGUCCCUAAACAAGUACAGGGACUAAAUUCAUAAUUCUUUAAAAGUAUAGGAACUAUAAGCACAUUUCAACCUAAUUCAACGCUUGGGAAAAAGUAAAUUUACCUCAGCAGCAAGGUAUUCAAGAACAGCAGCAAGGUAAACCGGAGCACCGGUUCCCACACGUUGAGAGUAUCGGCCUUUCUUCAAGUAUCGGCCAAUUCGACCAACGGGAAACUGUAAUCCGGCUUUCACCGAACGAGAAACCGGCUUCUUCUUUGGACCGCCGCCUUUCCUUCCUCCGGCUCCUUUCUUCACCUUUGAUCCUGCAUCCAUCACUUCAAAUACAAAUUGGAGGAAAAAAUCGAAAAAGGAAAGGAAAUUUCGAAGUAAAAUUUUCUCGAGAAAAUGUUUGUGAUUUCUUAUCGGAAAAUUUGGUUCUAUUUAUAUGCGAGGUGAGAAAAAUGGGAGACAUUUGGCUAACGGAUUUGGAAAUUUUGAGCCGCUUGAUUGGUUGUUUAAUCGACGGUGGAUAAUAAUCUUGUUUGGCGAUCCUCGUGAAAUGGAACGAUCCAAUCAACUUGUUAGAAAGUGUUUUAUCUAUUAAUAAGUAAUUAUUUUGGGUAAAUUUUAUAUAUAGUCCCUCAACUAUUAAUUUAUUUCCGUUUUAAUCACUUAAGUUUAUUUUUUUAUCAUUAACAUUAUCGAAAUUACCAAAUAAUUACCACCGUCCGUAUACCAAUACUUACCCUAAUGUAUUAAUAAAAAUAUUUUUCUAACAAGUUUAAAAUAGUACACUACACAACUUAUAACUCAAUAUUCAUAUGUUUUCAUUUUAAGCCCCGAAAUUUAAUUUUUUUGCAAAAAGGGCACAAUUGUUAGCAAAUAUUUUCAUUUUACUCACUCUAGGUUAUAAAGGUCGACAAAAAUCCUACCUACAAUGCCGUAUCUCUUUGUUUUCCACAUAUGUAUAUAAUUUCCACCUCUGGUUCCAGUCCUCAUAUCCCCCUAUCUUCAUCUUCGAACACAGCCUUCCACCUUACACUACCAUCAACUCAUUUUGCCACCUCUAAUUCAAACCAGCUUCACGCACAAAAAAUUUCAGCCAUCGUUACUAUCAUCCAAUGCUAAAACCGACCACCAUCUAUACCACAUCAACCACUGCCUAACCCCAUUACCACCAUCACUUGUCGUAACAGUAACCAAAUAAACCCCCCCCAACAACCCAAUAACAGUAAACAACAUCCACAUAAAAAAUACCUAAUUUCUAAUCAAUAGGAGAGACAGAGAGAAGAAGAAGAAGAAUAAGGAGUGAGAAGAAGAAACACAAGAGAAGAAGAAACCCCUUUAAGGUUCAUGAUGGAGAACGACACUUAACCUGAAUGAAGUAAAGGUUACACAUUGUGGAGAAUGGUGUAGCUAGAUCAACAACAAGAGAAAUGUCUACUGAAGCACAAGCUAAGGCUUUGGCAGAUGAAAACUCUAAGAUUUAAAAGCAAAAAAUUAAUUAUUUCAAGCAACUGAUCAUUCACUUUUAGAGACAAUUCUCUAAAAGGAUAUUUCCUAGCAGAUUUGGGAUUCAAUGAAAAAGUAGUUUUCAGGAUCAAAUAGGGUUAAGCAAGCAUUGCUUCAAUCAUUGACAAGAGAAUCUGUCACAGAUUUCAUUAGAAGAACAAUGGGAUUGCAAACAAGAUGCGCUUUCAUGGUUUAGACAUGGAAGAUGCUAAAAUUGUGUUGAAGAUACUGAGGUCACUAACUCCAAAAUGGAGUUAUGUUUUUUGUUCCAUUGGAGAAUCUAAAAAUGUUAGUCAUUUGUCCAUUGAUGAUGCGCUACAAAGCUCUUUAAUUUGUCGUGAGCCCAAAGUCAAUCUCUCAAAGCCUACACCGAAUCCUCAAGUACAAAAGGAAGUGGUCGUGGAAGAGGAGGACGUGGUCGUGGGAAUAAAGACAACAGAUCUUAUAAUUCCACUCAUGCUUCUAAAACAGAAGAUUCCCAAUAAAAAGGAAGAGGUUAUUUUGACAAAUUUAAGAUUGAAUGUUAUAGAUGUAGGAAUUAUGAUCACUAAAAGAAUGAAUGCUAUACAAAGCUACCAAAAGAAAAGGAAGAAAAGUCCAACUUUGCCGAACUGGAGGAGGAGGAGACACUUUUGAUGGCCUUUCACGCAAUAGAGGAGUUUGAUCAACAAACUUGGUAUGUGGAUACAGGCUGCAACAAUCANNNNNNNNNNNNNNNNNNNNNNNNNNNNNNNNNNNNNNNNNNNNNNNNNNNNNNNNNNNNNNNNNNNNNNNNNNNNNNNNNNNNNNNNNNNNNNNNNNNNNNNNNNNNNNNNNNNNNNNNNNNNNNNNNNNNNNNNNNNNNNNNNNNNNNNNNNNNNNNNNNNNNNNNNNNNNNNNNNNNNNNNNNNNNNNNNNNNNNNNNNNNNNNNNNNNNNNNNNNNNNNNNNNNNNNNNNNNNNNNNNNNNNNNNNNNNNNNNNNNNNNNNNNNNNNNNNNNNNNNNNNNNNNNNNNNNNNNNNNNNNNNNNNNNNNNNNNNNNNNNNNNNNNNNNNNNNNNNNNNNNNNNNNNNNNNNNNNNNNNNNNNNNNNNNNNNNNNNNNNNNNNNNNNNNNNNNNNNNNNNNNNNNNNNNNNNNNNNNNNNNNNNNNNNNNNNNNNNNNNNNNNNNNNNNNNNNNNNNNNNNNNNNNNNNNNNNNNNNNNNNNNNNNNNNNNNNNNNNNNUUCACUGCUCGUAUACUGAAAACUCGAAUCCAAAUUCGAAUUCAAGAAUAGCGCAAAAAAAACUAACUGCAAAACAAACAAACAAACAAAAAAGAAAAUUUCAAUUCAAUCCAAAUAACCGCUUAACCGUUAUUUAAUUUUAAAACAUAACACUGCCAACCAAGAAAUUUCAACCAAAAAAAAAAGAAAAAAAUAAUAACUACCUAUACAAAGCCAAAAAAAAUCAACGAAAAUUUGCAGAAAUUGGAUCCAAAUCACAUAGAAACCUAUAACAAAUCGAAGAAUAAACCAUGCAGGACGAUUGAAAAAGCCAGAUUUAAAUCUCGUGGAUCUGAGAUUCGUGGAAAGUUGAUGAAAAGGAAAAAAAAAAUUUAAGGCUCGAAUUAAAAAUUAAACAAAGCGCGAAAGAUUUGGGUUAGGGUUUUUGAUUGUUUAUGUGAAAGGCAAAAAAAAGGAAAAACGAAAACAGAGAGAGAAGGGCGGCAACAAACAAGAAGAGAAAAAAGCUUUGUUCGCGGUCCAGAUUUAACUUUUUCAAGAAACAAAAAACAAGAUAGAGAGAGAAAAUAAAUCUAAUUCAAAUAUAUUCAGUAG